UCAAAACAACUGUUUUAGAUAAUAGAAAGUAACCAAAAAGGACUAGAUUCAUUAAGAGAUAUGAAUAAGUUAACACGCCAAAGUUGACUGGUGGCCAUUAACUCACGUAUCCUAACACCGAAUUUUAAAAGCGCUUUUAAGUAUUUUUUAAAUUAAAAAAAAAAAACACUCCUAAAACGGGUUUAUUAGUCAAAGUACCUUUAAUGGAAUGGAAGUGGCUUUCGUAAAAUUAAUUUUGGAGAGAAUCGGCUAUCAAGUAUUCCUUUGCAAAAUAUUAAAAGUAAUUUUUUUACUUUUCAAAAGUGAUUCAAACUACUAAUAUUUUUCCAAAAGUGCUUUUAUGAUGUAUUUUCCAAAACCACUGUAAAGUAAUUUUACCUGAUGAGCUCCUUCUGAAGGGCACCACCUUGUUUGGUUCUCCUAUGUGAAGUGGCACCAAACCCAGUGGUGACACCAUAGCUAUCGGUGCCCUUGCUCAUGCUCUCCAUCACCCACUCACUGCUCGCGUUCACGCCCGCUCUCGCCGUCUCCGACAACUCCACACUCACAUCCUCCUCCCGCCCCGCGAUAGCCGCCACUUGCGAUAUCGUAAGCGUUUCACCACCAAGCCGAACCACCGGCUUCCGGUACUCUGCCACCAUGCGCUUUACUUCAUCCAAAUGGCUCCCCUUCAACGCCUCCGCUGCCACUCCCCAGUUCAGCGGAUCACUCACGACGAAACUCUCCACCUUUUUGCUUCCGUGGCAGUUCAUUGCUUCCAUGUCUUCGAAUCCCCACAAAGAAACAACUGCAAAAAGCUGGUUUUUCACGACAACUAAGAAGGAAAGAGAGAGAGAGAGAGGGAGAGAGGAACUGGAGGAAAUCUGAAAGUUGGGCUCUGAAAUUCUGAGUUUCCUGAGAAGUACGGUGACAGAGGCUUUUCCUUAUAUAGAGUGCCUUGAGCCUAGGAGUCUUUAAAAUGCAACAGGUCAAUGGUAGGUGGGCGGGAUGGCAAAGUGGCUUCAUGAGGUUUGUUGAAAACCAAUCCAGACCCUUGAUCUGUCUACGCUAAAGGCUCAGAUGCUGCAACGUGAUAUGCAUGUGGAUUUAGGAAUGGAGCUCGUAUGUUCGUACUGGUCAGACCUCAAGACAACUGUGGUGUGCGGUCAAUGGGUUGGUGGCAUGUGGAAUACUAAAUGAAAUUGUUGGCCUACGUAAUGUAAUUUCUAUUCCUCCAAAUCCGAACUCGUUAAAAAAAUAAUAAUAAAAAAUUAUGUACUCGUACUCUAGCUAAAAACAUAGGGAGAAUUACCCUUAAGGGUCGGUUGGGAGAAAAAAUGACUGAAAAGAGUGGGUAAAUUUGAUAAUUCUUUUGAAGGCCUUAUAUUUUUAUUAGACUAAUUUACCCUCAAUUGAUUGCUAGUUCUGCCAGUCCCAGAAUUCCAAUUCCUUGGCCCCUUAUCACCACCUCCUUGGCCCCAACCGACAGCACUAUCAUGACCUUUUCACCCUUCCCCAUUAUUGUUUGACUCUUUGUUCCAUUCAAAGGACUUAUUAUUCUCACCAGAAUUGUUUCUGUUGUUCCAGCCACCACUUUGAUCCCUCCUUCCACGGCCCCUAUCUCCAAAACCACCCCUGUCUGAAUCACCUCCGCCUCCACCUCCAAAACCACCCCUGUCAGAACCCUUGUCUUUGAACCUUUGGUGACACAUUAUAAUAUAAAAUUGCAUUUACAGUAAAUUGAAAAGUAUGAUUUGAUUUUCUUUUUUUUGGGUUGGCUUUUUUUCUAUUUUUUUGGGCUGACUUGGUUGGUGGAAGCAGUAUGGUCAAUUGAAAAGGUUGAUUUGAUUUUGCUUGUGUGAGGGGUGAUAUAUUUUUGGAGACAAAUUGAAAUGGAAGAUUUUUAUUCCACUAAUUUGAUACCCAAUUGACUAAUUUGAUACCCUAUGCAAAGCAAAUUAGGUUAUAAAUUUACUAAUUUGAUACCCAAUUGACUUAUAAUUUCCUUAAUUACUAUUUGCAGAACGGAUUGUGGCAUAUUUGUAAUGAAGUUUAUGCAAUUAUGGAGUAACCGUGGAAUUUCUCGUGCAAUUGCAAAUGUAUUAUAUUGUGGUGAAUAAAAUAUAUAUAUAUUUUUUAUGAUCAUGAAUUUUUCUUAAUAUUAUAUUAUAUACUCUUUUGUACAGGACAAGGUCAUAAAGUACAGGUUAGGGAUAUGCCAAAGAACCCAUAAUUGCCCAGUUUCAUAAGAAAUUUGACAUUUUCAAAAUUUUACUUUAUCGUAAUGUAUCGUAAUGUUAUUGUAUUUGUAUUGUAAUUGUACUGUAUUUUUAUUAUACCUCUAUAUUUUUAUAUAAAAAAAAUUAAUUUUAUAGAUUUUUUUUUAUCCAUCAUUGGAUUAUCAUCAACAACUAUUUCACAAUAUUACAAUCAAUGAAAAUUGUACAACGAAUACAAAAUAAACAAAUGAAAAUUAUAAUAAAUUGAGAGACAUAUUUUAUAUAAUAAAUAACAAUAUUUGUUGUAUAUUAUACAUGUUAGAGAUAUGCCAAAGAACCCAUAAUUGCCCAGUUUCAUAAGAAAUUUGACAUUUUCAAAAUUUUACCUUAUCGUAAUGUAUCGCAAUGUUAUUGUAUUUGUAUUGUAAUUGUAUUGUAUUUUUAUUAUACCUCUAUAUUUUUAUAUAAAAAAAAUUAAUUUUAUAGAUUUGUUUUUAUCCAUCAUUGGAUUAUCAUCAACAACUAUUUCACAAUAUUACAAUCAAUGAAAAUUUUACAACGAAUACAAAAUAAACAAAUGAAAAUUAUGAUCAAUUGAGACAUAUUUUAUAUAAUAAAUAACAAUAUUUGUUGUAUAUUAUACAUGUUAGGCAUAUGCCAAAGAACCCAUAAUUGCCCAGUUUCAUAAGAAAUUUGACAUUUUCAAAAUUUUACCUUAUCGUAAUGUAUCGUAAUGUUAUUGUAUUUGUAUUGUAAUUGUACUGUAUUUUUAUUAUACCUCUAUAUUUUUAUAUAAAAAAAAAUUAAUUUUAUAGAUUUUUUUUUAUCCAUCAUUGGAUUAUCAUCAACAACUUCAUGUAUUGAAAUUACAAUAGUGUAUUUUUGUUGUUGUUGUUUUUUUUUAUAAUUUUGGCUUGCAAGGAUGCUUUAUGAUAGGAAUACAACAUGAUAGCCUAGAAAUGCCAAAUCAGUAAAAAAUAAUUCAAUAUUUUGUCAUUUUGGUAUAUUGUAAUGUAUCAUAAUGUUAAUAUUUUUUCAUUGUAACUAUAUUGCAUUUGUAUUGUACUUAUACUUUAUAACUGAAAUAAUGGUUCUUUUACACAACCUUCAAACUACUAGGCAUUCAACUCAUCAUACCAAAAUAAUACUUAUACAAAAAGGUAACAAAUUUAUAACAAAAAUAUAGUGAUCUUAACUCUUUUACAAAUUCAUAAUAAAAGACAAAGUGGUCUCGUACAAAGGGGAUUUCAGUUUUCAAUGACAAUCCAAAUAUGUUUAUAAAUACAUAAACAAAGUGGUCCCAAACAAGCAUGAAACAACCGAGAACAUUUUUUCUUCAAUCAUGUCAAAAAGUCUUAACAACAAAACUAAAGUGCAAACCUUUUCAAUGGAAAUCAAUAAUAAUCAUAUCAAACAACCCACCCAGCAAAUAAAUUAAAAAUAAAAACACAUCUUCAAUAUGACCUAAAUAAUAUAAAAAAAUUCAAAAUAAUAAAUUUAAAUAACAUUUAAAAAAAAUGUAAUUUUUUUCUGAAAACCUCAUUCAAUAUUUCAGAUCUAAUAUCUUACAGUUACAUUGUUAAAAUUAUUAACUUUUCCUUCAUUCAAUCCGAUUUUUAAAUUAUUUAUUUAUUUUUCCAUAAACUAACGUUUUUUUUUUGUAUUAAAAAAAAAAAAACUGACCUUUAAUGGAUUUCUUGCUAGAUUCACAAAAAAAAAAAAAAAACAAGUUUUGUGUAUCGGUUGCAGAGAAUGACCUGAAGUGCGCACCUUUUUCCUUUUCCCUUUUUCUUCUACAACUCGGCUCCAGGUAGGUUAAAGAAAGGGAGAAUAAACUCUUUUUCACUUUCCGUUGCUUUUCACUUUCCUUGCUUUUCACUUCACUUAUUAAGGGUAGUAUUGACAUUUAAAUAAAAUAAGGCCUUUGGAGGAAUUAUCAUCAUUUUACCCUACCCUUUACAAGACUUAUCAAAUUUACCUACCCUCGUUGGUCAUUUUUUCCCUCAACCUACCCUUAAUGGUAAUUCUCCCAAAACAAAAGGAAUUUUGAAAAUUUAAACACUGUUUUCUAUUUUUAAAAAUAAAAAAUAAAUUUUAAAUUAUGUGAUAAAAUAAACUUUAAAGUUGUUGAAAAUUUUAUUGUUGAUUAGGAAAUUUUUAAAAAUUCAUUUCUAUUUUUAAAAGUAAAAUACGAUAUAACUUCUAAUUGUGUUUAGACUUUGUUAAUCUCUAGGAACAAAUUUUAAAAAUGAGAUUAAAAAGAAAACAAUUUUUAAAAAAUAAAAUAAGUUAUUUUUGGUGUUUUUAAAGCCAAGAGAAAACAAAAAACAAAAAAUGGAAGAGGACUUCUCUCGAAUGGAUGUGAGAUUCAUCAACAAAGUCUACACAUAUAGAGAAAUAAUAAGAAGAGAUUUCUCUAAAGUUAGGUUUUUCAUCAUUAUGUUUUCCCCCUUUUUUCGCCUCUAUUAAGAUGAUGAUGAUUAUUAUUAUUUAUGUAUUUAGGUUACAUUUGUUUGGCUAUUAAGAAAUUAGAGGAAAACGAAGGAAAUAAGAGGAAAAUAUAAUAGGUCCACUGUUUGACAAUAGUCUUAUUCUCUUUCCCUUUCUGUUGAACUUAGAGGUAUAUAUAUGUAGAUUCCUCGAUCAUGGAGACCCAAAAGAGAUGUAAGAAACAAACUCUAGUACCUCCACACUUUUUCUCAUGGUCCCAUGUUUGUUUUGUAACUUGUUAAUCAUGGUUGAGGGUGAGGAGAUGCACCUCAUUGUGAUUCCUAGUAUAGUUAUAUAACAAAGGAUAGCUAGAGUUUCAAGUAUAGGCUAGAAAACAAAGUGGAUUUAAAGACUUCUGACCAGAAAAGGAGUAUCUAACUUAAUUACUUUGAGGGACAAUUUUAUUAAACUUAAGAGUGUGUUUGGUACUGACUUUAAAAAAUGUUUCUAAUAUUUCUAAUACUUAAAUGAUACAAAAUUUUAAGUGUUAAAAAUAUUAAAAAUACUUCCUAAAAUAACUGCCAAACGAUAUCUUAAUUUGGGAGCAUUUGAGAAACAUGGGAUUGAAAAGAAGCAAAUAUGGAUCGGAAUAGUACCCUUCUUUGUUUCAUGCUGAGAGAGUAAUUCUUGAAUAUCAUAAGAAUUUUGAGAAGAUAUGUCUACCCAAAACCUACAUCCUUAGGGCCCAUGACCUAAGCCCUAAGUGCUAUGAGUUAGCUAGCCCUCCUUGUUCGUGGACAUACCUAAUAUUUGUAUAGCAAGACAAACAAGUUUGAAAAUUAGAGUAUGUUGAUUCAACAACUACUACACAUUGAAAAAUGGUUAGUGACCUAGUUACAAGCCCAUGGUACAAAAAACUAGACAAUCUCCAUCUAAGGUAACUAAAUAAUCUUCAUCUCAAGUAACCAAAGGUACCUCAUUCUCAAAGACUAACAAAGCAACCCGACCUACACCUACCAGCCAGGACACCCUUCCUCACAGUUGACAACUAAACCUCUACCAAAGCGACCACUUAAGACAUGCUGCAUCUCACUUCACCUAUUUGAGAGUCUAAGACUUUUUAUCCGGUGAAACUUGCUUAUGUUUUUAUUCUUAGUCAAAGGCACUCGUACGAAAUUAAGAGACUAUUUUCACCAACAACAUAUGGUGGACAAACAUGCUUCCAAGCACCUUGGGUGUUCAUAAAUAAGAUGCACCUUAAGAGGUCACCUAACUUAAUCUCUAUGAGAAGUCAUAAGAAAGCACAAGAAUUAUCUUAGUGUUAACUCACACACACAUAAGCUAAAUGGAAGGAAAUCUUAUCACCCAAGCAAGUGAUUAGUUGAAGUUCGAAUAAGUCUUCUCUAACACAUCUAUUUUAUGAUCUUUAGCUCAUUUAUUUUAUUUUGAAAAAGAAAACGGUGAAAACCUACAUCUCAUUAGUUAGGAAAACCUUCCAAUUGAAAACAUAAGGCCAAGUUAGUCUCAAGACAAAAGCUCUUACGGAUAGUCUAGUCAUGAAUAAAUGGUCAAGGUGAACAACAAAAAUAAAUAAAUUCUAAGGGUAUCUUUACUAAGAAUCCUAAAGAAAACUAGCAUCCAUCCUUCUAAUUCAAGACAUCCCUUUGUUAAACUACCUUAUAUGAUUGUAUGUGAAAGUUAUCUUGGUGUAAAGCUGACCCUUCACUCUUUUAAUUUGGAAACAGAUCAUCUUUGUGUUAAGCCUACCUCUGCAUCUUUGGGUAUAGGUUGCAUUUAUAUGUAUUAAGUCAAACUUUGCCUCCGGGUAUGGGUCAACUUUGCACUAAACCAACUUCUAUCUAUGAGCAUGGAUCAUCCCUAUGGUAAAACCUUUAACCAAAAGGUCCUUAGAUGUGCAUUCCAACCAAAAAGUAAAACUGUUUUUAGAACCAUAAUGAUCAUUUCUAACCAUUCUAGUAUGUAGAGAGCUCAACCUGAAUCUUUUCUACUAUCUACCUUAGAAACAUUACAAAUUCCAUGGAUUGCAUGUGAACUAAACAAUUGAACUUGUCUAUUGAUUUAUGAUGUAGGAACUAUUACAAGACAAGCUAGGCUAUGGAAUGAAUCCACCUCAUGAUAAGAUCAUUCAAAUAAUAGAUUGAGAAUCUUACAUUAGCUGUUAAUGACAACCACUUAAUCAAAAGCAACAGGUUGGAGAGUCUAGCAAAGAGAUUGAUUCUAACAAAGACGCAUCCAAGAACCUCACUUGGGAAGGUUAAUGCAUGAGCACACCAUUAUCAUCAAUUUUGCAUGAUCGAAGCAAGAACAUUGAUACAAGAUAUCAUUCUAUUAGAGAGUUCAUUAUAAAGAAAGAAGUACAAUUAAAAUUUGUAAAACCUCAAGGUCAAAUUGUUGAUAUUUUUACUAAAUCCCAUUAUUCCAAGAAAUUGGUAUCAGAGUUCAAAUUGUAGACAUUUUUAAUUACAACAAUCCAAACUCCAACAAAUUGCUAUCAGAGCUUCCAUAUAGCCAAGAAUUAAUAUAUACAAUUUUUGUAUCACAAAAUUGAAAGCCUGCAGACAAUCUCAAGCUUAACAAAAAGGAGAUGAAAGAAAGUUGGAAGUGGAAAAUAAAGAGUACGUGCAAGGGUGAAAUCCUCUAGCAGAUUGGGAGAGGUGCACCGUUCCAAGCACUGAGACAACCCAGAAGAGGGUCGAUGAUCUCCCCCUCACACAUUGCAGUAAACACCUUGUCAAACUCCUCCCCUGGUGACCUCACCUUUUCACCAGUCAGCAGCCCUGUUCCCAGCUCCUCCCUCACAAACUUGUACAAUGGGUAUGACCUGCACUCCUUGAUUCGGUUCGGAAUCGAUGGGUUUCCACUCUCCACCGCACCUCUUGCGCUCUCAACCUCUUUGGGCAAAACGGCCUUCAACUCCUCCUCGAAUGCCACUAUUUUUUGGAAGAUUGAGGUACUUCCAUUCUUCUCAUUUUCGCCAUUGCUCAGCGCAUGUUCCACCAGAACUUGCCUUAACUUCUGCAUCAGUGGAUAUGUGGCGCUGCAGGGGUCAUCGAUGUAGGCGAAUACAUGUUCCCUAUCCACCACUUUUAGCAAGUCCUUCUCGCAGAAUCUCGAUGGAUGGAGUCCUCCAUUGGCUCCAGUGGUUAGAGUCUUCUUAGCUACGUGGCUUACAGUCUUCUUCACAGUGCUCUUCAAAUUCUCCUCCAAAUGCCUCAAAUCAAUGGCCUGGCAGAGUGCUACUAUGUAUGUGGUAGACAUGAGCUUCAAGAUAUCCACCGCUUCAGCUGUUUUCCUGGAGGAGAUUAAGCCCAAGGAGUUCACAUCUUGGUUGUGUUGCUCAGCACUUUGGACAUGGUUGGUAACAGGAUUGGCCAAGAACUGGAGCUCUGAACAGUAGGAAGCCAUGGCAAUUUCUGCUCCCUUGAAACCAUAGUCCAGACUCGGGUUCCGGCUUCCAGAGAGAUUUGAUGGCAGUCCAUUGUUGUAGAAGUCAUUGACAAGCUCUGAGAACUGGGCAAACAUAAGCUUCCCAAUGGCUGCAAUGGCCAAGCGGGUGUUGUCCAUGGAGACUCCAAUUGGGGUCCCCUGGAAGUUGCCACCAUGUAGAGCCUUGUUCCUGGAAACAUCGAUCAAGGGGUUAUCAUUCACAGAGUUGAUCUCCCGUUCGAUGGAUUUAGUUGAUGCUCGGAUGACUUCAAUGUGUGGGCCAAGCCAUUGAGGUGAAGUCCUGAGAGCAUAUCGAUCUUGCUUCGGCUUCUGCAGAGGAUCCAUCUCAUGUAGCUUCUUAGCUUCUUUCACAUAAGAGCUUCCAUCUAGAAUGUGCUCCAUAAUGGCUGCAGCCUCGAUUUGGCCAGGGUGGUGCUUCAAUUUGUGAGUCAAGUGGUCAGUGAAUUCGGGCUUCCCCUGCAUCACUUCAGCAAAAACAGCCGAUAAAACUUCAGACAAAACUGCCAGCACAUUGGUCUCAAAAAGCACCAUAGAGGCCAAGCCAGAGCCAACUGCAGUGCCAUUAACAAGAGCCAGGCCUUCCUUAGGCUGCAACUCAAAAAAUCCCGACUCGAUCCCAGCCAUUUUAAAGGCCUCUUCGGCAUUGACAACUUCACCGGAAGGUCCAACAGCUUUGGAAUUAGGCCUGCCGGUGAGAAGACCAGCGAUGUAGGAGAGAGGAACCAGGUCUCCGGAGGCAGUGACGGUGCCACGCAGAGGCAAGCAUGGAGUGAUGUUGUGAUUGAGGAGCUUGGUGAUUGCUUCCAGAAUCUCAAAUCUGAUGCCGGAGUAGCCUUGGAGGAGGGUGUUGAUCCUCACGAGCAUGGCGGCUCUUGUUGCUGAGUGAGGCAGUGUGUGGCAUGACUCUGUUCCGUUCCCAAAUAUCCCAGCAUUCAAGAACCUGUAUCAAGCAUCAACAACCCAGCACAUCACCAACCAAUUCAAGUUUUCAAAUCAAAACAACUGUUUUAGAUAAUAGAAAGUAACCAAAAAGGACUGGAUUCAUUAAGAGAUAUGAAUAAGUUAAGACGUCAAAGUUGACCGGUGGCCAUUAACUCACGUAUCCUAACACCGAGUUUUAAAAGCGCUUUUAAGUUUUUUUUUUUUUUUUAACAUCGGCUAUCAAGUAUUCCUUUGCGAAAUAUUAAAAGUAAUUUUUUCACUUUUCAAAAGUGAUUCAAACUACUAAUAUUUUUCCAAAAGUGCUUUUAUGAAGUAUUUUCUAAAACCACUGUAAAGUAAUUUUACCUGAUGAGCUCCUUCUGAAGGGCACCACCUUGUUUGGUUCUCCUAUGUGAAGUGGCACCAAACCCAGUGGUGACACCAUAGCUGUCGGUGCCUUUGCUCAUGCUCUCCAUCACCCACUCACUGCUCGCGUUCACGCCCGCUCUCGCCGUCUCCGACAACUCCACACUCACAUCCCCCUCCCGCCCAGCGAUUGCCGCCACCUGCGAUAUGGUAAGCGUCUCACCACCGAGCCGAACCACCGGCUUCCGGUACUCCGCCACCAUGCGCUUCACUUCAUCCAAAUGGCUUCCCUUCAACGUCUCCGCAGCCAUUCCCCAGUUCAGUGGAUCACUUACGCAGAAACUCUCCACCUUGUUGCUUUCAUGGCAGUUCAUUGCAUCCAUGUCUUAGAAUCCCCACAAAGAAACAACUUUAAAAAGCUGGUUUUUCUCGACAACCAAGAAGGAGAGAGAGAGAGAGAGAGAGAGAGAGAGAGAGAGGAACUAGUGAGUAGGGCUCUGAGUUUACUAAGGUGUAUACAGAAGCCUCUACUUAUAUAGAACUUUUCAGCCCUGCAGUCUUUGAAAUUCCACAGGGUCACUGGUAGGUGGGCGGGACGGCAGAGUGGCUUCAUGGGGCUUGUUGAAAACCAAUCCAGACCCUUAAUCUGUCUACGCGGAAGGCUCAGAUGCUGCAGCGUGACGUGGAAUCCAUGUGGAUUUAGGGAUGGAGCCCGGAUGUUCUUACUGGUCAAAACCCAAGACAAAUGUGGCGUGCGGCCGAAGGGUUGGUGGGUUGUGGGAGUUGUUAGCCUACUUAAUGUAAUUCAAUUCCUUGAUUAAAAAAUAACAAAAGGAAAAUCAUUUGAGCAUACGCUCCCUAAAAGAAGUUAAAAAACGGUCUACUUCUUUAUUUCUAAUAUUUAAAAACAAAGAACACCGAAGAACAAGAAUAAGUAAAAGUUAAUUUUAUCAAAUUUUAAAAACAAAUUAAAAAUAAAUGAAAACCUUGCUUUAAAAAUUAAUAUGUGGAUGGUAUAUGCCACGUAAAUAUAUGAUAUAGAUACGAUUUUUGGCAUACUCAGUCCAAAAGAAGUUAAAGAACGGUUUUCUAUUUUAAAAAGUAAAAAAAUAUUUUUAAAAUUUUAUUACACUAUUUGAUUAUUGUUUUUUUAUUUUUUACUUUUUAAAACAAAGAAACACGUAAAAUAGUUUUUAAAAUAAGUAAAAAUAAUUUUUAUCAAUUUUUAAAAAUAAAUUAUAAAUGGAAUGAAACUUCAUAAAUUAAUACGUGGAUGGUAAAUGUCACAUAGAUACAAGUUUCACUACCAUUCACAAUAUAUGGACCAGACUUUUUCAUAUGAUAUAGAUACAAUUUUUAUUUAUAUUCACAUGUUUAAAUCAUAUGAUUUUUUUAAUCUAUUUUUUAAUGAAAAAUUAUUUGACCAAGUAUAAAUACAUGAUUGGUUUUUGCAACUUACAAAACCAAUAUGCCUUCCUCCGACAAUUUUGACCGAUUGAAUUUGGACCAAAGAGCAAUAUCAUAUUAAUAGGUGAGUAUAUGGUGGGUGGCAAGACCCAUUGCAAAAAUAGUUUGUGAAGAGAUUGGAACUAGCCUUAAUCCAUCUCUUAUUCAAUUUGAGAUAAAAUGGGGAUUUAGUCGUUCAAAGCUAUUGGAUUUGACUAAAUUCUUUGCACUUUCACAUUCUAUCCAACUCAACUUUUGCAUCAUUUGAUUCAAAUAUGAAAAUAUAUUCUGCAAACAAAUCAUUCCAAGGGAGUUUUCUUUUAUUUCUUUUCCUUUUGUAAUCUUUUCUUCAAUCAUUUUUAUCUUGUGUGAUAUUCAAAAGAAUAUUAGCUUUGACGUUUCAUAAAUAUGGAAUUGAAAAUAAGCAAAAAUGGAUCAAAAUAGUACCCCUUUAGUUUCAUGUUGAGAGAGUAAUGAUGGAAUAUGAUAAGAAUUUUGAGGAGAUAUGUCUACCUAAAACCUACAGCCUUAGGGUCCAUGACAUAAGCCCCAGGUGCUAUGACGGCCUCCUUGUUCGUGGGUAUACCUAAUAAUAUUUGUACAGUAAGAGAAGAAGUUUGAAAUUUGGAGCAUAGCGAUUCAACAACUACUACACAUUAGAAAAUAGUCAGUGACCUAGUUACAAGCCCAUAGUACAAAAAACCAAACAAUCUUCAUCUCAGGUAACCAGAGGUACCUCAUUCUCAAAUACCAACAAAGCAACUCGAUGUAUACCUACCAGCCAAGACACUCUUUCUCAUAGUUGACAACUAAACCUCUAUCAAAACGACCAUUUAAGACAUACUGCAUCUUACUCAACUUGUUCGGAAGUUUAGGACCCUUUUUAUUAGGUGAAACUUGCUAAUGGUUUUACGCUCAAUCAAAGGCACUCGUAUGAAAUUAAGAAGCUAUAAAAGUCGCUAGCAGCAUAUAGUGGACAAACAUAUAUACUUCAAAGUAACUUGGGUGUUCAUAAAUUAGAUGCACCAUAAGAGGUCACCUAACUUACUCAACCUCUAUGAGAAGUCAUUAGAAAGAUAAGAAUGAUCUUGAUGUUAACUCACAUGCACAUCAACUAAAUGGAAGGAAAUCUUAUCAACCAAGCAAGAAAUCGAUUGAAGUUCAAAUAAGUCUUCUCAAACACACCUAUUUUAUGAUCUCUAACUUAUUUUUUUUAUUUUGAAAAGGAAAAUGGUGAAAACCUACAUCUCAUGAGUUAGGAAAACCUUCCAAUUGAAAACCAAAGGCCAAGUUAGUCUCAAGACAAAAGCCAUUACUGAUAGUUUAGUCAAGAAUAAAUUGUCAAGGUGAACAACUAAAAAAAAAUUCUAAAGGUAUCUCUACUAAGAACUCUAAAUAAAACUAGCAUAAAUCCUUCUCAUUAAAGACAUUCCUUUGUUAAAAUACCCUCUAUGGUUGUAUGUGAAAGUUAUCUUAGUGCAAAACCAACCCCUCACUCUUUUGAAAACGGAUCAUCUUUGUGCUAAGUUGACCUUUAUAUCUUCAAGUAUAGGUCACACUUAUUCUUAUUAAGUCAAACUUUGCCUUCGAAUAUGGGUCAACUUUGCACCAAACCAACUUUUAUCUAUGAGCAUGGAUCAUCUCUAUGGUAAAACCUUUAACCAGAAGGCCCUUAGAUGUGCAUUCUAGCAAAAAAGUUGACUAGUUGUCAAAACCAUAAUGGUCAUUUCUAGCCGUUCUAGUAUGUAUAGUGCUCAACCUAAAUCUUUUCUACUAUCCACCUUGGAAACAUUACAGAUUCCACUAAUUGCAUGGGAACUAAACAAUUGAACUUGCCUGUUGACUUAAGAUGUAGGAACUAUUACAAGACAAGAUAAGCUAUGAAAUGAGUCCACGUUAUGAAAAAAUCAUUCCAAUAACAGAUCAAAAUUUUACGCUAGCUGAAAAUAACAACCUCUUAAUCAAAAACAACAAGUUGGAGAGUCUAACAAAGAGAUUGAAUCUAACAAAGAUACAUCCAGGAGCCUCACCUGGGAAGGUUAAUGCAUGACCAUUAUCAAUUACAUUAUAAAAAAAGUUUAAUAUUUCAUGAUCGAAACAAGCACACUGAUACAAGAUAUUUUUCUAGUAGAAAGCGCAUUAUAAAAAAAGAAGUGCAAUUAAAAUUUGUAAAACCUCAAGGUCAAAUUGUUGAUAUUUUUACUACAAUCCCAUUAUUCCAAAAUAUUGGUAUAAGAGUUCAAAUUGUAGAUAUUUUUAAUUACAACAAUCCAAUUACUCCAACAAAUUGCUAUCAGAGCUUCCAUAUAGCCAACAAUUAAUAUAAACAAUUUUUGUAUCAGAAAAUUGAAGGUGUGCAGACAAUCUCAAGUUUUACAAACAGAGAUGAAAGAAAAUUGGAAGUGGAAAAUAAAGAGUAUGUGGAAGGGUGAAAUCCCCUAGCAGAUUGGGAGAGGUGCACCGUUCCAAGCACUGAGACAAUCCAGAAGAGGGUCGAUGAUCUUCCCCUCACACAUUGCAGUAAACACCUUGUCAAACUCCUCCCCUGGUGACCUCACCUUUUCACCAGUCAGCAGCCCUGUUCCCAGCUCCUCCCUCACAAACUUGUACAAUGGGUAUGACCUGCACUCCUUGAUUCGGUUCGGAAUUGAUGGGUUUCCACUCUCCACCCCACCUCUUGCGCUCUCAACCUCUUUGGGUAAAACGGCCUUCAACUCCUCCUCGAAUGCCACUAUUUUUUGGAAGAUUGAGGUACUUCCAUUCUUCUCAUUUUCGCCAUUGCUCAACGCAUGUUCCACCAGAACUUGCCUUAACUUCUGCAUCAGUGGAUAUGUGGCGCUGCAGGGGUCAUCGAUGUAGGCAAAUACAUGUUCCCUAUCCACCACUUUUAGCAAGUCCUUCUCGCAGAAUCUCGAUGGAUGGAGUCCUCCAUUGGCUCCAGUGGUUAGAGUCUUCUUAGCUACGUGGCUUACAGUCUUCUUCACAGUGCUCUUCAAAUUCUCCUCCAAAUGCCUCAAAUCAAUGGCCUGGCAGAGUGCCACUAGGUAUGUGGUAGACAUGAGCUUCAAGAUAUCCACCGCUUCAGCUGUUUUCCUGGAGGAGAUUAAGCCCAAGGAGUUCACAUCUUGGUUGUGUUGCUCAGCGCUUUGGACAUGGUUGGUAACAGGAUUGGCCAAGAACUGGAGCUCUGAACAGUAGGAAGCCAUGGCAAUUUCUGCUCCCUUGAAACCAUAAUCCAGACUCGGGUUCCGGCUUCCAGAGAGAUUUGAUGGCAGUCCAUUGUUGUAGAAGUCAUUGACAAGCUCUGAGAACUGGGCAAACAUAAGCUUCCCAAUGGCUGCAAUGGCCAAGCGAGUGUUGUCCAUGGAGACUCCAAUUGGGGUCCCCUGGAAGUUGCCACCAUGUAGAGCCUUGUUCCUGGAAACAUCGAUCAAGGGGUUAUCAUUCACAGAGUUGAUCUCCCGUUCGAUGGAUUUAGUUGAUGCUCGGAUGACUUCAAUGUGUGGGCCAAGCCAUUGAGGUGAAGUCCUGAGAGCAUAUCGAUCUUGCUUCGGCUUCUGCAGAGGAUCCAUCUCAUGUAGCUUCUUAGCUUCUUUCACAUAAGAGCUUCCAUCUAGAAUGUGCUCCAUAAUGGCUGCAGCCUCGAUUUGGCCAGGGUGGUGCUUCAAUUUGUGAGUCAAGUGGUCAGUGAAUUCGGGCUUCCCCUGCAUCACUUCAGCAAAAACAGCCGAUAAAACUUCAGACAAAACUGCCAGCACAUUGGUCUCAAAAAGCACCAUAGAGGCCAAGCCAGAGCCAACUGCAGUGCCAUUAACAAGAGCCAGGCCUUCCUUAGGCUGCAACUCAAAAAAUCCCGACUCGAUCCCAGCCAUUUUAAAGGCCUCUUCGGCAUUGACAACAUCACCGGAAGGUCCGACAGCUUUGGAAUUAGGCCUGCCAAUGAGAAGACCAGCGAUGUAGGAGAGAGGAACCAGGUCUCCGGAGGCAGUGACGGUGCCACGCAGAGGCAAGCAUGGAGUGAUGUUGUGAUUGAGGAGCUUGGUGAUUGCUUCCAGAAUCUCAAAUCUGAUGCCGGAGUAGCCUUGGAGGAGGGUGUUGAUCCUCACGAGCAUGGCGGCUCUUGUUGCUGAGUGAGGCAGUGUGUGGCAUGACUCUCUUCCGUUCCCAAAUAUCCCAGCAUUCAAGAACCUGUAUAGGAAAUAUCAAGCAUCAACAACCCAGCACAUCACCAACCAAUUCAAGUUUUCAAAUCAAAACAACUGUUUUAGAUAAUAGAAAGUAACCAAAAAGGACUAGAUUCAUUAAGAGAUAUGAAUAAGUUAACACGUCAAAGUUGACUGGUGGCCAUUAACUCACGUAUCCUAACACCGACUUUUAAAACAUCGGCUAUCAAGUAUUCCUUUGCGAAAUAUUAAAAGUAAUUUUUUCACUUUUGAGAAGUGAUUCAAACUACUAAUAUUUUUCCAAAAGUGCUUUUAUGAAGUAUUUUCUAAAACCACUGUAAAGUAAUUUUACCUGAUGAGCUCCUUCUGAAGGGCACCACCUUGUUUGGUUCUCCUAUGUGAAGUGGCACCAAACCCAGUGGUGACACCAUAGCUAUCGGUGCCCUUGCUCAUGCUCUCCAUCACCCACUCACUGCUCGCGUUCACGCCCGCUCUCGCCGUCUCCGACAACUCCACACUCACAUCCUCCUCCCGCCCCGCGAUAGCCGCCACCUGCGAUAUCGUAAGCGUUUCACCACCAAGCCGAACCACCGGCUUCCGGUACUCUGCCACCAUGCGCUUUACUUCAUCCAAAUGGCUCCCCUUCAACGCCUCCGCUGCCACUCCCCAGUUCAGCGGAUCACUCACGACGAAACUCUCCACCUUUUUGCUUCCGUGGCAGUUCAUUGCUUCCAUGUCUUCGAAUCCCCACAAAGAAACAACUGCAAAAAGCUGGUUUUUCACGACAACGAAGAAGGAAAGAGAGAGAGAGGGAGAGAGGAACUGGAGGAAAUCUGAAAGUUGGGCUCUGAAAUUCUGAGUUUCCUGAGAAGUACGGUGACAGAGGCUUUUCCUUAUAUAGAGUGCCUUGAGCCUAGGAGUCUUUGAAAUGCCACAGGUCAAUGGUAGGUGGGCGGGAUGGCAAAGUGGCUUCAUGGGGUUUGUUGAAAACCAAUCCCGACCCUUGAUCUGUCUACGCUAAAGGCUCAGAUGCUGCAACGUGAUCUGCAUGUGGAUUUAGGAAUGGAGCUCGUAUGUUCGUACUGGUCAGACCCCAAGACAACUGUGGUGUGCGGUCAAUGGGUUGGUGCCAUGUGGAAUUGUUGGCCUACGUAAUGUAAUUUAUAUCUCCAAAUCCGAACUCGUUAAAAAAAUAAUAAUAAAAAAUGAUGUAAUCAUACUCUAGCUAAAAACAAAAGGAUUUUUGAAAAUUUAAAAACAGGUUUUUAUUUUUAAAAAUAAAAAAUAAUUUUUAAAUUAUGUGAUCAAAUAAACUUUAAAGUUGUUGAAAAUUUUAUUAUUGAUUAGGAAGUUUUAAAAAUUCAUUUCUAUUUUUAAAAAUAAAAUACGGUUUAACUUCUAGUUGUGUUUGGCCUUUAUUAAUCUCUAGGUACAAAUUUUAAAAAUGAGAUUAAAAAGAAAAUAAUUUUUAAAAAGCAAAAUAGGUUAUUUUUUGUGUUUUUAAAACCAAGAGAAAACAAAAAAACAAAAAAUGGAAAAGGAAACAAAAAACAAAAAAUGGAAAAGGACUUCUCUCAAUCGGAUGAGACAUUCUUCUACAAAGUCCACACAUAUAGAGAAAUAAGAAGAGAUUUCUCUAAGGUUAGGUUUUUUCUCAUCAUGUUUUUCCUCCUCUAUUAAGAUUAUUAUUAUUAUUAUUAUUAUUAUUAUUAUUAUUAUGUAUGUUUUUAGGUUACAUUAAGAAAUUAGAGGAAAACAAAGGAAAUAAGAGGAAAAAUAUAAUAGAGUCCACUGUUUGACAAUGGUCUUAUAUAUAUAUAUAUAUAUAUAUAUAUGUGUGUGUGUGUGUGUGUGUGUGUAGAUUCCUUGAUCAUCGAGACCCCAAGAGAUGUAAGAAACAAACUCUAGUACCUCCACACUUGGUCCCAUGUUUGUUUCGUAACUUGUUAAUAAUGGUCCUCAUUGUUAUAUAACAAAGGAUAUGGAAGCUAGAGUUUCAAGUCUAGGCUAGGAAACAAAGUGGAUUUAAAGACUUCUGACCAAAAAGGGAGCAUUUGGCUUGAUUACUUUGAAUAGCAAUUUUAUUAAAUUUAAAGUGUGUUUGAUAGUAAUUUUAAAAAACGUUUAUAAUAUUUUUAGCAUUUGAAUGAUACAAAAUUUUAAGUAUUAAAAAGGUUAGAAAUACUUUCUAAAAUUACUGUCAAAUGAGCUCUUAAUUUGGGAGCCUUUUAGACCUUAUAAUGAUUUAUUUAUUAUACUAGCUAUCCUCCAUCGUUCUGAAUAUGUAUUUUUAAUUUAAUUUUUUAUCAUCACUUUUUAUUAUUAUUUUUUAAAAUGAUUUCUCAUUCUUAUUUUUGUUUUUCUUUCUUUGGAUUAAAAAAAAUCGUGGGAUUGAUAAUUGAAAAUUUGGCAACAAGUUUGAUAUUGCUCAAAAUCUUUAGUAUUAAAUGUCUUAUUAACAACAAGGGAGAGACUACACUAAUACAUAUAAUUGUGUGAUGACCCAAACCACAAAGUUAGGACACCAUAGUUAUUUUACAUGUAAAACUCAAAGGCUUGACAUAAAAAUGAUCCAAUAAGUUGGAAUAAUUAGCAACAUGCUAAUCACAAAACCUAUUUGAAGUAGUAAUUAAGCUUACCUAAAAGUCUUAAUUAAAAAUUUGUCUUCACAUACAAAAUCCAUAAAUCCUAAUUAUGACAAUUCUCCCAAAAGUAGUAGGAAAUAAAAAAUCACUAAAAUCCAAAUAAACUAGUCUCAAAACUAAACAAAUAAAAGAACUUUUUGAACCCUUCUUAUUCAUGUCACUCAUUCCUAGAAUCAAGUGUGCCUAAAAACAUUUAAUAAAAGAAGUGAGUUUGAAAGCCCAAUAAGGGAUAGAGAUCAAGUACAUUUUUUUCCCCAAAAAUGAAAUAGGAAAUGCUUGUAACAUAAGUGAAAUCAUACGAAACAAACUUGUAUUACAUGUACUAUUUUUCAAUAAAAGUAUCAAAUCAAAUUUCUUGAUAAACAUGCAUAUAUUCAAAAUAAAAUUUUGAUUAUUAAUAGAAGUGUCCAUAAUAGUGGGACUUACAGAGGUGUCCAUCAUAGUAGGACUUAUAAAAGUGACUAGCCUCAAAUGUUCCUUACAUGUUAAUAGUUGAAAUUGAAACCAAUCUCCACCAAGUUUUUAUUAUCAUGAAUUACUAACUACCCUACUAAGUUUUUUAUUAUCAUUAUCUCCACCAAAAGUGACAAAGGUCAACAUCUUUUCCCUUAUUGACUAAGGUUAGAUAACCAAAAUGUACAUAUAAAGUACAAAUAUAGUCAAAUAAAAAUAAUUCCAAAUUUUAAUAUUUCAAACUUAUCUAAACAUUUUUUUAUAUACUUUUACAAAAUUCCCUUACCUAAGUUGAAUAAAUCUAAAUGAACAGUCACAUAAGAGAUUUAAAAGAAUCAUUCAAAUUAAAGUCUUGAUAAAUAUUAUUCUAAGUAUAUAUUUAUUUAUUUAUUAACCCUAUACCAGUAAAUCAAUUCAUCUAGGAAAAUAUCCAAUACUUAAAGAAAUUUUAGCCUAAAAUUAUUUUUGCAAAGGUUCUAGCCACCCACGAAACACUCGCCUAUUAAUAUGAUAUUGCUUUUUUGUUUAAAUUCAUUCAUGCAAUAUCGUGAGAUAAAGGCAUACUUGUUUGGUAAGUUACAAAAACCAAUCCUCUAAUUAUGCUAGGUCAAAUAAUUUUCAUUAAAAAUAGAUGAAAAAAAAUAGUAUGAUUUAAACAUGUGAAUAUAAACAAAACUCGUAUCUAUAUUAUAUGAAAAUGUCUCAUCUAUACAUUGUGAAUGGUAGUAAAACUCGUAUUCAUGCGGCAUGUACCAUCCAUGUUUAAUUUAUUUUUAAAAAUUGGUGAAAGUAAUUUUUACUUAUUUUUUAAAAAUUGCUUUCUAUUUUCCUUUGUUUUUCCAAGUUGGAAAUAAAAAACAAAGAUGAAACUGUAUAAUAGAAUUUUAAAAACAAUUACCAUUUUUUAACUUCUAUUAGAUGGUGCAUACUCAAAUGAUUUUCCUUUUAUUUUUCUAAUCAACAAAUUGAAAUUUCAUCAAGUAGGCUAACAACCUCCACAUCCCAGCAACCCUUUGACCGCACACCAGAUUUGUCUUGGGGUUUGACCAGUAAGAACGUCCGGGCUCCAUCCCUAAAUCCACAUGGAUUCCACGUCACGUUCCAGCAUUUGAGCCUUUCGCGUAAGACAGAUUAAGGGUCUGGAUUGGUUUUCGACGAACCCCAUGAAGCCGCUUCGCCAUCCAGCCCACCUACCAGUGGCCCUGUGGAAUUUAAAAGACUCCAGGGCUCAAACGUUCUAUAUAAGUAAAAGCUUCUGUGUCACCAUACACCUCACUAAAUUCAGAGCCCUACUCUCUAGUUCCUCUCUCUCUCUCUCUCUCUCUCUCUCUCUCUCUCUCUCUUUCCUUCUUGGUUGUCGACAAAAACCAGCUUUUUGAAGUUGUUUCUUUGUGCGGAUUCUAAGACAUGGAUGCAAUGAACUGCCAUGGAAGCAACAAGGUGGAGAGUUUCUGCGUGAGUGAUCCGCUGAACUGGGGAAUGGCUGCGGAGACGUUGAAGGGAAGCCAUUUGGAUGAAGUGAAGCGCAUGGUGGCGGAGUACCGGAAGCCGCUGGUUCGGCUCGGUGGUGAGACUCUUACGAUAUCGCAGGUGGCGGCUAUCGCCGGGCGGGAGGGGGAUGUGAGUGUGGAGUUGUCGGAGACGGCGAGAGCGGGUGUGAAUGCGAGCAGUGAGUGGGUGAUGGAGAGCAUGAGCAAAGGCACCGACAGCUAUGGUGUCACCACUGGGUUUGGUGCCACUUCACAUAGGAGAACCAAACAAGGUGGUGCCCUUCAGAAGGAGCUCAUCAGGUAAAAUUACUUUACAGUGGUUUUAGAAAAUACUUCAUAAAAGCACUUUUGGAAAAAUAUUAGUAGUUUGAAUCACUUUUCAAAAGUGAAAAAUUACUUUUAAUAUUUCGCAAAGGAAUACUUGAUAGCCGACGUUUUAGGAGUGUUUUUUUUUUAAAAUAAAAAUAAAAACUUAAAAGCGCUUUUAAAACUCGGUGUUAGGAUAGGUGAGUUAAUGGCCACCAGUCAACUUUGACGUGUUAACUUAUUCAUAUCUCUUAAUGAAUCCAGUCCUUUUUGGUUACUUUCUAUUAUCUAAAACAGUUGUUUUGAUUUGAAAACUUGAAUUGGUUGGUGAUGUGCUGGGUUGUUGAUGCUUGAUAUUUCCUAUACAGGUUCUUGAAUGCUGGGAUAUUUGGGAACGGAACAGAGUCAUGCCACACACUGCCUCACUCAGCAACAAGAGCCGCCAUGCUCGUGAGGAUCAACACCCUCCUCCAAGGCUACUCCGGCAUCAGAUUUGAGAUUCUGGAAGCAAUCACCAAGCUCCUCAAUCACAACAUCACUCCAUGCUUGCCUCUGCGUGGCACCGUCACUGCCUCCGGAGACCUGGUUCCUCUCUCCUACAUUUCUGGUCUUCUCACCGGCAGGCCUAAUUCCAAAGCUGUUGGACCUUCCGGUGAAGUUGUCAAUGCCGAAGAGGCCUUUAAAAUGGCUGGGAUCGAGUCGGGAUUUUUUGAGUUGCAGCCUAAGGAAGGCCUGGCUCUUGUUAAUGGCACUGCAGUUGGCUCUGGCUUGGCCUCUAUGGUGCUUUUUGAGACCAAUGUGCUGGCAGUUUUGUCUGAAGUUUUAUCGGCUAUUUUUGCUGAAGUGAUGCAGGGGAAGCCCGAAUUCACUGACCACUUGACUCACAAAUUGAAGCACCACCCUGGCCAAAUCGAGGCUGCAGCCAUUAUGGAGCACAUUCUCGACGGAAGCUCUUAUGUGAAAGAAGCUAAGAAGCUACAUGAGAUAGAUCCUCUGCAGAAGCCGAAGCAAGAUCGAUAUGCUCUCAGGACUUCACCUCAAUGGCUUGGCCCACAGAUUGAAGUCAUCCGAGCAUCAACUAAAUCCAUCGAACGGGAGAUCAACUCUGUGAAUGAUAACCCCUUGAUCGAUGUUUCCAGGAACAAGGCUCUACAUGGUGGCAACUUCCAGGGGACCCCAAUUGGAGUCUCCAUGGACAACACCCGCUUGGCCAUUGCAGCCAUUGGGAAGCUUAUGUUUGCCCAGUUCUCAGAGCUUGUCAAUGACUUCUACAACAAUGGAUUGCCAUCAAAUCUCUCUGGAAGCCGAAACCCGAGUCUGGAUUAUGGUUUCAAGGGAGCAGAAAUUGCCAUGGCUUCCUACUGUUCAGAGCUCCAGUUCUUGGCCAAUCCUGUUACUAACCAUGUCCAAAGUGCUGAGCAACACAACCAAGAUGUGAACUCCUUGGGCUUAAUCUCCUCCAGGAAAACAGCUGAAGCGGUGGAUAUCUUGAAGCUCAUGUCUACCACAUACCUAGUGGCACUCUGCCAGGCCAUUGAUUUGAGGCAUUUGGAGGAGAAUUUGAAGAGCACUGUGAAGAAGACUGUAAGCCACGUAGCUAAGAAGACUCUAACCACGGGAGCCAAUGGAGAACUCCACCCAUCGAGAUUCUGCGAGAAGGACUUGCUAAAAGUGGUGGAUAGGGAACAUGUAUUCGCCUACAUCGAUGACCCCUGCAGCGCCACAUAUCCACUGAUGCAGAAGGUAAGACAAGUUCUGGUGGAACAUGCUCUGAACAAUGGCGAAAAUGAGAAGAAUGGCAGCACCUCAAUCUUCCAAAAAAUAGUGGCAUUCGAGGAGGAGCUGAAGGCCGUUUUGCCCAAAGAGGUUGAGAGCGCAAGAGGUGGGGUGGAGAGUGGAAACCCAUCAAUUCCAAACCGAAUCAGGGAGUGCAGGUCAUACCCAUUGUAUAAGUUUGUAAGGGAGGAGCUGGGAACAGGACUGCUGACAGGUGAAAAGGUGAGGUCACCAGGGGAGGACUUUGACAAGGUGUUCACUGCAAUGUGUGAGGGGAAGAUCAUCGACCCUCUUCUGGAUUGUCUCAGUGCUUGGAACGGUGCUCCUCUCCCAAUCUGCUAGGGGAUUUCACCCUUGCACAUAAUCUGCUAGGGGAUUUCACCCUUGCACAUACUCUUUUACCUUUCACUUCCAACUUUCUUUCAUCUCUGUUUGUAAAACUUGAGAUUGUCAGCACGCUUUUUAUUUUGUGAUACAAAAGUUGUUUAUAUUAAUUCUUGGCUAUGCGAAAGAUUUGAUACCAAUUUGUUGGAGUAAUAGGAUUGUGGUCAAAAUAACUACAAUUUAAUCUUGAUACCAAUUGUUGGAAUGAUAGGAUUGUAGUACACUCUCAACAAUUCGAUCUUGAGAUUUUACAAAUUUUAAUUAUACUUUUUUUUUUUAUAAUACACUCUCUAAUAAAAUGAUAUCUGGUAUCAAUGUGCUUGCAUUGGUAAUGAAAAAUUGAAUUUUUUUAUAAUGUAAUUGAUAAUGGUUUGCCCAUGCAUUAACCUUCCCAGGAGGGGUUCCUAGAUGUGUCUCUGUUAGAGUCAAUCUCUUUGCUAUACUCUCCAACCUAUUGCUUUUGAUUAAGAGGUUGUCAUUAUAGACUAGCUUAAGGUUCUCGAUCUGUUAUUUGAAUGAUUUUAUCAUGAGGUGGACUCAUUCCAUAGUCUAUCUUCUUUUGUAAUAGUUCCUAAUGUUUCCAAGAUGGAUGAUAGAAAAGAUUCGGGUUGAGCUCUCUGCAUACUAGAAUGGUUAGAAAUGACCAUUAUGGUUUUAAAAACAGUUCUACUUUUUUACUAGAAUGCACUUCUAGGGACCUUUUGGUUAAAGGUUUUACCAUGGGGAUGAUCCAUGCUCAUAUAUAGAAGUUUUUCUAGUGCAAAGUUGACCCCAUACUUGAAGGCAAAAUUUGACUUAAUACGUAUAAAUAUAACCUAUACCCAAAGAUGUAGGGGUAGUCUUAGCACAAAGAUGAUUCAUUUCCAAAAGAGUGAGGGGCCAAUUUUGCACCAAGAUAACUUUCACAUACAACCAUAUAAGGUAGUUUAACAAAGGGAUGUCUUGAAUUAGAAGGAUGAAUGCUAGUUUUCUUUAAAGUUCUUAGUAAAGAUACCUUUAAUUAGAAUUUUUUUUUUGUUAUUCACCUUGUCCAUUUAUUCUUUACUAGACUAUCAGUAAGGCCUUUUUCCUUGAAAUUAACUUGGCUUUAGGUUUUUGAGAAAAUAAAGGCUAUGCUUAAUUAAGAAAAACACCCAAAAAGGAGGGGGGGGGGGGGGGGUGAAUUGGGUUUUUUUUUAUAAAUCUUUUCAAUUUCAAACACAACAAGUUCAAGCACAAUAUAAACAAAAGCAAAGAGAUAGAGUUAGAGAAUUCAAACUCGGGUUUUAUAGUGGUUUGACACUUCCUUGCCUACGCCCACUCUCCUAACUUAGUGAGGAUUCCACUAACUUGAAGCUUCAACCAAGUUUCCAAUCUUCUCACACUUGGAUUUCGGCUCCAAUAGACUCUUACACAAUCUCUUCAAGAUUCAAACCUCUUGAAGGCUUUAACACUCAGUUUUUACAAGAAUGAAUCCCUCAACCUAGCUUAAGGAUAGCUCAAAUACAAGACAAAUCAAGGAUGACACACAAGAGUGCACUAAAGGAUAUGCAAGUAAUGAUUUAAUGCACUAAGAAAGAAAUGAGAGCUUUUUGGUCAAGAACAGGUAGGUAGACAAUUGAAUGCAAGUGUUCUCUAUAUCAUAAAUGAAGUGGAGCUCUCAAUUUAUAGGUCUCUAAGCUCAGGAGCCAAAAACAGCAAAAGGGAGCCUCGACCGGUCGAGUUAGGGGUCGACUGGUUCACUAGCUGUUGAAACAUUUAAUGCUUGGCAGGUUAUUGUUGCCUCGACCGGACCUUGAUUGGACCUCGACUGGGAAGAGGUCAACCUCAGCCGGGAAGAGGAAGCUACUAGAUGAGAGAGAGUGUUUUUGGCACUCCUCGACCGGGCCUCGAUCGAACAAGGGCAACCGAUCGACCGGUUCCCCAACCGGUUGAGCCGGUUGGCCAGAGCCUUGACCGGUUCAGUCUUUUGGCCCCGAAAACCUAUCUUUUUCAAUUUCUUUCUUUUAUAACACUUAGACAAGGUCUUUAGGUGAAAUAAUAUGCCCAUUUUAAAAUGUUUUGCCCAAGGUACAUUUGAUAAAACUCAGGUUUGAAUGAAAUUGAAGUUUUAAAGAAUAAACCGAGUUUUCUAAGAUGCAUGAAACGGUAUGAAAAUCCUAAGUGCACCCAUGCAUUCAUCUUACAUUCAUUUCCUAUGAUCAAAAGUCUUCCCAAAGUCUUGAUCUUGUAUCCAUUUGGUCAUUUGAUGAAUUUCCGAAUUUAUACCUAAGAUUCUUUACCAUUUAAAACAAUUAGUCACUUAACCAUAGUUUGUUAUCAUCAAAACCCGAUUAGGAGAACCCUUGGGCUAACAAUCUCCUUCUUUUUUAUGAUGACAAACCUCGGUUAUCUAGGAGAAAAAGAAAUCUCCCCCUCAAAUCAAUCAUGGAUCAAUUAAUUUGAAAUUUAUGAAUUUAAAGCCGAGAUAAACAGGACAUGCAAAUUAUCAAAAGCAAACAAUGUAAAUCAUGAAAAUAGCAUAUCAUAUAUAGUAAAAUCAAAUGUACACGAAGCAAAGCCAAACCAAGCAGAUGCUAUGAUAAUGAUAUGCAAGUAUAGGUCUCCUAGAUCCUAAAUAUCUCUUCCCUUUUGGCAACAUAAAAAAGAAAUGAAGAGGGUCUCGAUGAAAUCAAGGUUGAGGAGGUGGAAACACGGAACGGAGGUAAGCCAUCAUCUCAUCAUGGUUACUCUCCUGGCGACUCUCAAUGCGCUCAAUACUCUGCUAGAGAUGCUCGAAUGUAGCCUACUGCUAAUCCAUACGCUCCUCUAUACGCUCAAAUCUCUGUUGGAAAUGCUCAAACUGAGAAGUGAAGCCAGUUUGAUACUGAUCUAUGCAAUCCUCCAUUGACUAGAAUCGAGUAUCACUGACUACGACAAACUCCUCCAUACGAGUGCCAAGUGAACUGAUCUGAGUAGAUAAAUCCAUCUAAGACGCAUGAUUAGGAGCGUGAGGUGCCUGAGAUGGUAUCUCUGUGUGAGGAAGCUCGGUGAAUGAUGGCUGAGAGGAAGGUCCCGCUGUGUAAGUCGGCUCAGUCAUCAUAGGCUCAGAGAAUGUGGCCUCAAAAUGAAUACCCUCUGACUGAGGUGAAGGAGGAAUGUCAAGCUCGAGCCUUCUUUUGUCAAAGUCCCUUUAAGGGUCUAACCCACCCUCCAUUUCUCUGAUCUCGGCCUUCUCCUCUACUCCGGGAUGCAUUUGUCCCUGUUCCCAGGCAUAUGCUGGAGUUCGCUUAGCUCUCCUAAUCCAGGAGCCAUCGGGGGCCUUCUCAAACUUCAUCCGCCCCAAGGACUGCUCAUCAUAAGUGUCAUAAAUGGUAGGGGCCUCAAAGUCUGUCUCUCUGCUCAAAUCAAUCCUAACAUCCUUGAAUACUCUAGUAAGGAAGCGGUCGUAGGGGAGUAAUCGGGUCGUGCUAUCGCAGCAAGAGAUCAUGUGCAUCAUCAUCAGAUACCCCACGUGAAUCCGUCUCCCCGUUAGAAUCGAGUCCACAAUGAAUGCCUCAAGGUAGGAGACCUCGUCUCGAUGUCCGCCUCAUGACAAUAGGAUAGAGUAUAUCAUGUGAUAAAGGACUUGGUUGGUCAUGAUCAGGCUAUGUGCCGAUGGUUUGCCCAUCCCCUAGGCGUCUGCAAGGCCGCACAACCUCUGAAUAGCCUCUUUAGGCUCGAAACCCGACACAGUGGGCCAAACCUUGGACUUAUACACCCGUAGUCCAACUGAAAUGAUGUCGAAAAUACGGAAAAUGCUUGUAGACCCUCAAUUUUGUCCCUUUAGCACAUGUCUUUAAAUUUUGUUUUCAGUAUUCCAUAGUAGUUCCUUGGUGGCCCAUUACUACUCGUACAAUUUAUCUUUUUCUGAGUCACCUCGGAGACUCUGGUUGAGGGAUUGCCUAACCCCUUAUUGUGACCCUUGGCAAUUUUGAUUUAGACUUAAGUUUUUCAUUCUUUUUUAGGAUAGCUCUUAGGUGCUCUUUUAGGCCCACUUAGGCACCCUGGGCCCAUUUAGGCACUCUAGGCCCAUUUAGGCACCCUAGGUCCACUUAGGCACCCUAGGUCCACUUUAGGAUACUUAGUUCAUUAGACACCCAUGUAGGGCCGUUUAAACACUUCAUCGGGCUUAACUUUUAUAUAUAUAUAUAUAUAUAUAUAACUUUUAUUAUUGUUAUUAUUAUUAUUAUUAUUAUUGCAUGCAUUCGAUAAUUAUAUAUAUUUUGUUUAUUUAUUUUCAUUUUUACUUUUUAUUUGUUUAUUAUUAUCAUUGUCAUUAUUAUUAUUAUUAUUAUUAUUAUUUUUUAUUUUUAUUUUAUUUAUUUACUUAUCUAAUAGGAAAUUGCUUGAAUUGUUUAGACUUUAAAUAGACAUACGCCCCAUUAUUUAAUGAGGGGAUAUAUAAUCUAGUCUCUCUUGGUUCUUUUUCUUUUCUUUUAAAUCAUUAUUUUAUUACCAAUCUCAUGAUUUCCAUUAGUUUCUUCUUUUUUCUUCUAUAUUUUAUUUUAUUUUUUUUUUAUUUUUUUUUUAUUUUAUUCUGUUUUGCAUGAGGAAAUUAUUGAGAGAGAGCUUGCUACUGUUAAAGAUGGAGCUGUCCGAUUUGAAGUACCAGAAGAUAUUAAAUCCUAAAGCCUUGAUUUUGGAGCAGACCCUUAGAAUGAGGAUGAAGAUUGGUUUUUCGAUGAUGAAGAUUCUGAUACAGAAGAGUUUGAUGCUGAUCGGAGAGAAAUUUAAGUCACAGAAGGGGAAUGAUACAAGACAAGGGAGCCAAACACGUAAGCGGGUCUCAUAAUAGUCAGGAUAGUUCUAGUGAUUUCUUUGUUGCAUCGAAUGAGCUUUGGCAAGAAAUUCAUAAGGCAUCAAAACAAGUAUCUGGGCUUCGUAAUGCUCCAGAUAAUUCUGGUGUUUUAUUUGCUGCAUUGAUUGAGCUUUGACAGUGACACUGAGGAGAAGAAGAGUGAUUAUGAGGAUGGAAUUGAAAAUGGAGAAGCAGCAGGCGAGUCUGCACCACAUGCUGGGAGCAGAUACCUACGGGCUAAUGCUAGUGAUAGCGAUGAUUUUGAUGGUUAAGAGCGUGUUGUGCGAUCUGCCAAAGACAAGCGGUUUGAGGAGAUGUCUACUACUAUUGAUCAGACGAAGAAUGCUAUGAAGAUCAAUGACUGGGUCAGCCUACAAGAGAGCUUUGACAAAAUAAAUAAGCAGCCUGAGAAAGUCAUGCGGGUUAUAGAAUCUGACAAAGUUCCUACCCUUUACAUUAAGGCACUUGUGAUGUUGGAGGACUUUUUGAGUCGGGCUUUGGCAAAUAAGGACGCCAAGAAGAAGAUGAGUAGUAGCAAUGCCCAGGCCCUGAACUCAAUGAAAUAGAAAUUGUAGAAGAACAAUAAGCAGUAUGAAGAUAUGAAUAAUAAGUAUAGGGAACAUCUUGAGGACGAAGAAGAAGGUGAUGAGGACAAGUGAUUGUCAGAGGGAAGGCAAUUAAGAGUGUCCUUCAAACGAUUAAUCAUCACACUGGGGAGAAAGUUUGCCUUAGCUAGAUGUGCUGACAUGGAUAAAAAAAAUACUACUUUAAUGGGGCUCCCAAAGGCUGUCCUUGAAAAUAUUAUAUUUGUGCACCAAGAUGAUGCCAACUGACCACUAUAAGAUCUUUCAACAUUAAAAAAAAAAAAAAAAAAGGGAAGUUUGAUGAUAUUUUCUUUGCUACCCAGUACACUAAGGCGUUGGAGAUCAUUAAAAAGCUUCACAAAGAUCAAGCUCAAGAAAUAAAGACAUAUAAGCUGAAGUUAGAGAAUCUAUAAACUCGGAAAGAUGCAGUGUAUGAGGAAAUAUCGUGGCUGAAUGAGAGAUUCUUUGGGAAGACAAAAUCAGAAACCUCGUACACAAGUAGUCAUGCAUUCCAUAUUGACAGUCGUACUUUCCAUACUAGAGAGGCCAUUCACACGCAUUAAAAAAGGAAACAGAUAGAGAAUUCCACAGAAAGGGUGAGUUACCAUAUAAAUAAGACAGAGGAACAAAAGAAGGCAGGAUUUUUUUAGAGGAGGCCAUCCACGUGCGUUAGAAGGAAAAAGGAAAUAGAAUAUUCCAUACAAUGUGAGGCUGCCAUAUAAGAAAGGAACGGGCAGUAGAGAAAAUGAGGUUUUUUUUUUAGAGUUUAGCAAGGAGAUUUUUUUAGAAGGCACACGGAAGAGAUAUUAUUCUGGGAACAAAGAGAGGUCUGAAGGAGGCAGCCACCACACAUUGACCAUUGAGCACUAGCAGCCGCACCACCAUAGAGGGAUUCUAGAGAAGGUAAGUUAGAAUUUCUAAGGAUUUUAGUUUUAAUUUUUUAUUGGAUUGAAAGUUAGAGUUUUUAUGUAUUAAUUUUGAUUUUUUUUAAUCGGAUGAAAAAGUUAGAAUAUAGUUAGUUUGAUUUUGAUUCAUUGUCUUGGUUUCAAAAGUUAGGUUUUGUUUAGUUUAAUUUUAAUUCAUUAUGUUUAUCUCGAAAAAUUAGAAUUUUUGUUUGAUUCAAUUUUUUAUUCAUUGAACUAGAUUGAAAGGUUAAAAUUUUAUUUAAUCUAUUUUUUUUAUUCCUUGCGUUAUUUUGAAAUGUUUGAAUUUUGUUUAAUCUAGUUUUGAUUUUUUUAUAUUAGAUUGAAAAGUAAAUUUUUGUUUGCUUAGUUUUGAUUCAUUACUUUGGUUUAAAAGGUGAGAAUUUUUUGUUUUAUUUUAAUUUUGAUUCAUUAUAUUACAUUGAAAAAUUAGAAUCUUUGUGUAGUUUGGAUUUGAUUCCUUGCUUAGUUCGAAAAGUUAGAAUUUUUCUUAGAUCGGUUUUAAUAGAUUUAAUUUUAAAAGUCAAUUUUUUUAUGAGUCAGCUUUUUAUUUAGUUCAACUGUUUUAUAAUUUUUAGUCUAUCAUUCUAAUUGAUCCUAUGUAAUAAAGUUUAUGUUUUUAAGUUUAUUUUGAUCAUGUUUUGGUUCAUCUUAUUUAGUUUAGAUAUUUUAGAAUUUUAGCUCAUUAGUCUAUUUGAUCCCAUCUAAUUAAAUUUAUGUUUUUUAAAAAAAAAAUUGUAAAUCAUUUUUCUGAUUCAUCCUUUUUAGGAUUUAAGUUGAUUAGUUUAAGAAAUAUUUGGUUAAUUCUUGGUUGAUCCACUUUUAGUUUGUAUGUUUUCCAAAGUUUUAGAUAACUAAUUUAAUUAACCCUAAGUCGUAUUAUUCAUGUUUUGAGUAUACUAAUCUUCAUUCUUGGUUUAUCAAUAUUUAGUUCAUGCUUUUUUUUUUCUAAUAGGUUAAUUAGUUUAACUAAUCUUAUGUUAUUUUGCUCACGUUCUAAAAUUGAUGAUUCUAGUUUUUGAUUAGUUAAUAUGUUUUAGAAUUCUAUGUGCUUGUGUUACUAUAUUCACAUUAUUAUAAUUACAUGUUUAGGUGUUUGGUUGAUUUUAAAUUAGUUCUAGAUUGUUUAUCUCAAUUUAUGUGUUUGAUUGAUCCUUAUAAAUUCUCGAUUAAUAUUUCAUUAGUUUUAUUUGAUCUAAAGUCGUUUGGUUUGUUGCUUUGGUGAAUAUUUAUUAAAUUUGAUUUUUAGAGGCCAUUGGAAAAUCAUGAAGAUUGACCUCUACCAUCACCAUUAUCAUUUUUGUUAAUUACUAAAAAAUUUUACUUUGAGGUUUCAUUUUUGUUUUGUUUGGUAUUUUAUUUCUUAUAUUUUAUUUUUUCCAAAUUAAUUCCUUUUAUUUUAAAAUAAAAUACUUUUCUCAAAAAAUCAUUUUAAAAAUCUAUUUCAAAAACCCAUUUAGAGUCCUCAGGAUCAAAAUCUUUUUUUUUUUAUUUUAAAAAAUAAUAUGCAACCAUAUUUUGUUUGGUUUGCAUCAUUCUCGGUUUCUAACAAAAAGUUUGGUUUUGAACAAAAACACGAAUCAAAGCUUGUGGUCCCAAAUAAUGGGAUAAUUCUGGGCUAAAUUUGUGUAUAUUAAUUUGGGGAAUUGGUGAAACCCCUACAUAAGAAAAUCUUUUCAAAAAUUAUUUUUGUUGCCAUUUUUGUCACUUUUUGAAAUUAUAUCUAUUUUUUUUUUUUAGAAAUUGUAUACAAGAUGAGUGUGAUAAUUAUUGUUUUCAUAUAUUUUGACAAUUUCUGCUAUGAUAAUUAGAUAACGAGCAUGCUAGGACUUCUUAUUUUAUUGUUUGUUAUCUAACCUCUCAUGUUUUGUGGAAGCGCAUUAGGAGUUAAAUAUGCUAUCCAGGUACGUUCCCUAAUACCCACUUUCUAAACCCUAUGAAUAUGUAUGCCCAUGCUUGCUAUCCUCUUUAAUUGCCUUGAUAAACAUUUGAUGAUUGUUUGAUUAUCUUUGAUAAAACAAAUGUUGUGUGAUGUAUCUCCAAACUAAUCUCUUAUGUUUUAUGAUAGCGCUUGGGAAGCCGUCCAGGUACGCAUUUUUAACUCUCCUUAAUUGUGAUUUGAUUUUGUUUGAUAUGUUAUGUUUUUUUGGAAUCACCUAGCCUACUUAGGCAUCCGAGAUCAACCAUUUAAUUGCCACGCUUCCCUUAACUUAGUCAGUAGAGACCUCUUUAGGGCUUAGAGGGGUGCUACCUCCUAGAGGCACCUUCCCAAUAAGUAACCUGAUCCCCGAACCAAGACUUGGGUUUUCAAAGACACGCUUUUCCAAAAAUUAUGGAGUCAUUUUUUUUAGGGUUUUAUUUCUUGUUUUAUUUUCGUUUCAAAAAUAAAAAUAAAAUAAGUGGCGACUCCAACUUUUUUUAAAAUUAAUUUUUCACAAUAAAAAGCGAGUCUCGCCGAUCGAGUGGGGACGCACGUGAAAAAUGCGGGUCCACAAUGCUCUUGGGCUUAGUCUGAUCUCAACACCUCUAAUGGUGGAAGUGAUCGGUCCACCAAGUCCAUAGGUCACCCGUGAAUAAAAUGCAUGCACCAGAGUCGGGAAGAUCGACUCGAAAAUCGUCACUACUAGCAGCCAUCCCAUCCGUCCGAAUAGUCCCUUAAACCCGAAAUACUGAAGUUAGGGAGAAAUUAAUACUUUUCCCUGGAACGACUUUCCUUUGAGUGAAUUUUUGCUUGUAUCUUUGAUACUCUUCUAUAGAAUUGAAGAAGGUCAUGUCAUACCUCGCCUUUUGGCGAGCCUUCGUUUGAUUAGGCUGAGAUGUCUCAGCAGGGCGCUUACCCUAAGCCCUAGAUGCUUUCGUCUCUCUCCUAGGCUCCAUCAGAAAAGAAGAAAUGAGGGAGGCGAAGCUGGUAGAGAGAGAAUCACACACACCCGAAAGCCCUAGGCAUGCUGGAAUGUCCUGAAGCUAAUUGUGACGCGCGGACUGAGGAGAAACCGUCCAAAAAUGAAAGCCCUAGGUCCCAAAUUUGAAACCCUAGUCUCUGAUCAUCCCAAAAUCUAUUCCAAGGCCUGCAAACAGUCCAAGAUCUUGCCCAAAUUGGUCUCUGGAAGUAGAAAUGCGAAAAGCCUUGAAGAAAUGGAGGAGAACAGUGGAGAAAAUGAGGCGCGGGAGGCUCUUUAAAUUCCUAGCCUUGACGAACCGAUUGACCGGUCCAUGAUCCGGUCGAUCGCUUGGUCAAUGGUCAACGGUCAACGCUCCAUUUUUUUUUUGUGCUUUUUCUUGUCUUGGGAUCCUUCCCCUACCUUUUUCAGUUGAAAUCCCCAAAUUUUGAUGUCCAAUGCUAAUGGGAUUUUGAUUUUUGGUCAAAAUUUGACCUUUUUCCUAAGUGUAUUUCUAUAUGAUGCAUAUGAUAUGAAAUUCAUGCAAACAUAAGGUAUAUUCAACAAGAAUUCAUCAAGCAAUCAUUUGAUCAUAAAGAAAUCACCCCUAGUUGUCUUCUAAUAUAAAAAAAUUACCCUUCACUUAAAGGUUUUGUAAAAAUAUCGGCAAGUUGAUCUUUUGUGCUUACAACUUCAAGUGUAAUGUCACCCUUUUGUGCAUGGUCUCUAAGAAAAUGGUGUCUAAUUUCUAUAUGCUUAGUCUUAGAGUGUUGUAGGGGAUUUUUUGAAAUAUUUAUUGCACUAGUGUUAUCACAUUUAAUAGGAACAUGCUCAAAAAACAAAUUGAAAUCACUAAGUGUUUGUUUCAUCCAAAGGAUUUGUGUACAACACAAACCGGCUGUUAUGUAUUCGGCUUCCGCCAUUGACAAGGCUACCAAAUUUUGCUUCUUACUAUGCCAUGAAACAAGUGUGUGUCCUAGGAAAUGACAAGUGCCACUAGUGCUUUUCCUUUCAACUUUACAACCGACAAAGUCAGCAUCCGAGAAUCUAAUUAAUUCAAAGUUAUCACCCUUAGGAUACCAUAGACCUAUGUCCAUUGUCCCUUUCAAAUAUCUAAGAAUUAGUUUUACGGCACUUAAGUGAGAUUCUUUAGGACAAGAUUGAAAUCUAGCACACAAGCAUACACUAUACAUGAUGUCGGGUCUACUAGCGGUCAAAUAUAGCAAAGAACUUAUCAUGCCUCUAUACAUAAUUGAGUUGAUGGACUUACAUUUCUCAUCCUUGUCAAACUUGAUGGAUGAGCUCAUUGGAGUCUUCAUUGUUUUGGCUUCUUCCAUGUCAAACCUUUUGAGAAGAUCUCUUAUAUACUUUGCUUGAUCGAUGAAGGUUCCUUCCUUUAGUUGCUUGAUUUGAAGUCCAAGGAAGAAGUUAAGUUCUCCCAUCAUGCUCAUUUCGAAAUCACUAUGCAUGCAUUUAGAAAAUUCUUCACAAAGAGAGACAUUAGUAGCUCCAAAAAUGAUGUCAUCAACGUAUAUUUGCACUAAGAGCAUGUCAUUUUCUUUAGUUUUUGUGAAAAGAGUUGUGUCAAAUUUUCCCAUUUUAAAACCCUUUUUUAAAAGAAAUUUACUCAAUCUUUCAUACCAUGCUCUAGGUGCUUGUUUCAAACCAUAAAGUGCCUUUUUAAGUUUAAAGACAUGAUUAGGAAAGUUAAAACUUUGAAAACCGGGUGGUUGUUCAACAUAUACUUCUUCAUUUAUAAAGUCAUUUAAGAAAGCACUUUUUACAUCCAUUUGAUAUAAAACAAAGUCUUUAAAACAUGCAAAGGCAAGUAGCAUCCUAAUGACUUCCAAUCUAGCUACGGGAGCAAAGGUUUCUUCAUAAUCUAUCAUUUCUUCUUGAUUAAAACCUUGGGCUACCAAUCUUGCUUUAUUUCUAACAAUUAUGCCAUUUUCAUUAAUUUUAUUUCUAAAGACCCAUCUAGUUCCAAUAACACUUUGAUUUGAAGGUCUUGGUACUAAUUCCCAUACUUCAAUUCUUUCAAAUUGAUUUAAUUCUUCUUGCAUAGCAAUCAUCCAAUUUUCAUCAACUAGAGCAUCAUUUAUAUUUUUAGGUUCAAUUUGAGAGAUAAAAGCAAGAUUAUUGGAAAUAUUUCUAAGAGAUGAUCUAGUUCUUAUCCCACUAGAUGGAUUACCUAUAAUUUGAUCUUGUGGGUGGUUGAUGACAAACUUCCAAUCUUUAGGAAGGUCUUGGCUUGAUUCACCUUGCACUUGUUGAGAAGGGGGUAGUGCCAAUGGUGAUUCUUCUUUCUUGGGAUCCUCUCUAAUUUCUUCUUGUUGCCUUUUAUAUUCAAUUUGUAAUUUUCCCAUGGAGGUUUCCAAGCCUAAAUCAUCAUCAAAACUCUCUUUUUCUUGGAAAGAAUUGUUAGAUUCAUAAAAAAUAACAUGGAUGGACUCAUCUACAACCAUGGUUCUUUUGUUAAAAACUGUAAAGGCUUUACUUGAAGUUGAGUAACCAAGAAAAAUUCCAACAUCUGAUUUUGCCUCAAAUUUUCCAAGAUUGUCUUUGGUGUUUAAUAUAAAGCAUUUGCACCCAAAGACUUUGAAAUAGUUAAUGUUGGGUUUCUUGUUUUUCCAAACCUCAUAAGGAGUUUUCUUAAGAAUGGGCCUUAAUAAUAUUCUAUUUAAAACAUAACAAGAAGUGUUAACCGCUUUAACACAAAAAUAUUUUGGUAAAUUGUUUUCAUUUAGCAUGGUUCUAACCAUUUCUUGAAGAAUUAUAUUUUUCCUUUCAACUACCCCAUUUUGUUAAGGAGUUCUAAGAGCCGAAAAAUUGUGGUUAAUACCAUGCUCAUUGCAAUAGUCUUUAAAAUCAAUAUUUUCAAAUUCUCUCCCAUGAUCACUUCUUAUACAAGUAAUUGUAAAACCUUUUUCAUGUUGAACCUUGUUGCAAACUUUGAAAACUCAUAAAAGGCUUCAUUCUUUUGACUUAAAAACAAGAUCCAAGUGUAUCUAGAGAAGUCAUCCACAAUAACAUAUGCAUAAGAUUUUCCUCCAAGGCUUGGUGUCCUAGUUGUUGAAAUGAAAUUUUUGUUUUUAAAAGAAUUUUUGAUUUGCUUUCCCAUUUGAGAAGCUUCACAAACUUUGUCUUUUUGAAAAUUUAUUUUGGGAAGGCCUCUAACAAGUUCAUCUUUGUUGAGUUGGGAAAUGAGGUCCAUGUUAGCAUGUCCCAACCUCUUAUGCCACAACCAACUUUGAUCAUGCAUGCUUGAAAAGCAUAUAUCAUGGCCAUCAUAUUUUGAAAUAUUUAUAGCAUAAACAUUAUCACAUCUAUGGUCCAUGAAGAUGGUUUUAUCAUUUUUAAUAUCUUUGAUGAUGCAAUGAGAUGCUUCAAAAAUUACUUUAAAACCUUUGUCACAAAGUUGACUAAUGCUUAAAAGAUUAUGUUUUAAACCAUCCACUAAUAAAACACUUUCAAUAAGAGAGGAUGUGCCAUUACCAAUGUUGCCUUGACCAAUAAUCCUUCCUUUUGCAUUGUCUCCAAAGGUAACGUAUCCUCUCUUUCUCUUUGUAAGGAAGACAAACUUGGAUUCAUCCCCGGUCAUGUGUCUUGAGCAUCCACUAUCCAAGAACCACUUAUCCUUCUUUGAACCCUACAAAAUAAGAUUCAAGUUGAUUUAGGUACCCAUAUCUUUUUGGGUCCUUGAGGGUUAGUGACCUUGGAUUUCUUAAUCCAAACCUUUUUAACCUUAGCAUUUGAAUUCUUUUGAGAUCCAUUUCUUAAGGGACAUGUGCUACUAAUUUGCCCUCCUCUUCCACAAAAGUUUCAAGUUGUAGAAGGACUUGCACUUGAGGAUUCUUUUACAAAAUAGUUUUUAAAAUACUUUUUAUUCUUUAAGGAUUUGAAUCUUAGCCCUUGUUUGUAAAAAACACAUUUUUGGCUAGUUAAGAUCAUUUCAAAAGAUUUUUGUCCACAAGAAAAAAUUGAAAGAGAUGAGGUUAAGCAUUCAUUUUUCUUUUUCAAUAUCUCACUUUCACUUCUCAAAAUCUCAUUUUCUUUUUCAAGAUGAGUUUUAGAUAUUUCAACAAUUGAAAAUUUUUCUUUCACUUCUUCAAGUUUUCUUUCAAGUUCUUGAAUUUUCUGUUUAAGAGAAUUAUUUUUCAAACUAAAUUUUUCAAAAUCCUCAUAUAAUUCUUCAAAAACAUCAUGCAUAUCUUCAUCACUAAAGUUAGAGUUUACCUCAUCAAGAUCAUCUAUUGCCACAUAGCACAUGUUUGCCACUUCUUUCUCAUUUUCUUCUUCGGAGGAUUCUUCACUUUCACUCCAAGUGGCCAUCAUUGCCUUUUUCAUUCUUCUCUUGGCUUCCCUUUUGUAGAGAGGACAAUCAUAUUUGAUGUGUCCCGAUUUUUUGCAUUUGAAACACACCAAAUCUCUUUUCUCUUCCCAUUUCUCCUUGUCACCAUGAGAUGAGGAUUCCUUUUUAGAAAGGUUUCUUCUAGAGGUGAAUUUUCUUCCUCUAAACCUUUCACUCCUCAUGUAUUUGUUAAGCUUUCUUGUGAUGAGGGCUAAAUCUUCAUAUUCCUCACUUGGUUUUUCUUCUUCAACGUCUUCUUCUUCCUUGGUUGUAGCUUUGAGAGCUAUGUUUUUCUCCUUUUUAUCUUCACCCUCUUGUAGCUUCUUUGCUAAGUUAAUCUCAUAUGUCAUCAAUGACCCUAUGAGCUCUUCCAUAGGUAGCUUAGUCAAGUUUUUUGCUUCUUGAAUUGUGGUGACCUUGGUAUGCCACUUUGAUGGGAGAGACCUCCUUCAUCACCUUCUCAGAUUCCUUGUAGGUUUUUCCCAAAGCUUUAAGACCAUUGACAAUGUUGGUGAACCUAGUAAUCAUCUCAACAAUAGUCUCAUUUUCUUUCAUUGAAAACAAUUCAUAGUUAUGAACAAGUAAAUUAUUUUUUGACUCUUUCACUUGAUUUGUUCCUUCAUGAGUUAUCUCAAGUAAUCUUCAAAUUUUUUUAGCUGAUUUGCAUUGACAUAUUCUAUUAUAUUCAUUUCUAUCCAUAACACAUUGCAAAGUGAAAACAACCUUAGCAUUUAAUUGAAAAUUUCUUCUACCAAGAUCAUUCCAUUCUUGCUUGGGUUUUGGAACCAAGACUCCAUCAACUAGUUUAGAAGGAAAAGUUGGGUCAUCUUCAAUGACAUCCCAUGCAUCUAGAUCGGUUGAUUGUAAAAACCAAGUCAUUUUAGUUUUCCAAUAGGGAUAGUCGGUUCCCGUAAAAAAUGAAGCUCUAUGUUUUGCAAAAAUUUCAGUGUGAGAUGAGCUUGAUGGAAUAGUCAUUUCCUCUUAGACUAUUAGGUCUUAAACAAAAGGUCUGCCUCUGAUACCAAUUAAGAAAAUAAAUGUUAUGCUUAAUUAAAAAAAACACCCAAAAGGGGGGGGGGGGGGGGAAUUGAGUUUUUUUUUUUAAAUCUUUUCAAACACAACAAGUUCAAGCACAAUAUAAAUAAAAGCAAAGAGAUAGAGUUAGAGAAUUCAAACUCGAGUUUUAUAGUGGUUCGACACUUCCUUGCCUACGUCCACUCUCCUCAAUCUCCUAACCGAGGGAGGGUUCCACUAACUUGAAGCUUCAACCAAGCUUCCAAUCUUCUCACGCUUGGAUUUCGGCUCCAAUGGGCUCUUACACAAUCUCUUCAAGAUUCAAACCUCUUGAAGGCUUUAACACUCAGUUUUUACAAGAAUGAAUCCCUCAACCUAGCUUAAGGAUAACUCAAAUACAAGACAAAGCUAGGAUGACACACAAGAGUGCACUAAAGGAUAUGCAAGUGAUGAUUUAAUGCACUAAGAAAGAAAUGAGAGCUUUUUGGUCAAGAAUAGGUAGGUAAACAAUUGAUUGCAAGUGUUCUCUAUAUCAUAAAUGAAGUGGAGCUCUCAAUUUAUAGGUUUCUAAGCUCGGGAGCUAAAAACAGCAAAAGGAAGCCUCGACCGGUCGAGCUAGGGGUUGACCGGUUCACUAGCCGUUGAAGCAUUUAAUGCUUGGUAGGUUACCAUUGCCUCGACCGGACCUCGAUCGAACCUCGAUCGGGAAGGGGUCAACCUCAAUUGGGAAGAGGAAGCUACUGGAUGAGAGAAAGUGUUUUUGGCACUCCUCGACCGGACAAGGGCAACCGGUUCCCCAACCGGUUGAGCCGGUUGGCUAGAGCCUUGACCGGUUUAGUGUUUUGGCCCUGAAAACCUAUCUUUUUCAAUUCCUUUCUUUUAUAACACUUAGGCAAGGUCUUUAGGUGAAAUAAUAUGCCAAUUUUAAAACGUUUUGCCUAAGGUACUUUUGAUAAAAACUUGGGUUUUAAUGAAAUCAAAGUUUUAAAAGAUAAACCGAGUUUUCUAAGAUGCAUGAAACGGUAUGAAAAUCCUAAGUGCACCCAUGCAUUCAUCUUACAUUCGUUUAUUAUGAUCAAAAGUCUUCCCAAAGUCUUGAUCUUGUAUCUAUUUGGCCCUUUGAUGAAUUUCCGAAUUUAUACCUGAAAUUAUUUACCAUUUAAAACAAUUAGUCACUUAACCAUAGUUUGUUAUCAUUAAAACUUGAUUAGGAGAACCCUUGGGCUAACAGUUUUCAAUCGAAAGGUUUUCUUAACUCGUGAUCACUUGAUUUAGUGAUAAGAUUUCCUUUCAUUUAGCUAAUAUGUAUGAGAGUUAAUAUCAAGAUCAUUCUUGUGCUUUUGGAUGACUUGGGUGACCUCUUACGGUGCAUCUUAUUUAUGAACACCCAAGGUGCUUUGAAGCAUGUUUGUCCACCAUAUGUUGCUGGCAACUUUUGUAGCCUUUUAAUUUCAUAGGAGUGCCUUUGACUAGAUGUAAAAGCAUAAGCAAGUUUCACCUGAUAAAAAGAGUCUUAAACUCCCGAACAAGUUGAGUGAGAUGCAACAUGUCUUAAGUGGUCGUUUUGAUAGAAAUUUAGUUAUCAACUUUGAGGAUGGGUAUCCGAGCUGGUAGGUGUGAGUUGGAUUGCUUUGCUGGACUUUGAGAAUGAGGUACCUUUGGUUGCUUGAGAUGAAAAUUGUCUAGUUUUUUGUACCAUGGGCUUGUAACUAUGUCAUUAACCAUUUUCCAAUAUGUAGUAGUUGUUGAAUCGAUAGGCUCCAUUUUUCAAACUUGCUUAUUUUGCUAUACAAAUAUUAUUAGGUAUGUUCAAGUGCAAGGGGGCUAAGUUAUAACACCUGGGGCUUAGGUCAUAGACCCUAAGGCUAUUAGUUUUAGGUAGACAUAUCUUCUCAAAAUUCUUAUCGUAUUCAAGAAUUACUCUCUUAGCGUGAAACAAAGAAGGGUAUUAUUGUGAUCCAUAUUUGCUUCUCUUCAAUCCCAUAUUUCUAAAACUUUAAAGCUAAUAUUCUUUUGAAUAUCACACAAUAUAAAAAUGAUUGAAGAAAAUAUUACAAAAGGAAAAUAAAUAAAAGAACACUCCAUUGGAAUGAUUCAACUUCAUUUUCGACCCUUUGUGACAACUUUUUGUUCUAACUAAGGAAUGCUUAGACUUUCACACAAACAGUGCCAAUGAAGAUGCUCAAAGUCUUCAUGAUUGAAUUUUUAUUCAUUAGUUUGGUAAACACAGAGAAGGAUUUUUUUCAUUUGGUAGAUGCAGAGAGUGAUUUUUUUAUGGAGGAGGAGGACCUCUUUUUGCUAUUCAUUUUAGGAUUUAUAUAUUUAGGGUAUUCUAUCAUGAGUCAAACUCUUUCAGGAGUUGACACAUGGGUUAAUAACCUUUUUCACUAGAAGCCAAGAGCUAGUAAUAUCUUCUUUUAAGGGUCAGGUUUGUUAUUUUAUUAGACCUUGAGGUAGGUCAUUGCCAAGGUACCUAUUAUUAAGUAAGUUGAUUUUAGGUAGCUUCACUCCCCAUUAUUUAUGGUGUUAUGUAUGUGUAUGGUGGGUAGAUAGUCAAAUUGGAUCUAGUUGAUAUCAAGACUAAAGACAAUAUUUAACCCAUUAGAAUAAAUUAAAGAAACAAAUAUUAUGAGAUGAAUGUAAAGUACAAAACAUUUUUAACUUGUAUAACUAAUUGAUUUACUCUUUUAAUCCCUUAAAAAAAAUUAUGUUUUAUGGUCGUGAGUUGCAUACCUUUGGAUGUUAUUUUGAGGGUUCAUGAUUCUUCAUCAUAGGUAUGGAUGAAUAUGACUAUUCAAUUGAGGUUGUAUAGUUUCAAGGACCUAUGGUUCUUUUCCCAAAUUUUUAUCUGAAAGACAUUUUAUAUCUUUAGAAUUCAAAAAAAAGAAAUAUUGUAGUUAAGUAGUUAGUGCGGUAGGAGUGGGUGUGGGGAUGGGUCCAACUAGGAUGCAAAACAAUGGUAGUAAUUAGAAUGUUGGAGGGUUGAAUUUCCAGCUAUAGUCAUUGGUCAAUGCCAAAAUCAUAAAGUUCCUUUCUCUUCUCCAAAAUUAGUUACCAUAUAUAGUUAAUAUUUAAUUAUUUUGUAUAAAGAGUGUGCCACCUCUUCGAAGGCUAAAGAAUUUAGGAUAAGGACAAAGUCUCCUAUUGUGCUUUUAUAAUGGUUGAAUUUGGUUUGUUCAAUGUGCUUUUCAAAUGCUUUAAAGAUGCAAUUAGAAUUCUUGAUGGUUUGUGCAUGAAUUGUAAUUAUAUGCAUCAUUGGUUUUCUUUCUUAAGUGACAACAUCUAAUGGCUCAAUUUAUACGAGCAACAUCUAAUGAAUUAAUGGAUAUGGAUUAUACAAUUUUAUGGAGUUCUACCAUAGAAAAAUUUUCAUAGAUAUCAUGGUAGAGGAAAUAAAUGAAGGAAACAUGAGAGGUGAAAUAUUUAUACAAAAAAUAUAAAUUAAAAUUCAUGAAGAUAUGAAAAGAAAAGGCAAUCGAAACUACCCCAUAAAACAAGUUAAAUAAAAAUUUAAUAGGUUUGGCAUUAAGCAUUGUAAGUUUAGUAAGUUAUUAAAACAAACAAGAUUUAAUUGGGGUGUUGAAAGAAACACUAUGAAUGUUACAAAGGAAGUGUGAUAAAACUAUUUACAAGUAAAUAUUAAUACACACACACACACACACACACACACACACAUCUAUCUAUCUAUCUAUAUAUAUUAUUUAUUUUGUUAGAUACAUCCAAAGACAUCGCAAUUUCAAAAGAGAGGAUGCGAGCAUAUCAAGUUUUUAAGACUUACAUUUAAUAAAUAUAUUAAUAUUGGAGUGCUUCACCAUGCAUCCACUUAAGAACCAACUGACACUGAUGAUGAGAUAGAAUUGAAGAAUCAACAAGUCACAUUGAAAACAAAUUGCAACAAGUGUAGAGCAUAGAAAAACAAAAAAGAGAAUAAAUCACAAUAUGUUGGUUAUGUGUAGACCCUCCAUUUUGUCCUAUUAGCACAUGUCCUAUUAUAUGUUUGCUUGGUACUUUACAACAAUUCCCUUAUAGCCCAUUACUGCUCAUGUAGCUUAUCUUUUUUAAGUCACCUUGGAGACUUUGGUUGAAGGACUCAUCUGACCCCAUUGUGAUUCUAGGAAGCUUUAAUUGAGACUUAGGUUUUUUUCCUUCCAUGUUAGGCCCAUUUAGAUACACUUGGCCCAUUAGGCACCACCUUAGGCCCACUUAGGCACUUUUCUAGGAUUAGUUUCACUUAGAUUUUUUUUAUUGUUUUUCUUUAUUUAUUUAUUUUAUUGAUUGAUUUUAGGGUUAAGUGAGUUUUUGAUUUAUUUUAUCUUAUUUCAUUAUUAUUAUUAUUUGUAUUUUGUUUAUUUAUUUUAUUUUGUAGUUGCAUGAAAUGAAUUUUUUUUAUUUUUGGUGGUUUGAGUUUGACACUUCGAUUAUUAUUAUAUGUUGCAUUAGUUUAAUUUCUUUUUUUUAAUAUGUCUAAUAUUUAUUCAUUUAUGUAUUAUACCUUUUAUCUAUGUAUUGAUAUUUUCUUAUUUGCAGAUUUAAUGACUUCUUGAAAUUUUAGCGAAAGGAAUGUUGACUUUUAAUGAAGGGAAUUGUUUCGACUUAAGGGGAUUCUUGCUUUCUUUAUUACUUUUUUAUUUUUAUUUUGCAUGAGAAAACCUGGGGAAUGGGGAGCUAGAAAGCAACGUCCUUGACAUAUUUCUCAACAAGGAGCCAAACUUUUGUUAAUUUAUGUAGUGAGCGCAAGACUCGGUGAUGUAUCAUGUUGGCGAACCAAUGCCAUUUAUCUUUUCCUCGAAGAUUUACCGGUUGUCGGAAUAGCGUAUUGCACACACCGACAGACUUCAGAUUACGAUCUUACUCUGCCGUUGAACCUUUUUCAUCGAAGCAUGCUCGAAAUAGCACAUAGCCAUGAUUAGUACGUAGCAAAGCAGAUCAGGGUCUUCGCAAAGCCCUAGAUCUCCAAGUACACAACCCUUUUUAUCGGUCUCAAUCACAAAUCCUAUCAAAUUGGGCAAUAGCGUCCAGGCUUACAUCUUUUAUCAUGUCAUCACCAAGACAAAUUUACCUGAGUACCAAGGUCAAGAGAAGAUUGUUAUUCGAUGUUACAAUGAAUUUGUUUGUUUACAUGAUCGUCUCUUUGAGAAGUACAAAGGCAUUUUUGUUUCUCCUCGAUCUUCCAAAGAAGAGUGUUGGAGAGAAGUUCAUUUCAGUGCUGAAUUUAUUAAGAUGAGGCAUCAAGCAUUAGAUAUAUUUGUUAACAAGAUAGCAUCACAUCAUGAGCUUCAGCAAAGUGAGGACCUAAGAACCUUUUUGCAGGUAGAUGAAGAUACGAUGGAGAGAGCAAGGCCCCUCGAGGAGAUCAUGAAUAUAUUGACUUUCGUAGCCAUUUUGAAAAAGCUAGAGCUAUUGAAUCGUAUGAUAGGAUAUUGAGUUCUUUUCCGAUCAUCUAUGUGGGCUCUUUGACCAAGUUAAAGCAGUUUCUUUAAGUUAUGGUUGAACCUGCUAGAUCUUCUCUCAAGCAGAACUCAAUGCCACUUCCCCUAUGGAGAUUUCUCUAUUAUUUAGAAGCAAAACGACAAUCCUCCUAUUAGAGAUAGUUCAAUCCUGACGGAAAGAGUAUUAAAAAUGACACUUCUCUUGACCAUAGUGCAGUGGACAUCUGAAGAGACUGCAACAUGCACACACAUGGAAGGCGGCCUCUCAAAAAAAGAAACACGAUACGCAUGAUAUGGCAUGGAGAAUAUUUUUGGGAAGGUGACUUAGCAUCACACAUAUGAUUGUUGGCUCUCUCCGGGAUGGUGAGUGGUCUUUCCAUGUAGGUGGAGUCAAUGGGAAGGAGUGCAGAGGACGCUUAUGAGAAGGGAUCACACUGGUUUUGGAAUGGUAGAUUUGGGGCAUGAAAAGAGAAAAUAAAUGAUGGAUGAAUGAGGAUGGUUUUUUAGGAAGAUACAGAGAAGGAAAAGGUUCUUUUGGAAAGGAAGUUUUCAACACGUUGAAGAAAAAAAAUACUGAGCGUAGGGAAGAGAAUGGGAAUGUUUUGGGAAUAUAAUAGAAGGUGAUCAGAUGUGGAGGGGGGUAGCAUGACAGAGAUUGAUUGAGAGCAUGAUAGAGAUGGAGUUGAGAGAGAAGAGAAAGGUACAGUCGCACCAGUGAGAGAGAAGAGAAAUGUGCAGCUGCACCAUUGAGAGGGAAGAGAGAGCUGUAGCUGCACCAUUGAGAAAGGAAAGAAAGGUACAACCGUGCAGCCGCACCAUUGGAGAGAAAAGAAAUGUGCAACCGCACCAUUGGAAAGAAAAUGAGAGGUAGCUGGUUGGUGGUGAACAAGACGCUGGUUUUGGAGGAGAUGAGGGUUCUAACUCAGUCGCACCAUUAAAGCUUUGGGGAAAGCAUGAUUGCCUCUAAUACCAUGCACCAUUCGGAUUGCUUUGGAGCAAGCAUCACUGGUUGAUUUUUGAUUCAUCCUAUCAUCCACACGGUUUCUACUAUGGGAAGCAUACAACAUACAGUCCACGCACCUAUCCGACUGGGUAAGCUGAUUCUUCUCUUAUAUUUUUCUUAAUUAGUCAAUAUAAUUAAUACAAUGUGUUAAAGAUCCUAUUUGAAUUUACUAUAGUACAUUUGUAAUUCAUCAUUAGAUUUGAGUUAUAUUUAUUUAUUUAUGUGUUAUCUAUUUAUCCAUUUGUUAAUAAGAUUGAUUCUAUAGGUUAAAGAUUUAGUUUUAAAAUCUGUUUUGGUUAGUUUUUAAUUCAACUUUAGGUUUAAGUGCUUUUAUAAAAUUUUAGUUUGUUAAAAUAAUUUAUCAUAUAUGUUAAGGAUUUGAUUUUAGAUUUUCCUUAAUUAGUGUUUAAUUCAUUUUAAGCUUAGAUUUCAUUUUAGUAAUGUAAGUUUAUUUAGAAAAUUGAUUCCAUGAAUUCAUAUUUUGUUUUUUUAGUUAGCUUUCAUUUAAUUUGAUUCAUUUUAAUUAUUUUAGGUGUUUUUGUGUGUUUAAUUGAUCAUGUGCUAGUUCUUGAUUGUUAUUCUCAAUUGAUAUGUUUAUUGAAUACCUGUGGACCCUCACCCGAUCCACCGGACCGACGCGACUCGCUUUUAAAAGAAAAGAAAGAAAUGAAAAAGUUGAGUUUUCCGGUUUUGAAAAACCCGCCCCCGGUGAGGAACGGUGUUGUAUGGAGUCGCCACUUACUUUUUAUUUUUAUUUUUAAAUGGGGAAAAUUAAGUAAGAACAAAAACCCCUAAUGACCCCAGUAUGGAAAAAACGGUCUACGCAAACUAGAUUCUGGGUCCGGGGAUCAGGUUACCCAUUGGGAAGGUACCUUAUGCGAGGUAGCACCUCUCUAGGCUCGGAACUCGGUCUCUACUAAUGAAUUGGGUAUGUGGGAGCAUAUGGGUCAAAGAUCAAAUGAAACCUUAAGCCAAAUAGAUGUCAUGAAUCACACAAUCCUAGUUGGUAUUUGGCAUGCAUAUGAAUUCAACCAACCAAAAUAAUGAGUGCGUACCUGUGGUCCCUAGCCAAGCGCUGCAUAAAAGGUCGAUAAACACCUAACAAACAUUCAAGAUUAAGCACCAUGCAUGCAUAUGAUUCAACAAUCAAAAACAACGAUGCGUACCUGUAGUCCCUAGCCAUGUGCUACAGCAGAGGGUGAGUCAGCCACGCAACAUGUAUUCAGAAUCAAACAUCAAAGUUUGUGCCAAAAAGGAAGAAAGUUAGUUGAAAUGAGGUAAGGGACUCCUCAAUUGUCAUACAAAUCAAACUAGACUCAUCUAGACCACACCAUCCAUAACUUCAAAAUUGGCCCACACUAACUGAAAUUAAACUCGGACUUAAACCUUCAAGAUGGCUCACAAGUGCCCCAUCGCAAAUGGAUACGGGCUCGAAAGAUGCCAAAAUCGAGGGCUACCCAAAGUCCUCUUGCAGAACAGGUUGAACCAGUUCUCAACUGGUAAUAAAAAUUCCCAAAUUUUUUUAGAAGACUCCUAAAUGAGUAAGGAAUCAAAAAAAAGCAACGACACUCAAUUCUGAGCCCGGACGAGUGAGAACCAAACAAAGAAAGAUCAGGUAUUCCUCAUGACUGACAGAGUCAGCCAACCAUAGUGCUGAACUAGUUGAACUAGUUCCCAACUGGUUUAUUUGGUUGAUAAAAAAUCCCAGAUUUGGCUUGAAAGUUCCUAAAUGAUUAAGAAAGAAAACAAAAGAAACGGUUCUCAAUUCCGAGCCCGGAUGAGUGAGAACCAGACAAAGAAAGGCAAGUGUUCCUCAUGGCUGACAAAGGCAGCCAGUUAUGGUACUGAACCAGUUGAACCGGUUCCCAACCGGUUCAGCUGGUUGAUAAAAAAUCCCAAAUUCAGUUAGAAAGUUCCUAAGUGAUUAAGGAAGCAAACAAAAGAAACGAUUCACAAUUCCGAGCUCGGAUGAGUGAGAACCGGACAAAGAAAGGCAGGUGUUCCUCAUGGCUGACAGAGGCAGCCAGCUAUGGUGCUGAACCGGUGAAUCGGUUUCCAACCGGUUGAUAAAAAAUCCCAAAUUCAGUCAGAAAGUUCCUAAGUGAUUAAGGAAGCAAAAAAAAUAAACGGUUCUCAAUUUCGAGCUUGGAUGAGUGAGAACUGGACAAAGAAAGGCAGGUGUUCCUCAUGGCUGACAGAGGUAGCCAGCUAUGGUGCUGAACCGGUUGAACCGGUUCCCAACCGGUUCAGCCGGUUGAUAAAAAAUCCCAAAUUCGGUCAAAAAGUUCCUAAGUGAUUAAGGAAGCAAAAAAAAGAAACGGUUCUCAAUUCCGAGCUCGGAUGAGUGAGAACCAGACAAAGAAAGGCAGGUGUUCUUCAUGGCUGACAGAGGCAGCCAGCUAUGGUGCUGAACUGGUUGAACCGGUUUCCAACCGAUUCAGCUGGUUGAUAAAAAAUCCCAAAUUCGGUUAGAAAGUUCCUAAACCAUUCAUAACCAAUCAACAACAAUCAUGUGUGGCCUUUAUUAUCCACACCCAAGCAAUACAAUCUUCAUAUCAAAGGGAAGAAAAGAUGAUGAUGAAGGAGAAAAAGCAUAUGAAGACGAGGAAGAUAAACUAUAGGUAAAAAAAAAUUCAGCAUGCUUACCUCAGAAUCUCCACCAAAUAUGAUCCAUGUAUGCCGAUGAUGACUUCCAAAACUGAGAUGUUGUCACUCUCCUUUUCAAAAAAACCACAGUGCUGAAGCUUUCCCCCAAGCUCUCAACUUAGAAGAUGCUAUUGACCUUUUGUUUUUCUCACCAGCAAAAUUUCCCCUCUCUAAAAUGUCCCCUCCCGUCCUUUGCUCUCCUAUCCUCUCACCUUUUAUACUUAUACCCCUCUUAGCAUUUGAGCCUCCUGGGUUCCUUCCCCUUCAUCAGCAUGGGAACCACACCCCUCAUUACUUCUCUUAAACUUACGAGGCCAGCUCACUCAUUUCAGUUUUCAGCUUGCUUCACCACCAAGAAUCCAUAUGGAUUCGUGGUGGGCUGAAAGGAACCCAAACCAAGGCCCAAAAUGGACCCACAACAUUGCCCAAAACUGAUGUGGAGCUUACGGGCCUGAGCCAUGUAGGAUUUGGGCCCCAAAAUUACUAGAAUUAGUGUUUUACCUCAGCUGACUCAAUGAACCGGCUGAACCGGCCGAGCCGGAUGCCAACUGGUCGAACCGAUGGCAAUUUUUUUUGAAAAUUUGACAUAAUGUUCCUAGAAUAUUAAGGAAUCCAUGAAAAAAAAUGGUGCAUGAUUCCGAGUUCGGAAGAGGGAGAUAUGAUCAAAACAAUUACCAAAAAGUAGUGUUCUACACCGGCUGACUCGAUGAACCGGCUGCCAACCAGCCGACCGGUUGCAAAAAAUUUUGAAAAUUUUACAGAAUGUUCCUGGGAGAAUAAGGAAUCCAUAAAAAUAAACGGUUCUUGAUUCCGAGUUUGGAUGAGGGAAAUACGAUCAAAACAAGCCCGAGUGCUCCGAAUCUCAACAUGCCCCUAUAAACUCCAACUAAGCUAAAACAUCGGGAUGACCCCACUUCCUUCCUAUAGCGUGAUGUGAACGACUAGGAAAAUGGCCAUGGUGACCCUCCAAAAUGAACCACAUAUGUACCACAAUGGACCACAGACAAACCCACACGAGGCUCGGACACCGACUAAGCCCAAAAGGGGCCCUACUGGUGCCAUAUGCGAACGAUGGGUGGAUGUGACACCCGAAGGAUAAAUGCCAGUGUCGAGGGACAAAAUUGAGGGUCUACAAUACCAAUCAUUAAUUCUUGGUGGAUAUCUCAUUAGCUUAUUUGAUCUAAGUUUGAAUAGUUUAUUGCUUUGGUAGUCUCUUGUAAAAUUUACUUUUCAGAGGCCAUAAAAAAAUAGUGAAAAUUGGUCUUCGUUCUCACCACUCUAGUUAGCUCGGUUGUCAAAAAUUUUACUUUAUGAUUUUGUUUUGUUUUGUUUUGUUUUCUUCAAAUUAAUUUCUUUCACUUCAAGACAAAACAUUUUUCUCAAAAUAUCCCUUUGAAAAUCAAUUUUUUUAAAAAAAAAAAAUUAUUUAGAGUCAUUAGAAUCAAAAUCUCAUUUUCUUAAAUAAUAUGCAACCAUGUUUUGAUCGGUUUGCAUCUUUCUUAGUUUUCAAUAAAAACUACGGUUUUGAAUGGAAUACGAAUCCAAGCUUGUGGUCCCAAACAAAUGGGAUAAUUCUGGGCUAGAUUUGUGUAUAUCAAUUGGAGAAUUGGUGGAACCCCUACAUAAGAAAAAUUUUCGAAACUCAUCUUUGUUGUCACCUUUGCUAUUGUUGAAAUCAUAUCUAUCUAUUUUUUAGGAAUUAUAUACAAGAUGUAUGUGAUAAUUGAUGAUUUUGUAUACUUUGAUAAUUUUUUCUAUGCUAAUUAGAUAAGAAGCAUGUUAGGAUUUCUGUAUUUUAUUAUUUAUUAUCUAACCCCUCAUGUCUUGCGGAAGCAUGUUACAAGUUAUCUAUGCUUUCCAGGUAUACCCCCUAUCACCUACUUUCUAAAUUCUGUGAACAUGCUUGUCAUUGUGAACCACGCCUAUGUUUGAUAGUGCUUGGGUGUCUUGAUAUAUUGUUUCAUUGUUCGAUUAUUUAUGAUAAAACAUAUGCUGGAUGAUAUCCUAUUUGAACUAACUUUGAUGUAUUGCGAUAGCGCUUAAGAAGCAAUCCAGGUACGCACCCUAAAUCUUCUUUAUGAUUUGUGAUUGAUUCUCUUGUUUAGUAUGCUAUUUUUUUUAAAUCACCUUAAUCUACCUAGGUACCCUCAAUCAACCAAUUAAUUGCCCCAAUUCCCUCAACUUAGUCAGUAGAGGCCUUUGUAGGGCUUAGAGGGGUGCUACCUUUUAGAGGUACCUUCCCAAUAGGUAACCUGAUAUCUGGACUAAGACUUAGGUUUUUCAAAGAUACGCUUUUUCAAAAACUAUGGAGUCACUUCUUUAGAGUUUUCUUUUUUGUUUUAUUUUCCCUUUUAAAAUAAAAUCAAAUAAGUGGCGAUUCCAAUUUUUUCAAAACUAAUUUUUUACCAAUAAAAACAAGUCUUGCCAAUUGAGUGGGAACGCAUGUGAAAAAUGCGGGUCCACAUUAUGUCCUUCAAGGAUGAGCUAAGGCAACAAAGGUAAAAAUAGAAGCCUCUUUAAACAACCAAAAACUUAUAAAAAAAAACAUUCAAUUAUAGACAUUCAUUAGUUAGAAACAUAAUUAAACAUUAUUUUUGUGUUGAAAAUACUUUGCAAAUGUUUUAAAGUGUUUUUUUUAUUAAAACAAAAUAAAGUGGCGAGCCAUGCUGUUGAAGGGCCGGCGGCUCUAUUGACAAACACUUCUAUCGAGAAAUCUAUACAUGUACACACAGCACACACUCAUACUCAUACGAAAGAAAAGAAGAAUUAAUAUUAUUCUCAUCUUACCAGUUUCUUAAUAUAAUUAUCAGAUUCAAUGCAACGACGGCAUUUGAUCAAACACUUGGAGGGCAACACUCCACGUCGAAGCCGCCGGCAGGCUGUUGGCUAUUUGGCGUGAUUUUCGGCUUCUAGGUUCAAAUCAAGACAUGGACAAAAAGGCAGAAGAGCAGCAGCAUACGCCAAUAACAAGAAACGCGGUCUGCUUAGCCUGCAAAUUUAUAUGAGAUGGAUUAAGACCGGUUCCCAUCUCUUCUUCCCAAACUAUUUUUGCAACAGAUCUUGCCACCCUGCACCAAAUACUCACUUAUUAAUAUGAUAUUGCUCUUUCAUCCAAAUUCAAUUAGUCAAAUUUGUGGGAGGAAGGCAUGCUUGUUUGAUUAGUUACAAAAACCAAUCUUUUAUUUAUACUUAGCCAAAUAAUUUUUCAUUAAAAAUUAAAGAAAAAAAUCAUAUGAUUUAAUAAAUAAAAAUCAUAUGAAAAAGUCUAGCCUAUAUUUUAUGAAUGGUAGUAAAACUCAUAUGACUCAUAUUUACUUUCCAUAUAUCAUCCACAUAUUAAUUUUUGAAACUAGGUUUCCGUCUAUUUUUAAAAUUUGAUGAAAAUAAUUUUUACUUAUUCUUUAAAAAAUAUUCCUCAUUUUUCUUUGUUUUUAAAAAUUAGAAAUAAAAAACAACUACCAAAUAAAAUACUAAAAUUUUGAAAACAAAUUUCUAUUUCUAUAAAGACUGAAAACCGAUUUUUAACUUCUUUUAGGCAGUGCACAUGGUCAAAUGAUUUUACUUUCGUUAUUUUUUAAUCAAGGAAUUGAAAUUACAUUAAGCAGGCCAACAACUCCCACACCCCACCAACCCUUUGACCGCACACCACAUUUGUCUUGGGUUUUGACCAGUAAGAAACAUCCGGGCUCCAUCCCUAUAUCCACACGUGGAUUCCACGUCACGUUGCAGCAUCUGAGCCUUUGGCGUGGACAGAUUAAGGGUCUGGAUUGGGUUUCAACAAGCCACAUGAAGCCAGUUCGCCAUCCAGCCCACCUACCAGCGACCCUGUGGGAUUUCAAAGACUGCAGGGCUGAAAAGUUCUAUAUAAGUAGAAGCUUCAUUCACCAUACACAAAGUAAGUUCAGAGCACUACUGUCUAGUUCCUCUCUCUCUCUCUCUCUCUCUUUUCUACUCGGUUGCCAAGAAAAAAACCAGCUUUUUGAAGUUGUUUCUUUGUUGGGAUUCUAAGAUAUGGAUGCAACGAACUGCCAUGGAAGCAACAAGGUGGAGAGUUUCUGCGUGAGUGAUCCGCUGAACUGGGGAAUGGCUGCGGAGACGUUGAAGGGAAGCCAUUUGGAUGAAGUGAAGCGCAUGGUGGCGGAGUACCGGAAGCCGGUUGUUCGGCUCGGUGGUGAGACGCUUACCAUAUCGCAGGUGGCGGCUAUCGCCGGGCGGGAGGGGGAUGUGGGUGUGGAGUUGUCGGAGACGGCGAGAGCGGGCGUGAACGCGAGCAGUGAGUGGGUGAUGGAGAGCAUGAGCAAAGGCACCGACAGCUAUGGUGUCACCACUGGGUUUGGUGCCACUUCACAUAGGAGAACCAAACAAGGUGGUGCCCUUCAGAAGGAGCUCAUCAGGUAAAAUUACUUUACAGUGGUUUUAGAAAAUACUUCAUAAAAGCACUUUUGGAAAAAUAUUAGCAGUUUGAAUCACUUUUCAAAAGUGAAAAAAUUACUUUUAAUAUUUCGCAAAGGAAUACUUGAUAGCCGAUGUUAAAAAAAAAAAAAAAAACUUAAAAGCGCUUUUAAAAAACUUCAUGGCCACCAGUCAACUUUGACGUGUUAACUUAUUCAUAUCUCUUAAUGAAUCUAGUCCUUUUUGGUUACUUUCUAUUAUCUAAAACAGUUGUUUUGAUUUGAAAACUUGAAUUGGUUGGUGAUGUGCUGGGUUGUUGAUGAUUGAUACAGGUUCUUGAAUGCUGGGAUAUUUGGGAACGGAAGAGAGUCAUGCCACACACUGCCUCACUCAGCAACAAGAGCCGCCAUGCUCGUGAGGAUCAACACCCUCCUCCAAGGCUACUCCGGCAUCAGAUUUGAGAUUCUGGAAGCAAUCACCAAGCUCCUCAAUCACAACAUCACUCCAUGCUUGCCUCUGCGUGGCACCGUCACUGCCUCCGGAGACCUGGUUCCUCUCUCCUACAUCGCUGGUCUUCUCACCGGCAGGCCUAAUUCCAAAGCUGUUGGACCUUCCGGUGAAGUUGUCAAUGCCGAAGAGGCCUUUAAAAUGGCUGGGAUCGAGUCGGGAUUUUUUGAGUUGCAGCCUAAGGAAGGCCUGGCUCUUGUUAAUGGCACUGCAGUUGGCUCUGGCUUGGCCUCUAUGGUGCUUUUUGAGACCAAUGUGCUGGCAGUUUUGUCUGAAGUUUUAUCGGCUAUUUUUGCUGAAGUGAUGCAGGGGAAGCCCGAAUUCACUGACCACUUGACUCACAAAUUGAAGCACCACCCUGGCCAAAUCGAGGCUGCAGCCAUUAUGGAGCACAUUCUAGAUGGAAGCUCUUAUGUGAAAGAAGCUAAGAAGCUACAUGAGAUGGAUCCUCUGCAGAAGCCGAAGCAAGAUCGAUAUGCUCUCAGGACUUCACCUCAAUGGCUUGGCCCACAGAUUGAAGUCAUCCGAGCAUCAACUAAAUCCAUCGAACGGGAGAUCAACUCUGUGAAUGAUAACCCCUUGAUCGAUGUUUCCAGGAACAAGGCUCUACAUGGUGGCAACUUCCAGGGGACCCCAAUUGGAGUCUCCAUGGACAACACCCGCUUGGCCAUUGCAGCCAUUGGGAAGCUUAUGUUUGCCCAGUUCUCAGAGCUUGUCAAUGACUUCUACAACAAUGGACUGCCAUCAAAUCUCGCUGGAAGCCGAAACCCCAGUCUGGACUAUGGUUUCAAGGGAGCAGAAAUUGCCAUGGCUUCCUACUGUUCAGAGCUCCAGUUCUUGGCCAAUCCUGUCACCAACCAUGUCGAAAGUGCUGAGCAACACAACCAAGAUGUGAACUCCUUGGGCUUAAUCUCCUCCCGGAAAACAGCUGAAGCGGUGGAUAUCUUGAAGCUCAUGUCUACCACAUACCUAGUGGCACUCUGCCAGGCCAUUGAUUUGAGGCAUUUGGAGGAGAAUUUGAAGAGCACGGUGAAGAAGACUGUCAGCCACGUAGCUAAGAAAACUCUAACCAUUGGAGCCAAUGGAGAACUCCACCCAUCGAGAUUCUGCGAGAAGGACUUGCUAAAAGUGGUGGAUAGGGAACAUGUAUUUGCCUACAUCGAUGACCCCUGCAGCGCCACAUAUCCACUGAUGCAGAAGGUAAGGCAAGUUCUGGUGGAACAUGCGCUGAACAAUGGCGAAAGUGAGAAGAAUGGCAGCACCUCAAUCUUCCAAAAAAUAGGGGCAUUCGAGGAGGAGUUGAAGGCCGUUUUGCCCAAAGAGGUUGAGAGCGCAAGAGAUGGGGUGGAGAGUGGAAACCCAUCAAUUCCGAACCGAAUCAAGGAGUGCAGGUCAUACCCAUUGUACAAGUUUGUGAGGGAGGAGCUGGGAACAGGGCUGCUGACUGGUGAAAAGGUGAGGUCACCAGGGGAGGAUUUUGACAAGGUGUUUACUGCAAUGUGUGAGGGGAAGAUCAUCGACCCUCUUCUGGAUUGUCUCAGUGCUUGGAACGGUGCUCCUCUCCCAAUCUGCUAGGGGAUUUCACCCUUGCACAUACUCUUUUACUUUUCACUUCCAACUUUCUUUCAUCUCUGUUUGUAAAACUUGAGAUUGUCUGCACGCUUUCAAUUUUGUGAUACAAAAUUUUUUUGUAUUAAUUCUUGGCUAUGCAAAAUAUUUGAUACCAAUUUGUUGGAGUAAUAGGAUUGUGGUAAAAAUAACUACAAUUUGAGCUCUGAUACCAAAUGUUGAAAUGAUAGGAUUGUAGUAAAAAUAUCAACAAUUCAAUCUUGAGAUUUUACAAAUUAUAUAUAUAUAAUGCGCUCCUCUAAUAAAAUGAUAUCUUGUAUCUAUGUGCUUGUAAUGAUAAUGAAAAACUGAAUUUUUUUAUAUGUAAUUGAUAAUGGUUUGCCCAUGCAUUAACCUUCCUAGGUGAGUUUCCUGGAUGUGUCUCUCUUAGAGUCAAUCUCUUUGCUAGCUAGACUCUCCAAUUUAUUGGUUUUGAUUAAUAGGUUGUCAUUAUCGACUAGCCUAAGAUUCUCUAAAUGUUAUUUGAAUGAUUUUAUCAUGAGGUGGACUCAUUCCAUAGCCUGUCUUCUCUUGUAAUAGUUUUUACAUCGUAAAUCAACAGUCAAGUACAAUUGUUUAGUUCACAUGCAGUCAUUGGAAUUUGUAAUGUUUCCAAGGUGGAUGGUAGCAAAGAUUUAGGUUGAGCUCUCUACAUACUAGAAUGGUUAGAAAUCACCAUUAUGGUUUUAAAAACAGUUCUACUUUUUUAGUGGAAUGCACAUCUAAGGACCUUUUGGUUAAAGGUAGGGAUGAAAAUGUCGAGAUAUAUCGACAAAAUAUCACCGAUAUAUCGGUGUAUUGAUGGUUACCGACCCGAUACAUGCAGGAGAAAUAUCGACCAUUUAAUUCUCUCCCUAAAUCUCUUAAAAUGACCCAAAAUUCCUAUACGAGAAGGUAGAGUGGCCUAGCCCAAACCACUCCAGCCCAGCCCACGCCCCCAGCCACCACAGCUCGACAACCCAAAGUGAGCUGCAUGCCUGCCCACCACUCACCACUCCAAUACUUAAAUAAAGUUUUUUGGUGUAAUCAAUUGUCAAUGUGGGAUUGUAAUUGCACCCCUGAUCACCCGCUCAUAUUUCCUCACCAACAUCAGUCGACCAACCAUGCUUCAUUUGACAAAAUGUUCACAUUUUAUGUAUAUAUGUAGAUAUGUACAUUAUUAGCAUUAAAUAUAUUAACCAUUACUACAAGAAAAAGGUCGUCAUUGACAGUUUUUCAUCGUCAAGAUAAGGUAUAUCUAUUAAGGUAGAUCAGUAUUCACAAAUGUUAUCUAUGCCAGUGUCAAGAAGUGAUAAAAGCUACCUUAACAUAUGCAUGAAAUAAGGUAGGCCUUAUUUCUAUCAAUGUAGGAAUCUUAUUAAUAUGACAUAUGUUAAUGUUUCUUCCAUGUCAGUCAAGGUUAGGUUAAACAUAUGUGAAGGUUGACUCAUUAUUUUGUUAAGAUUAUAUUCAAUAUUUGUUAACCUUAAGUAUGAUAUAUGUCAAUGUUGUUGUUGUAUAUGCUUUUAAAUUUAAUUUACACAUAUGUCAAGGAUUUUGUUUUUUAAAUUUUUUUUUUUUUUGAAAGUUGAAAUUUUAAUAUGUUAAGGUUCCUUUAUUCUUAUGUCAAGGACUACAAUGUCUUUUAUGUCAAGAUUUCUUUAUUCAUAUAAAGGAAUUUGUUUUAUUUCAUAUCAAGGUUGCAUAUGGAACAUGACAACAACCUAACCUGUUGCCCAAAUGAUCUACAUAAAAAUUGAACCCGUUGUGUAUAUAUAUAUACGGAUAAACUGCAUGAAUGUAUAAAAUAUAUUUUAAAAAAAUAUAUGAACAUGUAGGCAAAUAUAUUGACAAAAAAAAAAAAAAAACUUAAUAUCCUUGCAUAAUCUUGUAUUAUCAUCACAUACAUCCAAAAAAAGGCAAAUAUGUACCCAAAAAUCCGGUAGUUAUACAUGAUAAAUAUAAUGUAUGCAUGAUCUUGUGCCUUCAAAAGUGUUGUAAUUGUUGCAAAUGCCACCUAACCUUCUACAAGUAGGAAAAAAAAAACAUCAGUAUAUGUUUAUAUUUGAAAGAUUAAUAAAAUGAUAUAAAUAUGUAUCCAAAUGUAUUCCCAAACAACCUAGCAACUAUAUAUAAUCUUGUUAUCUUGUCAAAUAUAUAUGAAGAAAGGAUAGAUAUUUACCCAAAAAUAACCAAAUAUUAAGUAUCUGUACAUGAUAACAAAAAUUUAUGCAUGAUCUUCUCCUCUAAAAACUGCAACUACUGCAAAUGUCACCUAACUGCAGACAAGAAAGAAAAAAGUAACAUUAUUUUAUGUUUGUGUUUGAAAGUUCAUUAAAAAUAUAUAAAUAUGCAUCCUAAAUAUAUCGAAAUGUAUCCACAAACAACCUAACAAGUAUACAUGAUCUUAUACUAUUAUCAUAUAUAUAUAUAUAUAUAUAUAUAUAUAUAUAUAUAUAUAUAUAUAUAUAUAUGAGAUAGUUACUAAAAAAGAACCAAAAAUUAAAUAAUUAUGCAUGAUAACAAGAACUUAUACAUGAUCGUGUACUCUAAAAAUUUCAAGUGCUACAAAUGUCUCCCAACCUCUUGCAAGUAAAAAUAAAAAAAAAACAACAUUACUUUAUAUUUAUGUUUCAAAAUUAAAAAAGAAGAAGAUAUAAGCAUGUACCCAAAUAUAUCCAAAUGUAUUCACAAACAACCACGCAACUAUACAUGAUCUUGUACUCUUAUCAAAUAUAUAUAUAUAAAAUGACAUAUAUUUACCAAAAAAUCUAAUAGCUAUACAUGAUGACAAAAACUUAUGCAUGAUCUUGUACUCUAAAAAUUGUAAAUGUUGCUAAUAUCACCCAACCUCUUGCAAAUAAGAAAAAAACAAUAUUAGUUUAUGUUAUAUUUAAAAGUACUAAUUAAAAAGAUAUAAACAUGUACCAAAAUAUAUAUUUUUUUUUAAAAUCUAGCAAUGAACUUUUAGGGAAAAAAUAUAGAUAAGAUAUGUACCUAAAAAUAUCUAAUAAAAGAAAAAACUAAUUGCAACUUUUCAUACAUGAUAGCAAGAACCUAUGCUGAUGUUGUAUUCUCAAAAUUCCAACUACUACAAAUGUUAUACAACUUCUUGAAAGUAGAUAAAAAAACUACAUUACUUUAAGACUAUAUUUAAAAUUUUACUAAAAUGAUAUUAACAUGUACGGAAAUUUAUGCAAAAAUAAUCCAACAAACAUACAUAAUAAAAAAAACAUUAAUUGGUACUUUCAUCAAAUGUAUCUUUUAAAAGAUAUAGGUAUGUACCCAAAAGUAUCCAAAACUUGAGCAUCUAUGCAUGACAAUAAGAUCUUACGUCUAAUCUUGAAAUCUCAAAAUUGCAACAACUGCAAAUGUCACCCUAUACCUUGCAAAGAGAAAAAAUGCAACAUUAAUUAAAAUUUAUGUUUGAGAUUUUAUUAAAAAAUUAUAAAAUUCACAUACCCACUAUACUUGGUCUAAGAUAAGAGUCCUAAAAAAUGAGACCCAUUUAGAUCUCACUUCAUCUAACUCAGUUCGUGAAUAAGUUUUUUUCCCUUCAAACUAAAAUAUAUGAGAAGAGAAAAUAUGUUAACGUGAAACAUUAAAUAUAUGUAUAAGUUCUCAUGUACUUAUGAAAAUACAUAGGUAAAUAAACCUGAGAUGUUAGAAGACUUCUAUUUGCAAUUAUGUCUCGCAUGUAUUGCAUGACAAAAUAUCCGCACAUGACACCAUCCAACUGUUUGGGCCCCUAUGAGCAAAAUUAUAUCAACAAAAUUUCAUGAUCAAAUAUGACAUCAUAUAAAUUUGGUCAAUUUUUUCAUCCUUCACAUUUAAAUUUUUUAAAAACAAUGAAUGACAUAAUGUUAGUUUCAAAUAAAAUUUGCACCUAAAUUAAGUCAAUACAUGUCUAGCAUAAUACCCUAAGCUCCCAUUUUUACAACUUUGAGGGUUAAAUUGAGUAAAAUAUAAGAAUGUCAAAUAACACGUAUAUGUGAAAUAUGGAAAAAAAAAAAGGAAUAGAUAUAUUUAUUAAGAAUAGUGAUUAACUUAAAAAAAAGAGAAUAGUUAACUUUUGUUUGUGUGAAAAUAUCCCUUAGAAAAUAUCAUGACUUUUAAGACUUCAUUAAGGUAAAUCAAUCAAGCUUCAAGAGCAAUUAUCGAUAAUAUAUUUGGAAAUAUGUAGUAUUAGCAUCCUUUUACAUCUCAUAGAUUGACAUUAUAGAAGAGAAAUGCAAUUAGUAAUUAUCAGGAAUAAAUGUUUUACAUAUGAACAAUUUGAUUGAAGAUGGAUAAAAGAGUAAAGAGUUUAGAUUAAAGAGAGAGAGAGAGAGACGUUGUGCCUUACAAGAAAUGUCUAAACUAAAUAUAGGAUGUAUGUAAGACAUACUAAGGCCAAAAGAAAGAUAUAAAGAACAACUCACACCUAAGUAACAUGAUCAAAGCUAUCUAAAUGAAUCCUCAUGGCUUCCUUACCCACACAUACAUCUAAAUUGUUGUAAAGGAUUGUCAAUACUAUGGGUUUGUUAUUUUUUAGUACUACUUCAUUACUAGUGGAAUAAUGGACAAAUGAGUACAUUGUAUUCAUAGCAAUUUAAAUUAUAUUUUCAUAAGGUGGUGAAACAAACAAAUAUGGUAUCCUUCUCAACUCAACUUAGGAAUAGGAAAUAAUAACAAAAACAAUUAUAAGCUAAGAAAAUUCAUAUGUAUGGGUAUAUAUCCAUGUGAAAGGAAGCCAUAUAGAAUCUUCAUAUUUCAAAAAUCAAGUAAACUUUAAUUCAAGAAAGCAACUUAAAUGUAGGUAAGUCUUCAAAAAGUUUAGAAGAAGGAAAAAAUGUAACCUCAAUAACUAUCCACUUGAGCUAUUUUUUAGAUCCUUUCUUCUUUUGAGAUACAAAAAUUCGAAACCCCCUACAAAAAAUAAGAUUACAUUAGUGUUUAUUUUGAGACAUGAAAAUUAAAAUUAUGGUAGACUUACAUGUUCACAAUAUCUUUUAUAUCUUAGUAUGACUGUUGUAAUAGCAAGUCUAAAUAGUAGACUGUUUGUGAUUUGAGGUCAAUUACAGCCAAAACCCAAUGAAACCUACAAUAUAUUAACAUAUAAUUUAGAUAAAUAGCAUUUAUAAGGCUAAGAAAUUAAAAACAAUUAUAAUUAACAACUUACCUUGGGUUAUACGGAAGAAAAAUCAGAUCUGCCAAUUUAGAGUCAAUUAGGCGAUUAGCAAUGAUUCUUGCUCUUUUUUCAAUUUGUGGGGCUAUUGUUCCAGCCUUGGACACUAGUCCUAGAUGAACAAAUAUAAUUUUUUCAUGUAGUGUAUCAUUCAGAUGUUCAUGCAGCCACCUAAUGAAAUAUCACCUAGUUUAGAAUUAUUUAAAAAAAAAAAAAACGGCUUCUACUUAUUUAUAUCAUGAAUGUAACAUAAAGAUUUAAAACAAAAUCUCACCAAAUAUAGAAACAUAUACAAUUCAUAGUCAACUCUUUUUGCAUAAAUUACAUCCUUCAGUUCAGUUGUCAAAAGGAAGGUUUGAAAUUUCAUCCCAAAAACAUUGAUUGGAAAGUCAACUUUGGGUGUCGGUUGACCCUCCAACAUUGCUAAAAUUGUUUUAGAAAACAAUUGUAUAUCUCUUGGAUUCUCAUAUUUGAUUUUCUUUGGGGAUGCUUGUAUCUUCUUCAUUUUAUUCUUCCUCUUGCCAAGAUCCUAAACACAUAAAUAGAUGCAUGACAUUAAAAUGAAAAAUAAAUAAACCAAGAGUGUAAGAAAAUAUAACUCAACUUUGAAAGUUUGGGUAUAAUGUUAUUCACCUCAUCAUUUUCAUCAUUUAUCACAAAUGUAACAGGCCACAAAACCUCAUAUCCAACACCCUCCCUUAUUGUACUAAUGUUUUCAGAAAGUGGGAAUGGAAGAAGUGCAUUAGGUUGAAGAGGGUAAAGGAUGACCACUAAUAUGUCAGUUCCAUCAAUGGAAAUCUUUGAAUCUCACAAAUAAGUUCCAUAUGUAACAAUGUUCUCUUCAGUUUCAAGAGCUAAUUUGCAUUUAUAAACCUGUAAAAACAUAUUUUCUAAUCCUUAGUCUUUCAUUAUAGUUAUUUUAUAUAUUGUUUUUAUAAAUUUAACUUAGGUAAAGCCAUAUAUACCUAAGUUAGUGGUCCCUUUUGCUGAUAGGUUCUCCUCAUGAGCACUAUAAUGAGUCUUCCCUCGUAUUUCUUCACGUUCCAACAAUUGUUUCCUUAUGUUUGUGUUGUUCACUUCAGAGUGGGGUGUUAGGGUUUUUUUUUUUUUUUUUUUUUUUUUUCAGCUUUCAAAGAAAUGAUCUCCUCUUCCAAGCUCUUUACUUUCUCCCUUAACAUCCUUUGACAUUCCUCUUCUUCAAGAGUUUUUGUGGGUUUUGGUGUGUUGAAGAAUUGUUUUGGCUUUUUUUCCCCACUUUUUCCUCUAACCCGUCUAGGAUGCUCGGAUGUACCCAAUGCUAAAGUGAGGAUAUCCUUUUGGCCAACACAUGUGAUAUUCCCUUCCUCAACAGCCUUUGCUAACUCAUCCUCCAAAAAAAAUAUAAGAUGCUUCAAGAGUCAUAUUAAAUAAAUAAAAAAAACAAAUGAAAUUGACUAAAACUAAGUAUAGGUUUGACAACUUACAAUCUUUUCCGCUAUAGGCCUCGUAACAUCAUCAUAUUCACAUUUUUUCAAUCUUUCUAACUUCCACAAGACCCAUCUAUCAAUAGGUUUCCUUGAACCUGUCUUUUGCAUCUAUCAAAAAACAAAAAAGUGAAGUAAUUAAACUUUACAAAAGUAAAUGUCCAACAAAAUAAAAUACACUAAUUCAACUUACCAAUUCUUCUUGAAGUCCUGCAUAUCAUUUCCUACUCACUUGAUGAAUAUAAACAUAUUUUGCCCUCAUUUCUUUUUCUUUUUUUGAUUUAACUUGAAACUCUGUUGACAACCUAUUAGCCACUAACUUUCUCCAGUCUUCAAUUGGAAUGUAAUUAUAUUCAAUUGGUGGCUGCAAAAGGUACUCGGGCUUAUCUUUAUAAGGCAGGAUAUACUCUUUUGUCAAUGUGUGCCUAAAUGACCUAAAACUAGUCCCAGUUGAUGAUAUGACGUUGUAUUUGCUAUUCUCAUCAACCAAGAAUGCACCCUAAAAUAUGAGAUCUUGAUUAUUUAAUAAGCAUGUAAGGUCUACACAAAAUAUAGGAAAAUAAUUUCAGUACAUUACUAUAUACCUUAUAAGAAGAUCUUGAUUAUUUAAUAAUCAUGUAAGGUCUACACAAAAUAUAGGAAAAUAAUUUCAAUUAAUUACUAUAUACCUUAAUGCAAUCCCAUAAUUUCUCCUUUAAUUCUACAAGCACUACUCUCCAAUCAGUAUGAUAUAUUGGCACCAUGGUUCGUGCUAGCACCCCCAAGUAUGAUACAAGUUGUACAUAUCCCUCACCCACUCCCUCACCAUCAUCAUUAUAUUGAAUGUCAAUUUUCACUCCUUCACUUCUCUUUUUAGCAAUUUUAGGUUUUAUAGUUGGGCCUCUGAACCUUUUUGGUGAAGUAAUCUUCUGUUUUCCUUCCUUUCCAUCCAUCUACAUGACAAUCAAAAGAAUAUGAUCAAUCUCAUAAUACAUACAUACAUACAUACAUACAUACAUACAUACAUACAUACAUACAUACAUAUAUAUAUAUUACAUUCAAAAGUAAAGCAUGAUAUUUUAAUAGUUACCUGCUCUUUAUCUCUUCUUGGUUGAGACAUCCAUAAAGAUGUUGCACUUUUUGCCCAAGUUCCCAAAUAAUUAAGAAUUAUGCACUAAUAAACAACACUUGAAAAUGUAUCUCAACUAAAUCUAAAGAAAUUAGUUACAAAAUAAUUUCAUAAGUAGUAAUAAAUCAUUGUUGUACAAACUUUGCAAUACAUGAAAAUUAAUCUUAAAUCUCAAUAUAUAUAAAUAUGAUACUAACUACAUUUAUUUAGAAUAACUUAGCAAGAAUAUAAUAGUAAAAAAUAUAUUUGAAAAGAAUAAAAUAAAAACAUAACAUUGUUGAGCAUCACAUUGUAUAUUAACAAUAACUCAAAAAUCACAUAAUACACUUAGUAGUCACAAAGCAUAACCCAAAAAAAAAAAAAAAAAACAAAAAAAAAAAAUUAAGCUUAAUGUUCAAUCCAAAUCCCCUCACAAUCAGUACGCAUACAAAUUUCAUCAUAAUUUUCAACUUCAUCAAAAGACUUAAUAUUAGGCAUCCCAUUCACAAAUGGGUGAUGCUCCAUGUCAUUAUCGGCUAUGUUGCCAUCACCUUCUAUGUCAAACAACUCCAUUUUUGGCCUUGAUAAUACAAUAGACCAUCUUGGAUCAACUUGAUCUUCUACAUAAAAUACUUGUUGGGCUUGUGUUGCCAAAAUGAAAGGAUCUGAUUUAUGUCCUAUCUUGCUCAAAUCAACUAAUGUAAAACCAAACUCAUCAACUUUGACACCAUUCUUACUAUCAACCCAAUCACACUUAAAAACACAAAUGUUAAACAUGUUAUAAUCAAGGUCCCAUAUCUAUAUGACAAUCCCAUAAAAAUACAUGUCACCAAGCACAUGAUUCUUAUCUUUGGAACUUGCAAUUUACAUGGUCGAUGCCACAAUACUGACACUACUAUUUUGGUUGACUCGUGCCUCAUCACGCUCCUUGAUAUGGUAACGACAACCAUUAAUGAUAUAUUCAGGGUAAGUAAGAACUUAUUGUCUUGGUCCUUGCGCAAGCCACUUAAGUUCAUUUUCAAUAAGUUCUUUCUUACUUAUGUCAUCUGAAACCUAUAAGGUUCAUUAAUGAUAUGUAAGUUAAUGUAAUUUAAAAUUUUGAAAGCAUUAAAUUUUAAGAGGAGUAUGAAUAUUGAGUUUCAUACAUUUUUUCUAAGCCAAUAACUAAAUGUGCGCACAUGUUCAUCCUCUAGCCACUUUACUCUCUUUGAUUGAUGAGGAUAUUUUGUCUUCAAAUAUUUCAUAUGUUCACUAUCAAGGAAAAAUAGGCAUGUCAUGGUUUGUAUAAACAUUAGCUACAGUUUCAAACUCAUAUAUUCACAUAUAUGACACUUACUCAAUAAAAGGUUGUACAAUGGUUGUAUUUUGUAGAACAUAAUGAUGUGCUUGCUCCACCAAUUUAUAAUCAUGAAUAUUUAUUGCACGACCGGCCACCAAGUAAUGGUUUCCCACAUUUCCAUUCAUCUUUCAUACUAGAAGGAAUCCCAAUUGCAUCCAUGCUUGAUAAAUACUUUGUGCAAAACUCUAAGGCUUCUUCAGCGAUAUAGCACUCAGCAAGGCACCCUUCUGGAUGAUUAUGAUUUCGAACAUAACCCUUGAGGACUUUCAUGUACCUUUCAAAUGGGUACAUCCAUCUCAUAUACACUGGUCCACAUAAUCUAAGCUCUCUUACCAAAUGCACUGUUAAAUGAAGCAUGAUGUCAAAGAUGGAAGGUGGAAAAUACUUCUCUAGCAAGCACAAAGUCACCACUAUGUCCUGUUGUAGAUCAUUCAAUCUUGACACGUCCACCACCUUUGCACAAAGUGCAUUAAAGAAAAAACACAAUCUUGUAAUGGCAUAUAUGACAUGCUUAGGCAACACAGAUCUUAAUGCUAUUGGUAGUAGUUGUUGCAUAAGUGCAUGAUAAUCAUGGGACUUAAGACCAUUAAGCUUUAGCUCUUCCAAGGACACAAGGUUUCUAAAGUUUGAACAAUAACCUUCAGGAACCUUCAAAUUAGCUAAAGUUUGCAAUACUAUUUUUUUCUUCUUUCUACUUAGAGUAUAGCAUGUAGGGGGAAGAUAAGUUCACUUCAACCCAAACAUUGGUGCUAAGCCAGGCCUUAAGCCCAUUUCGAGAAGAUCAAGUCGAGACUUAACUCCAUCCUUUGUUUUACCUGAAAUGUUAAGCACAGUUCCGAUGAUGCUCUCUCGCAAACAUUCUUCUCUAUAUGCAUGACAUCCAAGUUGUGUCAGAUAUAAAAAUAUUUCUAGUAUUCAAGUUCAAAAAAUAUAGACUUAUUUUUCCAAUAACUUGUAGGAUUAGCAAAGGAUUCACAUUGUUUAACUUUCUUUUUCUUUCCCCAUGAGUUAUGGAUCAUAUCAACCUUUGUAAAUAUUUCAUCUCCAAUAAGUUCUUUUGGAGGUAACCUAAACUCUUGUUCACCAUUAAAUGCCUUCUUUUGCUUUCUAAAUGGAUGGUUGCAUGAAAGAAACCUUCUAUGGUCGGUGUAUGAGUUCUUAUUCCCAUGUUUUAGCCAAAGUGAAUUUGUUUCUUCACCACAUAUUGGACAAGCAUGAUAUCCCUUAACAGUGCAACCGGACAAGUUCCCAUAUGCAGGGAAAUCAUUAAUCGUCUAUAACAAAAUAGCCUUUAAUGUGAAGAACUCUCGUUGAUGUGCAUCAUAGGCUUUCACCCCUACCUCCCACAAUGCUUUCAAAUCAAUGACUAAUGGUUCCAAAUAAACAUCAAUAUCCUUACCAAGUUGUCCUGGUCCUGAUAUUAGCAGAGAUAACAUCAUAAAUUUCCUCUUCAUGCAUAACCAAGGGGGAAGGUUCUAAGUUAUUGUGAGAACAGGCUAACAACUAUGCCUACUGGUCAUGGAGUUAUGAGGAUUGAUACCAUCUGCUAAAAUAGCAAGUCUAAGGUUCCUACAAUCUGAAGCAAAUUCAGGCCACAUUUGGUUCACUAGUUGCCAUGUUGGGGAAUCCACUAGGUGUUGAAGUUUACCAUUAUUUUCUCUACCUUUUGCAUGCCAUUUUAUGUCUUUCGCUAUUUUGGGAGAUUGAAACAUCCUCUUAAACCUAGGGAUGGGUGGGAAAUACCACAAAAAUUUUGCAAGAAUCCUCUUAGUGUUUCUUGCCCCAGCCUUGUUUACCUUCCACUUUGACAUUCCACAAGUAGGGCAUGAAGAUGCAUCAUUUAACUCAUUCCUGUAUAGUAUGCAAUCAUUUGGGCAUGCAUGUAUCUUUUUGUAUUCCAUCCCUAAUGCAUUCAAUGUUUUCUUUGCCUCAUACAUGGAUAAGGGCAUCUCAUUGUUGACUAGUAGCAUAUCCCCUAAUAUUUGGAGUAAAUUUGAAAAACUUUUAUCUGACCACCCAUAUCGUGCCUUCACAUUGUACAAUUUAACUAAUGCAGAAAGCUUGGUGAACUUGAUACAACUAGGAUACAAAGGUUUUUCAGCAUCUUCAAGCAAUUUUUUAAAUAAGAUUGAGUCUGUCAUGAACUCAUCAUCUAUAACAUAAACCAUUUCUACUGUACUAGCAACAUCACCACAAUCCAUUGUGUCAUAACAUUGUGCCAUUUCAGUUGGUAUUUUACUAGUAGGACCUGUUUUUCCAUGCCAAUACCAUGUAUGAUAACUCUGGUCAAUACCAUUGAAAAACAUAUGUUCCUGAAUCUUGUUAGGUGUAUGAUGUAUUAAGUUUCCACAUCGCAUACAAGGACAACGAAUUCCACUUUGAUUCGAACAAUGUUCUAAUGCAAAAUUAAUGAAGUAUUCAACUCCUUCCUCGUACUCCUGUGACAUUCUAUCUUUAGACAUCCAACUUCGAUCCAUUCUAUGAUUGAAAUACACAAUGAAUUAAUCAUGAGGAAUUUUAACAUUAAUGUUGUAUCAUAUCUCAAAAGGAUUCAUCAUGUAAUAUAUCCAUGUUGUCUACAAGUAUAUCAUAGUGGGAUAGUUAAUUAUAAAAAUUGUCUUAUUCAAUUCAUGUCAUUGUAGGUAAUGCCACAAAUUAUCCAUUUAAAAUUCUUAUUAGUUCAUGAUAUUUCAUCUUAUUAAAUACAUUUAAUUUCAUUAGGUAUUGAACCAAAGUAAAAAAUGGGGUUCUCUUAUAGAAUUAUGAUUCUAUCUAGUUUAUGCACUACCAUACAAAUGAGAAAUAAAUACAUGUUACAUUUUUUUAAGUCUUUAUUCAAUCUCGAAUCAUCGAAGAUCAUUUAUUAUGCAUAUAUCUGUAAAAUUAAAACAAAUUUAUAUAUCAAAAUAUUAAACCAAGAAACAUAAUUAACUCUCAUGAUUCUAUCUUGUUAAACUAAAAUCAACUUAAACUACAUGUCUUAUGCAUUCUAACAUCUCCAGCUUCCUAGUUUAGGUGGUGGUUCCUAUCCCAUAUAGGAAAACAUAAUCCCUACAUGUCAACUACUAUUAUGUUUCGAUUCAUUUUAGAAAAAUUUCGGCAGCAUUUCCCUAUAGUUCUCCAAGUACACAAAAUGGAGAAGGUAUAUUAUUUAGCCUUGUCCAAAUAUGCACCCAGAGAACAAAAAGAACGACUGUCAAAAUUUCUAAAAAAUGAUCAAGCAGAAGAGCAUAACUUCAAAGAUAUUAUGUUUUCCUUAUACUGUCCAAUUGGACAAUUCAAGCAUCAUUUGUAGAAAAAAAUAGUCUCAUUCACAUGCUAGACAAAGUUAGAAGUUGUCAACUUCAAACUAGUUCAUCAAUGAACCCUUUUCAUUCUUUGACAACUUAAAUGUCCUUAGCAUGUAAUAAGAGAAAUUUUUGUCAUACAAGGAUGAUAGAACAGGAAGUCUAAUGUUUCAUGCAUGAACUUAUUUAAAUCCUAUCUAAGUAUCCUAAACACAUUAAAAGGAAAUACAUUUAAUUCCUUUAACAUAUUUGUUAUUUGCCUAGUAGAGGAAAAAAGAAAUAUAUUCACUUCAAAACUCAUGAGUAGAGAAAUUUAAUUGCACUUGGCAAUAAACAAACAAAAGUUAAUACUCAAAAUAUAAAGUCAUCAACGUCACAUUCAAUGGAAUCAAAUUAAAUCAAAAGUAAACCCACCCACUAGACCAAAUCUACUAACCAUCAAAUAACUCAACUGCAAGUUUGAUUAUUUAUGUUCAAUUUCCUUUAAAAAAAAUGAAGUAUUGACAAGUUAGAGUUUCAUUGCAAAGUAUAGAGAGAGAGAAACCGGAGAGAGUAAAGAAUUACCUUAACAAGACUUGUCCCUUAAAAUUGUCCUCUAGUGAUUGAGAAAUUGAAAAGUUAACCCAGGAUUAGGAGGACCUGUGUUUUUGGUACAAGGAUAUGAACUUUUAAACAACAAAUAGAACAUCAAUCUCCAUUAAAACUCUUAGUUCUUUUUCCUCUUGUUUGUUUGUUUUUUUCUCAUCCAUGUUCCAUGUUUCUUGUUGUACUUUUUGGUUAAAAAAAUAGGAUCAUCAUUACAUACCAAUGUUGUUUGAGAAAGCUUUGCUUUAUUUCUACAAUGGGUUGGAAAUUGUGGACCAUUAUUACAUAGCAAUAAAAUAUUUUAUAAUGAAUUUGGUAAUAAAUAAAUUAGAAUUAUAAAAUAUCCAUUUUAUAAUCUUUUUAUUUCAAUAAUUUUAGAAUUGUCAUAUUUCAUGUUUAUCUUUUUUAUAGAAACAAAUUUUGAUUAAUAAAUAAUUUUACCAUAAAAUUUGUCAUAUUUUUUAAUAAAUUUUUUUUCUUAUCAUUGCUUUCAUAAUAAUUCUAAAUAAAAUACUAUUUUAAUUUGUUUAUAAGAAUUAUAUUGAAUCUAUUUAAUUAUUUUAUAUGGAUUUAUAUUAAAAUUAAAUCUCUUUUAAAUUGAAGUUAUUUAGUUAUGUAUUUUACUUUCUGUCAUUAUCAGGAUGUAAGAUACAAAAAUUUACUUUAUUCUAUCAAAUUGAGACUCAAGCUUGCUUAAGUCAUAUUUAUAAAGAGUAAAAGAUGGUAUGGAAACACAAGGUUAAAAAUGACAUGUUUUUAAUUUUUACACAUUGGUUAUUAAUUGAUGCAAAUGUAUGUAAUAACCAUAACAUAAUUAAGUGAAUAUAUAGUUCUAACGAAGGAUUGAAAUGUCCAACAAUUUCGGAGAGAAAUAUCGUUGAUCAGCCAGCUCCAACACAAAAUCCAUAACCGAUUAUCGGUCCAUGGAAAUUUCGGUAAUAUUUCCAAAUUUUCUCCGAUAUAUUGGUAUUUAUUGGUAUUUUUACUGAUUUUUCGGGAAAGUUACCGAUAUUUCCUACCAGUGCAACCCACGCAUAGGAUACAAAAGCUAUCUAUUUUUUUUUUAUAAAAAAAAGACAUAAGAUGUUGUUCGGUAAUCUGACCAUGAUUUGUAGGCAAAGGUUGUGUUUUUCAGCCUGACUCAAAAAUCGUGAAUUUAGGGUUCAUGAAAUUUAAAUCCAAUGCCACAAAAACCAAGAGACCCUUACAACAGAUCUAGAAACCAUAGGGAGGGAAAAAAGAAACAAUUUUUAUGGUUUUCCAUGGGGAGUUUUCAUGGAUUAUCUCCGAAAUCAAACGAGGAAGAAUCUUCCCAAAAAUGGAAUGAGGGAUGGAUUUUAUUGGGAAUCAAAUGGGGAUUGGAAUAAUAAUAAUAAUAAUAAUAAUAAUAAUAAUAAUAAUAAUAACCUCAUUAGAUUAGUACUUGGGACGAAUGAGAGUGACAAAGGGAAAAAUGGCCUUUUUAGGGAUUCUCUCUUGUGAAAGGCAACUUCAGAAAUGGCUUCUUGAUGGCCGAGUUAGAGAAGUGAGUUGGCUUUUGAUUGUUAGAUUUAGUAUAGAUAAAAAAACAAGGAAACAAAUUAUGAGAACAAUUUGCCUCCCUCUAUAAAAAAUAUUUAUUAAUUAUCCAUUUUGAUGAAAUCACUACUAUGGAUUGAAAUUUCGCUUUCUAUAGACCAUAUUUUAGAAAUUAAAAUUAAUUUUAUAAGAUAAAUUAUUAAUAAUUUUAAUUAUUUAAAUAAAUUAAUGUUAAUAGAAAAAGUUGUUACCACAUAUUUUUAAUAAAAUUGUAGAAAUUAAAUCUCAAAUAAAAUAUUUUAUAUAAAUUAAAUUCAUUUUUCAUUUAAAAUGUAAUAAAAUAUGUUAUAAUAAAAUUAUUUUAAAAAUUUUAAAAUAAAUAUUGUCUUCAACAAGAUAGGCUCCCUUCAUCUAAUAAUAUGAUAGAACCACAUCGAUCUUCAUUUUACUAAGUACUAUUAUAAUGUCAUAUGUAUUAUAUUUAUGUAUAAACUGUUUUUAUUCAAUAAAAACAAAUAUUUUUUAAACUCAAUUCUAACUUUAUUCAUUUCCAAAAUUCAUAUUUAUUAUUCUUAAAAUUGAAAUAUCGAAUCUACCAAUAUAUCUAUGUUUACCUAUGUUUUUUUCUUUUUAUCAUAUCUAUGUCAAUUAUACUUACAAAAUAAUUUAAAAAUGUGUAUUCUUGCUUAUUUUAUCAUUUUUACAGUUUUUCUAAGCAUUCCUAUGAAUGUUAAAUAAUUUUCGCUCCACCGAUAUUUGUGCAAAAAUAUUCAUUGAUAUUUAUCUUAUAUUUUCGAUAUAUCCCUAAAAUCGAAGUAUCGAUAUAUUCGUAAUUAUUGAUAUUUUUGUCUUUGCUUUUAAUUAUAUAAAUAAAAAAAAGGUUUAAAUAUAUAGCAACAAGUUUUUAUGGAAUUUUUUUCCCGCUUUUUAAUUUAUUUCUCCACCGAUCGGGUAGUAAUGUUCAAUAUUUUGACAUGCUAUAAGUAGCUAACAAUUUAGGGAUGAUGAUUGGGGAUAUGACCUUUCUCCACUUCUCCACUAUCCUAUAGCCUAUAAGUAGUCCUCCACUUCCCAUCUAACCUACAACAUUUAAGCACUUGAUAGUUAGGAUGCUGAUGACGUGACUCCACUAAAUGAAUUAAAAUAGUCCUCCACUUCCCAUCUAACCUCUAACAUUGCCUUUACACUUGCAGGAUGCCAGGAUAACAUGUCCAAUAUAUUUUUCAAUGGCCUCUUUGUCAUGCUUCUUGGAGUUUUGGAAUUGAGUAAACGUAUACUCAUUUAGUAUCUCAUUACCAAGACCACCAGUUGGAAUAAUGGGAUAUUUUUAAAAAAUAACAUUUUUAAUAUAACAUAUAUUAUAAUCUAGAUUACAUAACAUAGCAGAAAAUGACUUAUGAAGUUUUAGUAUAACAUUUUUUUUUUCAAAUUUCAUAUUCGUCCAUUUUCGUUCCCCUAAUUUUCUUAAUACAUUCUCUCUAAUUUUCUUAAUAGAAUCUUUUAUUCGAGAAAUUCAAGAUGGAAAUGAAAUUUUAAAGCUUAUUGUAUUAAUCUUUUUUUUUUAAAUGGCCAAUGAGAAAGAUCACUGUACUUUGAAGAAUUGAGAUAAUAUAUAUAUAUAUAUAUAUAUAUAUAUAUAUAUAUAUAUAUAUAAUGGUAUUACAACUUGACCAGUAAACAUCCAAAAUUAAAAUUGAAAUAGGGAGGUGCAUUCAUCCAUCUAUUAUAAUUAUUAUAAUAAAUAUAAAGACAAACACAUAUUAUGCUUAUAGAAUCAUAAAACAAAAAGAAAGCUUAGAAGAAGAGAAAAUAAGAAAAAAAAUAAAAUAAAGUAAUCUCAAAACAGACAUUUUGUAGUUGGAGAGAGAAUCUUUUGUUUUAUGAGGUAAGACAACUUAGUCAAUCAUAACAAUAUUUUGUAAUAGUACCACCAUUCAAACUAUAGUUUCAUUUUUAAAAACUAAAUAUUAUUUUUAGAAAUUAACAACAUUAUCAGAUAAUUGUUUUCUCAUUAACAAUAUAGGGAGCUUCUUAAGAGCAAAUUUUUUGCCAUUUUUUAAAAAAAAAAAUGAAAAGAUUAAAUAAAUUAAAAAGUAUAAAAUACAAAUAAAGGAAAACACAAUACUUUAAAAUUAUAUUUUACUCCAUCUAGUUUUCAUUUGAUAGUUAGUUAAACAUGAUUUAUAUUUGUUUUCCAAUGAAUUCUUAUUUAUAAUUUAAUAUGACAUCCAAAUACAAUAAUAUAUAAGAAACAUAAUGAAUUUCUACAUCUUAGUUAAUUUCUAUAUCAACAUUUCAAUUAUAAUCCUAAUGAAAACAUUUUUUUCAAAGUGAUUAUGUAUAUGGUAACAUGUUUUUUUUCUUAGAAUAUUAUAAACCCUCUAUUUUGUGAUCUUGACACAUUUUAUAGGAUUGUCCUCCUACAUCCUUUGAUGCUUUAGUGUGCAAUUGUGGUCAUUUUUUCAGUUGUUUUUAGCUCUUAUUAAUUGAUGGUCCACUAAGACUAUAUCGAUCACUAGUUUUGGAUUUUCAAUUAGAUAUUUUGAAGAGACUAAGUGGAUCCCUAUUUCGCGUGUAGUGACCCUUAAUUAUUAGUUUAGGACUUUGUUUUUUUUAUUGAUUUACAACAUAUUUAGGUUUGUUUAGAAUUCUAAAACCUUAAUUCUUACAAAUAAAUUCACGUUUUAAAAUAAUAUAAUAAUUGAUAUCAUAUUCUUUAAAAAUAUAAAAUACAAUAAGGUUUUGAUAAUGAAUUGGAAUGAGUUUUUUUUUUUUUUUUUUAAAGAAUGAUUUGAUAAGAUUCAAGUUUUUUUUGUUAACUUUAUCUUAUAAAUUAUAGAAAUUGAGGUAUUAAUCAAUAUAUUGGAUGAUUAAAUUGAGAAAUAAUAUGUUAAGGUUGUUAAUAUAUAUUCAAAGCUUUAUUUUGUGACAAAAUAAUUUUAUUUUUUAACAUCACAGGAAUCUUAAUUCAAAAUAAAGAUUUGAGUUUAUUAAUAUAUCAAAGCAAUUCUCUUUUUAAUACUUUAUGAACCAGAAACAAAAUUAAAAUGAGUUUAUUAUGGUUAUCUAAUUCAUGUCUUAAAAUAUAAAACAAAAUGUGUUAUUUUUUUUUUAUAAUAAACAUGCCAAAAUAAUUAUUAUUUUUAGAUAUCAUGAAUCAUAAAUAAAGUCUAUAUGAUAUUAAAAUUCACACAUCAAAACAUAAAAUAAAUUAAUUUUCUAAAUCAAAAACAAAUAUGCAAUUUGUAUGAUUUUAUGAAAUAUUUAUACUUAGCUUUCAUAUAAUUUAAAACAUACCAAACACACCUUAAACUAACCCAACCAUCCAUCAAUAGUCUCCAUAGGUCGUUAGCCUAGCUUCCCAUUUCUCUCACCCAUCAAGUGCUUUGUUGCUACUGCUCAUAUUUUAGAUGGCUUAAAAUGUAUUUUAAUCCAUGAGUCAUACCACUCUCUCUUUAAAGCUAAAUUUUAGUUGCUCAAGACAAGUACUUCAAACCAUGCCAUACCCUGCAACAACCUAUUUUUUAGGCAAUCAAAAAAACCUAUCACUACCACCUUCAUUAGACAUAAAACGUCUUUCUUCUGCCACAGCCCAUGCUUUGGGCUACCCAAAACCCAUAUGUCAUAAUGAAUAGCUGGAUUGCUUCCCAUCCACUAAUUCUCCCUUCUUAUCCCUUCGCACAUGCACAUUUUGAUCAACACCACCUAGCCUCACUGUCUUAUCGUCUUCUUCUUUCCUUCAAACUGAACACCAUAGCAGUUUCAAUAUGCAACAAAUGAUCCGUGAAGAGGUGGCAGGGAUGGCCCCAUCCAAACGUUUUUUGGCUCAUCAUGUAGAACUCGGUUAUCAACUCCAUCAGAACUCACCAUGGGGAAUCCGACAUGCAACAAGUGUUCAGCUCUUGUUUUAGAUAUUAAUUGUUGUGGACUUUGGGGUAAAUCAAUUGAAUUAAAAGAGUUUUUGUUUCAAGCUUGGUGGUUAUGGGUGCUUUUUGGUGGGUUUUCUGGAAGAGGAAUUUUUUUUUUAUAUAAUUGGUGAAGUUUGUUCACUGUUCUUGCCUAUCAAUACAACCUUAUUGGGUGUACCAUUUGAAUCAUUUUGUUUGUGCAUUUGUGAUUUUAUGUUGCUUUCUUUACUUAUUUUUUUCAUGUCAUUUACUAGAAUUUGGAAUGCUUCUGUUUUUCUCGUAAGUGGUUUGGAUUAAAAAAAACUAUGGCUAUGGUAUUUGAGCUGGAGGCUCAGCACGCAGUGUUUGGGUGAGUUUAACAUGGCGUUGAGGUGGCCACCUUGAAUCGGAAAAGGGAAGAUGCGGACAUAGGGAGAGUCCAUCCAUCUCGCUUUUGGUUCACAAUCUCAAGGGUGAGUUUAAGCAUGUUUUGUUUCCUUUUGUUUAAAGCAAUGACUUCGUCAACAACUACUACUUGGUGCCCAACUAUGCAAGAUCUCACCAAUUUGCUAUUCCCAAUUGUCUUUUGAAAUAUCAACAGUGCCAAUUGUGCCUCUACUGUUUCGAUAGGAUCUAUUGCUGUUAACAACUUCCUCAGUGUGGUGUAGUGUCAUAGAACUCUUGUCACAGAUUGCUUGAUUUGACAUUUUCUCAUUCCAUGUGACCGUGUCUUCUGGGUUUAAUGUGCAGACCUCUGGUUUCAGGUACCAAGAUUAUGGAUUCUUUGCAGAGCAAGCAGUACGAAGGAGAAUUUUUUGAAUGAAACUGUGACUAUUAUAGUAUAGUAGGAAAUCAAAGUGCAUUUACUUUGUUUUUCAUUCAAAAUCUUCAAAGUGGAUAACAAAGAAACAUAAUAAAUUAGUUUGAGGAGACAUCCAAUUAAAAAUUCUAAAAGAAGAUGCAAUAAACAAAGUGUUUACUCUUUCUUGUUUGUUACUAACAAAAAGAAAUUUGGGUUAAUAUGAGGUGAAUUUGUGUCAUGUUAUGAGAUUGCACAUUUUAUUUAUAAGAAAUUGUGGUUAUUGGUCCUGAAACUUGGAGUCUUGAUGAGACUAAAAAUGCUUUGAUUCUUCGUACAAUGCAUUUCCUGCACAGCUGCAAUGGCAGGAUCCAAGUGACCUUGACCAUCAUACCAUGUUGUGGAAAGAUGCCUAUUCUUCACAUUUGUUCCUCAACUGUAAGAAAAUUGAUCUUCUUGUGAAAUGAGUCACUGUCUGGGACGAUUCUCUAUCAGAUUAACCAUCUAGACUGGCCUCAACAACUCCUUCACUAGCAAAAUCUUUUCAAUAAAAGGACUCUGAACCAAUUCAGAAAGCCUUGUCCAAUGACUUUUGACUAUUGAAGCUAUUUAUGUUGUUGUGACUUUAUUAUAUGCUGUGACAAUUUUUCUUCGUUUACAAUUUUAACAUUAUCAGUAAGCACCUCUUGCUUGUUUUACAGAAAAUAAUGCAUAUCAGUUUUGAUUAGAACACAAAUGAAAUGAGUAUUUUGUUGCUUUCUAAGUUGAUAAAACCACUUGUUGGGACCGCACGGAUUGUCAUAAACAACCUCCACAUCAAGGGGGAUGUAUGCUAAUAAAUUUUCUCAUUAAUGCUUAUUCUUUUUUAUUUAAAAUUUUUUUAUGUAAAUUGAAGGCAACCAUCAUUCUAGUACUCCUGCUCUUGUGCAGAAGUUUUUCUUGUAUAAUUUUUAAAAUCUUUUAGUUUUGAAAAGUUUAUCCUCACCUUCUGGCUACUAUUCUUCCAUCAUUUUUAGUGACUUCAAUUCUAUAUAUUUCAUGAGAUCUUUGGUCUUUUUUUGCCACUGCCAUUUCUUUGAUUUGUCUGGGUUUAUUCCAAUUCUGACCAAGUGGAGGACUGAUUCCAGAUACGAAAUCAGCUCUCUUCACCCUCCUAGUGAAUUAAAAGCUUUAGCACAACUACCACUAUCUUUAUUUAAACCAAAAGAAACUACAAGAUACAAGAAUUCCCUCUAGCCAUAAUCCUUGUAGUUUUCCUGAAUACAUAAAAAGAAAAUUUUCCAUCCUCGUAGUUUUCCUAAAUAACUCUCUUUCGGUUCACUUAAGUUAUAUACACACUAGAUUCUUUCCAUUUUCAUUACUGUUAAUGUAAUAAGGAUACUAAAAAGUACUUGAUACUCACUGUGAUAGUAAGUACUGUAAAUUUAAAGUUUUAUGCUCCAAUUUCAAAAGUUUCCUGUUUCAGAUUUUAGCCAUUUGUUAAGUUCAGAAUUAUGUUGUUUGUUAGGCAUGCUUUACCAUAUAAUAUUUUUCUAGCAAUGCUUAUGUGCUAUCUUUGCAAGUUUAAUUGAUGUUUUCUUAUACUGUCCUACACAGCUUGUAUUGAUGCCAGUUCUGAAUGGAAAAAUGAUUUUUUAUGCAUUUGAAACAACUCCUGAGGUGAGGAUUGGAGUUGCAUUUGGAAGAGGUGGAAAAUAAACUCUAUCUGCAACAAAACUGCCUCGUGUUUCAUCCUGGCUGGUUCAAUUCUCUGCUAAUUUCUUGAGUUUGUGAAAUAUGACAUUUUCUUCCGCUUGAAAUGCCCUGUUUACUUGCAAUACAACUUAAUUUCUUCAACCAAACAUUCAAUUUUGUAUUUCCAUGAUGUAUUUUCUUGCUUGAUCAGGUUAAACUUUUCACUAAUACAUUAGAUAAGACAAUGGUUGAGCCACGCCACCAAUGUUACUCUCUGCCAUCAAUUAAUUUGAGGAAAAAAGCUGUUGGAGGGAUACUUUUUGUCACAAUCAUUUCAGCAAGUAUAUUGACUAGGAAUAACAUGAAAGGAAGCCCUUCUGGGAGACAAGAAAGCUCUCUCAUGGAUGCUACUUUGGAAGAGAAUAAUGAGAACAAAGUUCUGCAAAGAUUUAUAGAAGUUGAACUUGGAGAGUUAACCAGGAGAACGUAUGCAAGUCCAGGUUCAAGCCCUAGGUGGGACACGACAUUUAAUAUGGUUUUGCAUGGAGAUAUAGGGAGUCUUAAAUUUAAUCUUUACAAAAGCUCUCCUAUUUGUGUGAAGUAUGACUUUCUCACAAGUUCGAAAAUUAAGGUACGCAAAGAAAAUGUUCAAGUGCUUUUCUAGAGGCCACUAAUUUUAGCUUGACUUAUUGUGUCUAUGUUAUCGCUUGUUAAUUUUAAACUGAGGGUGGCUUCCAUGAAAAUGUCAUCAUGUCUAAUUGUGGUAUUCUAUCUAUCCAUAUUGACCAAAUGAAAAUUUUCUAUAAUGUGCUAGUUGAAAUAUGUUGAUGAUGACUCCACGAUAUUUUGGGCAGUAGGACAUGGAUCCAGUGAACUUGUUAAGCAUGCUGAGAGGAUUGGUGAAGAAGUGGAGAUGGUUGUUCCAUUUGAAGGUUUCAACUUUGGAGAGGUAGGGUUUUCCAAAUCCUUCUGUAAUUAUCUAUUUUGUUGUGUGGUUUGAGAGUUCUCCAUGAACUUGAAUGGUGGAAGAGCAUUCACGUUCCCAAAUCCGUAUAGGUAAGAAAUUAUAUAUCUAUUUCUACAUAAUUUACAAUUUAGUAUUGUAUGAUUCCACUGCUUUGUUCCCUUGGGUCAUGGAUAGUAUCAAGAGGGUGUACAUCAUUUUUUUUCUUUCUAGAAAUCUGGUUAUAUAAUGUUGGAAGUAAGAGCUGAACUUUCUGAUUUACCCAUGGUACAAGAUUGCUAUAAGUUUAAACAGAAAAUAGACUGAAAUAUUUUAUCUAUUGAAUCAGGUGAUAUGAUCACAACUAAAAUCCUCGUUUCCAAUUCAAUUGAUGGCCUGUGGUUGCACUUAUAGGGAAAAUGGGCAGCAAGUGACAUGAAUGCAGAACUGCAAAGAAGGAAGAGAUGGAUUAAUGAGUUUUCUCACUUUUUAUCUAUAAUGUUAAAUUCUAUUAACAACUUUCUCAAAAAUUGUAGUUCAUCUAGAAAGGUGAUCUGAAACAUUCUGUGUGAGGAAGACUCUAACCACUGAGCCCACAACUGACCCAUUCCAUUUGGAAAAAUGUCAUUCCCUGCCAAAAUAUCACUUUGUUGUUAAUAUAUCAACUUAAUUGAAUUUGCUAAGGUGUGUAUGUAUAUAUUUGAACUGGUUAUUAUUCAAGGCUAUUGGUUAAUAUUUUAGACCUUGAUAUUUUCUUUUGGCUUAAUAAUAAGCAAAAAAAUUUCAUGGGAUUGCUUAUGUAGUUCAGUUCUAAACUGUUUGAGAUAUAAUAAUUAGGAUACCGUUUGUGAUGGUUUCUUGUUCCUAUGCUUUUAGAAUGUUAUAAACCUUUUGUUCUCUGUUACUAUUGAUUUUGGCAUGAAACUCACUGGUGAUAAGGUUUGGAAAUUUGUUAACCUAGGGAAUGGAUAUGCUUCUUGUUCUAGAUGUUCUUGUUCAUUCUCCCUAUUAUGAUUCUACUUUAUUGCUUUAGGAUUCAAUUGAUGUUUACUUGCAUGGUAGAACUUUGAAAUAAAAUAAAAUAUCUGAAACAUGAAGUGGCAAACCCGUUAGUCUUAGCUAUUUUCCCAACUCUUUUCUAGUGUUCAGCUCAUCUCAAUUGCCUCUCCACCAUCAAAAGAAAAAAAAAUAAAAAGGGAAAAACUUGCAUUCUCAAUUUCAACUUAAACACGGGCUAUACAUGAAGUGAUAUUGAGAAAAGGAAAAUACAAAGAAACUUUUAAACGAUAUGGUGCUUUACUGACCAUGAAAGGAGGCAUUUUACUGCAUCUGAAGGCACUUCGCCUUUGAUAUUAGUAGAAAAAAUGAUUUCAAGUAUGUCACCCCCAUUUCAGUUUCUCAAUUUGUUUCUUUUAUCAAACUUGGCUCUCAAGUACAUGACCUCAAAUCUAGCCAUGGCGCCUCUUUGAGGUUAAAUUCUAAGGCAUUGAAUUCUUAAUGGGAACUCCAUGGUGCCUCUCUUCAUUAUGUCCCUUCAUAUCAAAGUGGCAACGAUGAGCUAAGAUUUCUUCUUGCCGGUAUGUGUAGAAGAUUUAUGUGUUCUAUAAGGGGCCUACUAUUCAAAGCAUUAGGAAAUUAUCUCAACUAAAAAUUUUGUUGUGGAACUUAAAAAGGGUCACGUCCAGUAAGUCGAAAAAUGGAUUUGAUUUACUUAAGUUGAUCAUUAGUUGAUAUGAUUCCAAUAUGUCAUAAUUUUAUCUUAAUUGAACUAUUUAAAUUCCAUGGUUUUGGAUGGUAUAAAUCAAGUUGACUUGAGAAAAACACCAAGACACUUGGUUUAAAUCUAAAAAAAUAAUUACGAUUUAGAAAUAAUUUUUUAUUAGCCUUUGGUAUGUGGUGCAACUUGUACAUUCCACUUAUCCCAUGUGUUCUUUAAUAAUCCGUGGUCAACAUGUCUUGUUUUCUUUUGUUAAUUAAUAAUUUUUUAUAUACUAUAUCUAAGUGGUAUAUAAUAUCAUGUCUAUAUAAGUUCAAUUUAAAUUUAAAAUUUAUCAUAUUUAAUUUUAGUUCAUAAUAUCACAUCAUGUCCAUAGGAUCAUAAUUUAUGAAAAUAUUAUCAUAUUUUUAUUUAAGUUCAUAAAUAGGCUUUCAUAAUUUAUUUUUUAAAAUAAAUAUAAUUUAUUAUUAUUUUAUUUAUAUUUAAGUUUAAUUAAUUAAUUAUAUUUAUAUUAGAUAUAGUGUCAAUUGUUUUAAUAAAAUAAAAUAAAGAAAUUUAUACCAUAUUAAAAAUAUCAAUUAUUUAAUUUCAUAUAUUAAUAUUUUUUAAAUAAUGAGAUAAGUUUAAAUGAAACAACAUAAUUAUAUAUAUAUAUAUAUAUAUAAGUUAAAGUCACAGUUGGUGUCUAUGGUUUUGAUCAUUUUUAAAAGAAUUCAAAACCAUAGUUACUAAUUGUAGCUUUAAACUUAAAGUUAAAACCGUGGUUGGUGACUAUGGUUUUUAACCGUUUUAGAAAAAUAAAACCGUAGUCACCAAUUACGGUCUUAUGACAUGACAACUUAUAUGAUACAGACACAUUAGAUUGAGUAUUAUUUUGAAAAUAAGUUUAUUUUAUGAAUUUUUUUUUUCAAUGUACUUUUUUGGGUCAAAACUCCCACUCUAUAGAUGUUAUCUAUAUUAAUAUUUGUUUCAUUUUAAAUUUAAUUUUGUUUAUAUUUUACAAAUUCAUAACAAAUGAUCAUCAAUACAACAAAAAAUGACACAAAAAGCUUUGUGGUUUGCUAAGCUCUUACAUCUUGUAUUCUAACAUAACAUCUUCGAUGCAUAUUGAGAAACAAAAUAGUUAAUUUCAACAAAUUUCCAUUUUGGGUUUUUUCUCAUUGGUAGACUCCUACAUCAUAUGAUUUCAAAUUCUGGUUAAUAUAGAAGUGAGGAAUUAAAUAACCUUGGAUACUCCAUCUCAGCCACAUUUUCAGUUUUAUGAAUAUAUAUAUAUAUAUAUAUAUAUAUAUAUAUAUAUAUAUAUAUAUAUAUAUAUAAUCUUGUGUUUUUCUUUAACUGACACAACAAUUAUCUCAAGCCACUUAUAAACCUGAAGAUAUGUCACAGAUGCACUAUAGGAGAACAAACACUGAUGCAUUAAUUGUUAUUCUCUUUUUUAAUUAUUUCUUCAAGAAGAUUUCAUGGGGCUUUCACUUGGCUUUAAUUUCAUGUUCCUUUGAUUAAUGUUUUUGAACCUUGAGUAAGCAUUCCUUGCACAACCUGAGCUCAAGAUCAAAGAAAUUUUCAUUCAUAUUUAAGGUUAGAUUAUGGACAACCUCAUGCCAGUGGUUUCUAUCAUAUUAUGAGAUCAAAUCAUCCUUAGGACUUAGAUAAGAGAGAAUUAAAAUUACAUAUUUUAUUUCCAACUUUUUUAUGCAUAAAUAUAAAACAAUUUCAUUAUCUUAAGAGUAUAAUUAAUGAAAUUUGAUAUACAAUUUUAUGUUUUCUCUUGUUGUCCAAAUAAAUUAUAUAAUGGUACUUGUAAACAGUACCAUAGUUUCCUAAAAUAAUUAAGGACCACAUUUUUUAAGUUCCAAAUUUUCCUAAAAGACUAUAAUGAAUUUAUUUUUCAUAAUUAUUAUGGUUGCAAUAAUAAACCAAACAAAAGGAAGUCAUGUUACAUCAUUUAAUAAAUGUCAUAAAAAUGCAAAAAAAAAAAAAAAUGCAAAAAAUCAAAAACAAAAACAAAAAUUUAAAUCCUAUAAAGGAUAUAUAUUUGCAUGGAGAAUAAAUAUCUAAUCCAAUAAAUUUUCAUAAAAACUAUUUUUACUUUUCACAAAAUUUUUAAUGGUGGCCUCUUAGAAUUUUCUUUCAAGUUGCUUCUAGAUGGGAAUGGGUUUAGAUAGAAUUAAAAGAAAAACAAAAGAAUUCAAAGAAAAAAAAAGUGAGAUUUUCAAUAUUUACUAAUAUAACCUUGAUAGAUUUAUAAAUGAAAUUACAUUGACUUAAAAAUCAUUUGUCAAGAUAGCUUUUACCAACCUUGACAUAAGAAUAUUUUAACUAUAUAUAUUAACUUAUAAUUUUUCUAUCAAGAUUGUAUUACUAUAAAUUAAAGAAAAUUUUAUCAAAUUCCAUAUAUGUCAUUAUUGCCUUUAUUUACCUACCUUGACAUAUGAAUAUAUUAAAAUCUUAUAUUGACUUAUAAAUUCUCUAUCAAGGUUGCAUCGUCAUAAGUCAUGGAAUAAUCACUAGAAUUCAUAUAUGUCAUUAUUUCUUUUAACUAAGUUUUAUAUGUCAUAGUUUCCCAUUUAAAUAAAAAAUAUUGACAUAUACUACUUUAAGUAAAGAUAAUAUAUGUCAACAAUGACCCUUUUUCUUGUAGUGCAUAUAUAUAAACAAAUAUUAUAAAUUACAUACAUAUAUUAUAAAUUAAACAUAAUAAAAUUAUUAUAAAUAAAUUGUUUUUUGUGAUUGUGACUUUUUUAUAAUAAUUAUAUAUAAAAUAAAUAUAAUUUUUUUAAUAAAAUUAUCAAAAUUUUAAAAUAAAAAAUACUUAUACAAAUUAUCGUUAUUUCUUUUUAUGUCAUUAAAUACAUCCAAAUUAAAUGAUAAUGCAUAAAGCAUGUUUUCAAAUUAUAAACAUUAUUGUUAAAUAUCACAACUAUGCAUACAUCAUCAUUUAUUUUAUAUUAUUUAAUAUAAUUGAAUUAAAUAUAUUAUAAUUUUAAUAUUAAAUAUAUUUUAAAUUAGACAUAUUAUAAUUAAAUAUCAUAAUAUUAUUAUGAAAUAGUAUUUAAUGUAACUUAAUAAUAAAUAUACACUUAUAAAAUUCAUAUUUUUUUAUUGAUGUAUAUGAUAUUAUCAUCAAAUAUGAUAAAUCAUAAUAUACAUAUAUCAAAAUUUUCAACAAAAUAAUUUUAAAAUGUCUAUUAUACUUCUAAUUAUAUUUCUACAAGGUUUUUUUUUUUUUUAAAAAAAAUAUUUUCAUGAAUUUUCAUCAAUUUUAAGCCCAUUGAUAUAUAUAUUUUUUCAAAAUAUCCAUCGAUAUAGCUCCAAUAUAUUUUAUAUAUCCAUAAAAUCGAAAUACUGAUAUAUCCGUGAUUACCGAUAUUUUCAUCAUUGGUUAAAGGUUUUACCAUGGGGAUGAUCCAUGCUCAUAUAUAGAAGUUUUUCUAGUGCAAAGUUGACCCCAUACUCGAAGGCAAAAUUUGACUUAAUACAUAUAAAUACAACCUAUACCCAAAGAUGCAGGGGUAGCCUAAGCACAAAGAUGAUUCAUUUCCAAAAGAGUGAGAGGCCAAUUUUCCACCAAGAUAACUUUCACAUACAACCAUAUAAGGUAGUUUAACAAAGGGAUGUCUUGAAUUAGAAGGAUUAAUGCUAGUUUUCUUUAGGGUUCUUAGUAGAGAUACCUUUAAUUAUAAUUUUUUUUUGGUUAUUCACAUUUUCCAUUUAUUCUUUAUUAGACUAUCAGUAAGGCCUUUUUCCUUGAAACUAACUUGGCUUUAGGUUUUCAAUUGGAAGGUUUUCUUAACUUGUGAUCACUUGCUUUAGUGAUAAGAUUUCCUUCCAUUUAGCUAAUGUGUAUGGGAGUUAAUAUGAAGAUCAUUCUUGUGCUUUUUGAUGACUUAGGUGACCUCUUACGGUGCAUCUUAUUUAUGAACACCCAAGGUGUUUUGAAGCAUGUUUGUCCAUCAUAUGUUGCUGGCAACUUUUAUAGCCUUUUAAUUUCAUACGAGUGCCUUUGACUAGGUGUAAAAGCAUAAGCAAGUUUCACUUGAUAAAAAGAGUUUUAAACUCCCGAACAAGUUGAGUGAGAUGCAACAUGUCUUAAGUGGUCGUUUUGAUAGAAAUUUAGUUAUCAACUUUGAGGAUGGGUAUCAUGGCUGGUAGGUGUGGGUUGAAUUGCUUUGAUGGACUUUGAGAAUGAGGUACCUUUGGUUGCUUGAGAUGAAGAUUGUCUAGUUUUUUGUGCCAUGGGCUUGUAACUAUGUCAUUAACCAUUUUCCAAUAUGUAGUAGUUGUUGAAUCGGUAGGCUCCAAUUUUCAAACUUGCUUAUCUUGCUAUACAAAUAUUAUUAGGUAUGUCCACGUACAUGGGGGGCUAAGUCAUAACACCUGGGACUUAGGUCAUAGACCCUAAGGCUAUUGGUUUUAGGUAGACAUAUCUUCUCAAAAUUCUUAUUGUAUUCAAGAAUUACUCUCUUAGCGUGAAACAAAGAAGGAUACUAUUGUGAUCCAUAUUUGCUUCUCUUUUGAAUAUCACACAAGAUAAAAAUAAUUGAAGAAAAGAUUACAAAAGGAAAAUAAAUAAAAGAACACUCCAUUGGAAUGGUUCAACUUCAUUUUCGACCCUCUGUGACAACUUUUUUUCUAACUAAGGAAUGCUUAAACUUUCACACAAACAGUGCCAAUGAAGAUGCUCAAAAUCUUCAUGAAUGAAUUUUUAUUCAUUAGUUUGGUAAACACAGAGAAGGAUUUUUGUCAUUUGGUAGAUGCAGAGAGUGAUUUUUUUAUGGAGGAGGAGGACAUCCUUUUGCCAUGCAUCAUUUUUUUUAUAUAGUUAGGGUAUUCUAUCAUGAGUCAAACUCUUUCAUGGGUUGACACAUGGGUUAAUAACCUUUUUCACUAGAAGCCAAGAGCUAGUAAUAUCUUCUUUUAAGGGUCUGGUUUGUUAGUUUAUUAGACCUUGAGGUAGGUCAUUGCCAAGGUACCUAUUAUUAGGUAAGUUGAUUUUAGGUAGCUUCACUCCCCAUUAUUUAUGGAGUUAUGUAUGUGUAUGGUGGGUAGAUAGUCAAAUUGGAUCUAGUUGAUAUCAAGACUAAAGACAAUAUUUAACCCAUUAGAAUAAAUUAAACAAAAAUUAUGAGAUGAAUGUAAAGUACAAAACUAUUUUUAACUUGUAUUCCUAAUUGAUUUACUCUUUUAAUCCCUUAAAAAAAAUUAUGUUUUUAUGCUCGUGAGUUGCAUACCUUUGGAUGUUAUUUUGAGGGUUCAUGAUUCUUCAUCAUGGGUAUGGAUGAAUAUGACUAUUCAAUUGAGGUUGUAUAGUUUCAAGGACCUAUGGUUCUUUUCCCAAAUUUUUAUCUGAAAGGCAUUUUAUAUCUUUAGAAUUCAAAAAAAAGAAAUAUUGUAGUUAAGUAGUUAGUGCGGUAGGAGUGGGUGUGGGGAUGGGUCCAACUAGGAUGCAAAACAAUGGUAGUAAUUAGAAUAUUGGAGGGUUGAAUUUCCAGCUAUAAUCAUUGGUCAAUGCCAAAAUCAUAAAGUUUCUUUCUCUUCUCCAAAAUUAGUUACCAUAUAUAGUUAAUAUUUAAUUAUUUUGUAUAAAGAGUGUGCCACCUCUUCGAAGGCCAAAUGGGUUAAAAUUUUAAGAGGGAAAUGGAAAUAAAGAAAUAGGAGUUUUCCAUGGUGGUAUAAGUAAGAGGGUAUAGAAUAAGGAACCGUUAAUUCGGGCAGCAAGCAUGGCUAAAGAAUUUAGGCAAAGUCAAUAUAAGUCUAGGAUAAGGACAAAGUCUCCUAUUGUGCUUUUAUAAUGGUUGAAUUUGGUUUGUUCAAUGUGCUUUUCAAAUGCUUUAAAGAUGCAAUUAGAAUUCUUGAUGGUUUGUGCAUGAAUUGUACUUAUAUGCAUCAUUGGUUUUCUUUCUUAAGUGACAACAUCAAAUGGCUCAAUUUAUAUGAGCAACAUCUAAUGAAUUAAUGGAUAUGAAUUAUACAAUUUUAUGGAGUUCUACCAUAGAAAAAUUUUCAUAGAUAUCAUGGUAGAGGAAAUAAAUGAAGGAAACAUGAGAGGUGAAAUAUUUAUACAAAAAUAUAAAUUAAAAUUCGUGAAGAUAUGAAAAGAAAAAGCAAUCAGAACUACCCCAUAAAACAAGUUAAAUAGAAAUUUAAUAGGUUUGGCAUUAAGCAUUGUAAGUGUAGUAAGUUAUUAAAACAAACAAGAUUUAACUGGGGUGUUGAAAGAAACACUAUGAAUGUUACAAAGGAAGUGUGAUAAAACUAUUUACAAGUAAAUAUUAAUACACACACAUAUAUAUAUUAUUUAUUUUGUUAGAUACAUCCAAAGACAUCGCAAUUUCAAAAGAGAGGAUGUGAGCAUAACAAGUUUUUAGGACUUACAUUUAAUAAAUAUAUUAAUAUUGGAGUGCUUCACCAUGCAUCCACUUAAGAACCAAUUGACACUAAUGAUGAGAUAGAAUUGAAGAAUCAACCGGUCAUCGUUGAAAACAAUAUGCAACAAGUGUAGAGCAUAGAAAAACAAAAAAGAGAAUAAAUCACAAUAUGUUGGUUAUGUGUAGACCCUUCAUUUUGUCCUAUUAGCACAUGUCCUAUUACAUGUUCGCUUGGUACUUUACAACAAUUCCUUUGUGGUCCAUUACUGCUCAUGUAGCUUAUCUUUUCUAAGUCACCUUGAAGAUUUUGGUUGAGGGACUCAUCUGACCCCAUUGUGAUUCUAGGUAGCUUUAAUUGAGACUUAGGUUUUUUUCCUUCCUUGUUAGGCCCAUUUAGAUACACUUGGUCCAUUAGGCACCACCUUAGACCCACUUAGACACUUUUCUAGGUUUAGUUUUACUUAUAUUUUUUUUUUUAUUGUUUUUCUUUAUUUAUUUAUUUUAUUAAUUGAUUUUAGGGUUAAGUGAGUUUUGAUUUAUUUUAUCUUAUUUCAUUAUUAUUAUUAUUUGUAUUUUGUUUAUUUAUUUUAUUUUGUGGUUGCAUGAAAUGAAUUUUUUUAAUUUUUCGUGGUUUGAGUUUGACACGUCGAUUAUUAUUAUAUGUUGCAUUAGUUUAAUUUCUUUUUUUGAAUAUGUUUAAUAUUUAUUUAUUUAUGUAUUAUACCUUUUAUCUAUGUAUUGAUAUUUUCUUAUUUGCGGAUUUAAUGACUUCUUGAAAUUUUAGUGAAAGGAAUGUUGACUUUUAAUGAAGGGAAUUGUUUGACUUUAGGGGAUUCUUGCUUUCUUUAUUACUUUUUUAUUUUUAUUUUGCAUGAGAAAACCUGGGGAAUGGGGAGCUGGAAAGCAACGUCCUCGACACAUUUCUCAACAAGGAGCCAAACUUUUAAUUUAUGCAGUGAGCGCAAGACUCGGUGACGUAUCAUGUUGGCGAACCUAAUGCCAUUUAUCUUUUCCUCGAAGAUUUACCGGUUGUCGGAAUAGCGUAUUGCACACACCGAUAGACUUUAGAUUACGAUCUUACUCUGCCGUUGAACCUUCUUCAUCGAAGCAUGCCUGAAAUAGCACAUAACCAUGAUUAGUACGCAGCAAAGCGGAUCAGGGUCUUCGCAAAGCCCUAGAUCUCCGAGUACACAACCAUUUUUAUCGGUCUCAAUCACAGAUCCUAUCAAAUUGGGCAAUAACGUCCAGGCUUACAUCUUUUAUCACGUCAUCACCAAGACAAAUUUACCUGAGUACCAAGGUCAAGAGAAAAUUGUUAUUCGAUGUUACAAUGAUUUUGUUUGUUUACGUGACCGUCUCUUUGAGAAGUACAAAGGCAUUUUUGUUUCUCCUCGAUCUUCCAAAAAAGAGUGCUGGAGAGAAGUUCAUUUUAGUGCUGAAUUUAUUAAGAUGAGGCGUCAAGCAUUGGAUAUAUUUGUUAACAAGAUAGCAUCGCAUCAUGAGCUUCAGCAAAGUGAGGACCUAAGAACCCUUUUGCAGGUAGAUGAAGAGACGAUGGAGAAAGCAAGACCCCUCGAGGAGAUCAUGAAUAUAUUGACUUUCAUAGCCAUUUUGAAAUAGCUAGAGCUGUUGAAUCGUAUGAUAGGAUAUUGAGUUCUCUUCCGAUCAUCUAUGUGGGCUCUUUGACCAAGUUAAAGCAGUUUCUUUAAGUUAUGGUUGAACCUGUUAGAUCUUCUCUCAAGCAUAACUCAAUGUCACUUCCCCUAUGGAGAUCCCUUGAUUAUUUAGAAGCAAAAUGACAAUCCUCCUAUCAGAGACAGUUCAAUCCCGACGGAAAGAGUAUUAAAAACGACACUUCUCCUGACCAUAGUGCAGUGGACAUCUAAAGAGGCUGCAACAUGCACACACAUGGAAGGCGGCCUCUCCAAAAAAGGAACACGAUACGCAUGAUUUGGCAUGGAGAAUAUUUUUGGGAAGGUGACUCAGCAUCACACAGAUGAUUGUUGGCUCUCUCCGGGCUGGUGAGUGGUCUUUCCAUGUAGGUGGAGUCAAUGGGAAGGAGUGCAGAGGACGCUCAUGAGAAGGGGUCACACUGGUUUUGGAAAGGUGGAUUUAGGGCAUGAAAGGAGAAAAUAAAUGAUGGAUGAAUGAGGAUGGUUUUUGGGGAAGAUACAGAGAAGGAAAAGGUUUUUUUGGAAAAGAAGUUUUCAGCACGUUGAAGAAAAAAAAAUGCUGAGCGUAGGGAAGAGAAUGAGAAUGUUUUGGGAAGAUAAAAGAAGGUGAUCGGAUGUGGAGGGGGGCAGCAUUAUAGAGAUUGAUUGAGAGCGUGAUAGAGAUGGAAUUGAGAGAAAAGAGAAAGGUACAGCCGCACCAGUGAGAGAGAAGAGAAAUGUGCAGCCACACCAUUGAGAGAGAAGAGAGAGGUGUAGCUGCACCAUUGAGAAAGGAAAGAGAGGUGCAACCGCACCAUUGAGAAGGGAAAGAGAGGUGCAGCCGCACCAUUGGAGAGAAAAGAAAGGUGCAGCCGCACCAUUGGAAAGAAAAGGAGAGGUAGCCGGCUGGUAGUGCACAAGACGCUGGUUUUGGAGGAGAUGAGGGUUCUAACUCAACCACACCAUUGAAGCUUCGGGGAAAGCACGAUUGCCUCUAAUACCACACACCAUUCGGAUUGAUUUGGAGCACGCAUCGCCGAUUGAUUUUUGAUUCAUCCUAUCAUCCACACGGUUGCCACUGUGGGAAACAUACAACAUACAGUCCACGCACCUAUCCAACUGGGUAAGCUGAUUCUUUUCUUAUAUUUUUUUUAAUUAGUCAAUAUAAUUAAUGCAAUAUGUUAAAGAUCCCAUUUGAAUUUACUAUAAUACAUUUGUAAUUCAUCAUUAUAUUUGAGUUUUAUUUAUUUAUUUAUGUGUUAUCUAUUUAUCCAUUUGUUAAUAAGAUUGAUUCUAUAGGUUAAAGAUUUAGUUUUAAAAUCUGUUUUGGUUAGUUUUUAAUUCAACUUUAGGUUUAAGUGCUCUUAUAAAAUUUUAGUUUGUUAAAAUAAUUAAUCAUAUGUGUUAAGGAUUUGAUUUUAGAUUUGCCUUAAUUACUGUUUAAUUCAUUUUAAGCUUAGAUUUCAUUUUAGUAAUGUAAGUUUAUUUAGAAAAUUGAUUCCAUGAAUUCAUAUUUUGUUUUUUUUUUAGUUUGCUUUCAUUUAAUUUGAUUCAUUUUAAUUAUUUUAGAUGCUUUUAUAAUUUUAGGUCAUUAAUAAAAUCAAUUCUAUAUUUGAAAGUUCAUGCCUUUAGUUUACUCUGAUUUAGUUUCACUCAUCUAUUUAGUUUAGGUAUUUUCUAUAAUAUUAGUUCAUUAAUAAAAUUGAUUCUAUGUUUGAAAAUUCAUAUUUGCCUUGAUUUAAUUUGGUCCAUUUUAAUUAGUCUAGAUGCGUUUGUGUGUUUAAUUGAUCACGUGCUAGUUCUUGAUUAUUAUUCUCAAUUGAUAUGUUUAUUGAAUACUAGUCAUUAAUUCUUGGUGGAUAUUUCAUUAGCUUAUUUGAUCUAAGUUUGAAUAGUUUAUUGUUUUAGUAGUCUCUUGUAAAAUUUACUUUUCAGAGGCCAUAAAAAAAUAGUGAAGAUUGGUUUUCGUUCUCACCACUCUAGUUAGCUCGGCUGUCAAAAAUUUUACUUUAGGAUUUUCUUUUCUUUUGUUUUGUUGUCUUCAAAUUAAUUUCUUUCACUUCAAGACAAAACACUUUUCUCAAAAUAUCCCUUUAAAUUUUUUUUUUUUUAAAUUCAUUUAGAGUCCUUAGAAUCAAAAUCUCAUUUUCUUAAAUAAUAUGCAACCAUGUUUUGAUCGGUUUGCAUCUUUUUCAGUUUUCAAUAAAAACUACGGUUUUGAAUGGAAUACGAAUCCAAGCUUGUAGUCCCAAACAAAUGCGAUAAUUCUGGGCUAGAUUUGUGUAUAUCAAUUGGAGAAUUGGUGGAAUCCUUACAUAAGAAAAUUUUUCAAAACUCAUCUUUGUUGUCACCUUUGUUACUUGUUGAAAUCAUAUCUAUCUAUUUUUUUAGGAAUUAUAUACAAGAUGUAUGUGAUAAUCGAUGAUUUCGUAUACUUUGAUAAUUUUUUCUAUGCUAAUUAGAUAACAAGCAUGUUAGGAUUUCUGUAUUUUAUUAUUUAUUAUCUAACUCCUCAUGUCUUGCGGAAGCACGUUACAAGUUAUCUAUGCUCUCCAAGUACACCCCCUAUCACCUACCAUCUAAAUUAUGUGAAUAUGCUUGUCACUGUGAACCGCGCCUAUGUUUGAUAGUGCUUGGGUAUCUUGAUAUAUUGUUUCAUUGUUCGAUUAUUUAUGAUAAAACACAUGCUGGAUGAUAUACUAUUUGAAUUAACUUUGAUGUAUUGUGAUAGCGCUUAAGAAGUAAUCCGGGUACGCACCCUAAAUCUUCUUUAUGAUUUGUGAUUGAUUCUCUUAUUUAGUAUGCUAUUUUUUUGAAAUCACAUUAGUCUACCUAGGUACCCUCAAUCAACCAAUUAAUUGCCCAAAUUCUCUCAACUUAGUCAGUAGAGACAUUUGUUAGGCUUAGAUGGGUGCUACCUUCUAGAGGUACCUUCCCAAUAGGUAACCUGAUCCCCUGACCAAGACUCGGGUUUUUCAAAGACAUGCUUUUCCAAAAACUAUGGAGUUACUUCUUUAGGGUUUUCUUUCUUAUUUUAUUUUCCCUUUUAAAAUAAAAUCAAAUAAGUGACGACUUCAACUUUUCCAAAACUAAUUUUUUACCAAUAAAAGUGAGUUUUGUCGAUUGAGUGGGAACGCAUGUGAAAUAUGCGGGUCCACAUUAUGUCCUUCAAGCAUGAGCUGAGGCAACAAAGGUAAAAAUAGAAGCCUCUUUAAACAACCAAAAACUUAUAUAAAAAAAACAUUCAAUUAUAGACAUGCAUUAGUUAGAAACAUAAUUAAACAUUAUUUUUAUGUGUUGAAAGCACUUUGUAAAUGUUUUAAAGUGUUUUAUUAUUAAAACAAAAUAAAGAUAUUUGGCAAAGUUUUGAGAUUCGCUUCUAAAAAUUUAUCUAAAAAUUUAGAAUGUCUUUUGAAGUUAGUUUAGAACAAUUACUUAUUAAAUAGGGAAUUUUAAAUUUUUAAAAAUUAUAUUCUCAAAGUAUUUUCUUUUAUUUACAUCAAAACAUUAGUUAAAAAAAGUUUAUAAUUUCUAAUCAUCUCAAAGUCAUUUUCAAAUGGAAUUUAAAAACUUUCAUAUUCAUAUUAUAUGUACAUCUUUGUGUGUUAUAGUUUUCUACCCAAGUUUUAUUGGUUUAUAAUAAUUUUAUUUAUUUAUGUCUUGAUUUUACUCUUAUCAAAGGCUAUAAUUCACACAAAUUAAAAGGCACAGUGGUUUGAUAAGCAUGGACCACCUAACUUGGUAUUUUCCAAACACGUUUCUGUUUGCAGAAUAUAUUUUCAUAUUUGAAUGGAUUGAUACAAAAGUUGAGUUGGAGAGAAGGUGGAAGUACAAGGAAUUUAGUCAAAUCCAAUGGCUUUUGACGACUAAAUGAAAUCCCCACUUUUGACGAAUACUCACUUAUUAGUAUGAUAUUGCUCUUUCAUCCAAAUAUGAUAUUACUACCUAUAUGACUCAUAUUUACUUUCCAUAUAUCAUCCACAUAUUAAUUUUUGAAACUAGGUUUCCGUCUAUUUUUAAUUUAUUUUUAAAAUUUGAUGAAAAUAAUUUUUACUUAUUCUUUAAAAAUUAUUAUUUAUUUUUCUUUGUUUAUAAAAAUUAGAAAUAAAAAAAAACUAUCAAAUAAAAUACUAAAAUUUUGAAAACAAAUUUCUAUUUUCUAUAAAGACUGAAAACCGAUUUUUAACUUCUUUUAUGCAGUGCACAUGGUCAAAUGAUUUUACUUUCGUUAUUUUUUAAUCAAGGAAGUGAAAUUACAUUAAGUAGGCUAACAACUCCCACACCCCACCAACCCUUUGACCGCACACCACAUUUGUCUUGGGUUUUGACCAGUAAGAACCAUCCGGGCUCCAUCCCUAUAUCCACGUGGAUUCCACGUCACGUUGCAGCAUCUGAGCCUUUGGCGUAGACAGAUUAAGGGUCUGGAUUGGGUUUCAACAAGGCACAUGAAGCCAGUUCGCCAUCCAGCCCACCUACCAGUGACCCUGUGGGAUUUCAAAGACUGCACGGCCGAAAAGUUCUAUAUAAGUAGAAGUUUCAUUCACCAUACACCUUAGUAAGUUCAGAGCACUACUGUCUAGUUCCUCUCUCUCUCUCUCUCUUUCCUUCUCGGUUGUCGAGAAAAACCAGCUUUCUGAAGUUGUUUCUUUGUGGGGAUUCUAAGAUAUGGAUGCAACGAACUGCCAUGGAAGCAACAAGGUGGAGAGUUUCUGCGUGAGUGAUCCGCUGAACUGGGGAAUGGCUGCGGAGACGUUGAAGGGAAGCCAUUUGGAUGAAGUGAAGCGCAUGGUGGCGGAGUACCGGAAGCCGGUUGUUCGGCUCGGUGGUGAGACGCUUACCAUAUCGCAGGUUGCGGCUAUCGCCGGGCGGGAGGGGGAUGUGGGUGUGGAGUUGUCGGAGACGGCGAGAGCGGGCGUGAACGCGAGCAGUGAGUGGGUGAUGGAGAGCAUGAGCAAAGGCACCGACAGCUAUGGUGUUACCACUGGGUUUGGUGCCACUUCACAUAGGAGAACCAAACAAGGUGGUGCCCUUCAGAAGGAGCUCAUCAGGUAAAAUUACUUUACAGUGGUUUUAGAAAAUACUUCAUAAAAGCACUUUUGGAAAAAUAUUAGUAGUUUGAAUCACUUUUGAAAAGUGAAAAAAUUACUUUUAAUAUUUCGCCAAGGAAUACUUGAUAGCCGAUGUUAAAAAAAAAAACUUAAAAGCACUUUUAAAACUCGGUGUUAGGAUACGUGAGUUAAUGGCCACCAGUCAACUUUGACGUGUUAACUUAUUCAUAUCUCUUAAUGAAUCCAGUCCUUUUUGGUUACUUUCUAUUAUCUGAAACAGUUGUUUUGAUUUGAAAACUUGAAUUGGUUGGUGAUGUGCUGGGUUGUUGAUGCUUGAUACAGGUUCUUGAAUGCUGGGAUAUUUGGGAACGGAAGAGAGUCAUGCCACACACUGCCUCACUCAGCAACAAGAGCCGCCAUGCUCGUGAGGAUCAACACCCUCCUCCAAGGCUACUCCGGCAUCAGAUUUGAGAUUCUGGAAGCAAUCACCAAGCUCCUCAAUCACAACAUCACUCCAUGCUUGCCUCUGCGUGGCACCGUCACUGCCUCCGGAGACCUGGUUCCUCUCUCCUACAUCGCUGGUCUUCUCACCGGCAGGCCUAAUUCCAAAGCUGUUGGACCUUCCGGUGAAGUUGUCAAUGCCGAAGAGGCCUUUAAAAUGGCUGGGAUCGAGUCGGGAUUUUUUGAGUUGCAGCCUAAGGAAGGCCUGGCUCUUGUUAAUGGCACUGCAGUUGGCUCUGGCUUGGCCUCUAUGGUGCUUUUUGAGACCAAUGUGCUGGCAGUUUUGUCAGAAGUUUUAUCGGCUGUUUUUGCUGAAGUGAUGCAGGGGAAGCCCGAAUUCACUGACCACUUGACUCACAAAUUGAAGCACCACCCUGGCCAAAUCGAGGCUGCAGCCAUUAUGGAGCACAUUCUAGAUGGAAGCUCUUAUGUGAAAGAAGCUAAGAAGCUACAUGAGAUGGAUCCUCUGCAGAAGCCGAAGCAAGAUCGAUAUGCUCUCAGGACUUCACCUCAAUGGCUUGGCCCACAGAUUGAAGUCAUCCGAGCAUCAACUAAAUCCAUCGAACGGGAGAUCAACUCUGUGAAUGAUAACCCCUUGAUCGAUGUUUCCAGGAACAAGGCUCUACAUGGUGGCAACUUCCAGGGGACCCCAAUUGGAGUCUUCAUGGACAACACCCGCUUGGCCAUUGCAGCCAUUGGGAAGCUUAUGUUUGCCCAGUUCUCAGAGCUUGUCAAUGACUUCUACAACAAUGGACUGCCAUCAAAUCUCUCUGGAAGCCGAAACCCGAGUCUGGACUAUGGUUUCAAGGGAGCAGAAAUUGCCAUGGCUUCCUACUGUUCAGAGCUCCAGUUCUUGGCCAAUCCUGUCACCAACCAUGUCGAAAGUGCUGAGCAACACAACCAAGAUGUGAACUCCUUGGGCUUAAUCUCCUCCCGGAAAACAGCUGAAGCGGUGGAUAUCUUGAAGCUCAUGUCUACCACAUACCUAGUGGCACUCUGCCAGGCCAUUGAUUUGAGGCAUUUGGAGGAGAAUUUGAAGAGCACAGUGAAGAAGACUGUAAGCCACGUAGCUAAGAAAACUCUAACCACUGGAGCCAAUGGAGAACUCCACCCAUCGAGAUUCUGCGAGAAGGAUUUGCUAAAAGUGGUGGAUAGGGAACAUGUAUUUGCCUACAUCGAUGACCCCUGCAGCGCCACAUAUCCACUGAUGCAGAAGGUAAGGCAAGUUCUGGUGGAACAUGCGCUGAACAAUGGCGAAAAUGAGAAGAAUGGCAGCACCUCAAUCUUCCAAAAAAUAGGGGCAUUCGAGGAGGAGUUGAAGGCCGUUUUGCCCAAAGAGGUUGAGAGCGCAAGAGAUGGGGUGGAGAGUGGAAACCCAUCAAUUCCGAACCGAAUCAAGGAGUGCAGGUCAUACCCAUUGUACAAGUUUGUGAGGGAGGAGCUGGGAACAGGGCUGCUGACUGGUGAAAAGGUGAGGUCACCAGGGGAGGAUUUUGACAAGGUGUUUACUGCAAUGUGUGAGGGGAAGAUCAUCGACCCUCUUCUGGAUUGUCUCAGUGCCUGGAACGGUGCUCCUCUCCCAAUCUGCUAGGGGAUUUCACCCUUGCACAUACUCUUUUACUUUUCACUUCCAACUUUCUUUCAUCUCUGUUUGUAAAACUUGAGAUUGUCUGCACGCUUUCAAUUUUGUGAUACAAAAUUUUUUUGUAUUAAUUCUUGGCUAUGCAAAAUAUUUGAUACCAAUUUGUUGGAGUAAUAGGAUUGUGGUAAAAAUAACUACAAUUUGAGCUCUGAUACCAAUUGUUGAAAUGGUAGGAUUGUAGUACAAAUAUCAACAAUUCCAUCUUGAGAUUUUACAAAUUUUAAUUCUACUUUAUAUAUAUAUAAUGCACUCUCUAAUAAAAUGAUAUCUUGUAUCAAUGUGCUUGCAAUGAUAAUGAAAAACUGAAUUUUUUUUAAUGUAAUUGAUAUUGGUUUGCCCAUGUAUUAACCUUCCUAGGUGAGUUUCUUGGAUGUGUCUCUCUUAGAGUCAAUCUCUUUGCUAACUAGACUCUCCAACCUAUUGGUUUUGAUUAAUAGGUUGUCAUUAUUGACUAGUCUAAGAUUCUCUAUAUGUUAUUUGAAUGAUUUUAUCAUGAGGUGGACUCAUUCCAUAUCCUGUCUUCUCUUGUAAUAGUUUCUACAUCGUAAAUUAACAGACAAGUUCAAUUGUUUGGUUCAUAUGCAAUCAUUGGAAUUUGUAAUGCUUCCAAGGUGGAUGGUAGGAAAGAUUCAGGUUGAGCUCUCUACAUACUAGAAUGGUUAGAAAUCACCAUUAUGGUUUUAAAAGCAGUUAUACUUUUUUUAUUGGAAUGCACAUCUAGGGACCUUUUGGUUAAAGGCAGGGAUGAAAAUGUCGAGAUAUAUCGACAAAAGAUCACCGAUAUAUCGGUGUAUUGAUGGUUACCGAUACGAUACAUGCAAGAAAAAUAUCGACCAUUUAAUUCUCUCCCCAAAUCUCUUAAAAUGACCCAAAAUUCCUAUACGAGAAGGUAGAGUGGCCCAGCCCAAACCACUCCAGCCUAGCCCACGCCCCCAGCUAGCAUAGCUCGGCAACCUAACGUGCGUUGCACGCCUACCCACCACUCACCACUCCAAUACUUAAAUAAAGUUUUUUGGUGUAAUCAAUUGUCAAUGUGGGAUUGCAAUUGCACCCCUGACCACCCGCUCAUAUUUCCUCACCAACACCAGCCAACCAACCAUGCUUUAUUUGACAAAAUGUUCACAUUUUAUGUAUAUAUGUAGAUAUGUAUAUUAUUAGCAUUAAAUAUAUUAACCAUAUAUAUAAACAAAUAUUAUAAAUUAUAUACAUAUAUUAUAAAUUAAACAUAAUAAAUUUAUUAUAAAUAAAUUAUUUUUUGUGAUUGUGACUUUUAUAUAAUAAUUAUAUAUAAAAUAAAUAUUAAUUUUUGAAUAAAAUUAUCAAAAUUUUAAAAUAAAAAAUACUUAUACAAAUUAUCAUUAUUUCUUUUUAUGUCAUUAAAUACAUCCAAAUUAAAUGAUAAUGCAUAAAGUAUGUUUUCAAAUUAUAAACAUUAUUGUUAAAUAUCACAAAUAUGCAUAUAUCAUCAUUUAUUUUAUAUUAUUUAAUAUAAUUGAAUUAAAUAUAUCAUAAUUUUAAUAUUAAAUAUAUUUUAAAUUAGACAUAUUAUAAUUAAAUAUCAUAAUAUUAUUAUGAAAUAGUAUUUAAUGUAAUUUAAUAAUAAAUAUACACUUAUAAAAUUCAUAUUUUUUUAUUGAUGUAUAUGAUAUUAUCAUUAAAUAUGAUAAAUCAUAAUAUACAUAAAUCAAAUUUUUCAACAAAACAAUUUUAAAAUGUCUAUUAUACUUCUAAUUACAUUUCUACAAGGGUUUUAUAAUAUUUUCAUGAUUUUUCAUCAAUUUUAAGCCCAUUGAUAUUUUUUUUUCAAAAUAUCCACCGAUAUAUCUCCAAUAGAUCCGAUAUAUCCAUAAAAUCGAAAUAUUGAUAUAUCCGUAGUUACCGAUAUUUUCAUCAUUGAUCAAUGGUUUUACCAUAGGGAUGAUCCAUGCUCAUAUAUAAAAGUUGUUGUAGUGCAAAGUUGACCCAUACUUGAAGGUAAAAUUUGACUUAAUAUGUAUAAAUGUAACCUAUACCCAAAGAUGCAGGGGUAGCCUUAGCACAAAGAUGAUUCGUUUCCAAAAGAGUGAGGAGCCAGUUUUGCACCAAGAUAACUUUCACAUACAACCAUAUCAGGUAGUUUAACAAAGGGAUGUCUUGAAUUAUAAGGAUUAAUGCUAGUUUUCUUUAGGGUUCUUAGUAGAGAUACCUUCAGAUUUUUUUUUAGUUGUUCACCUUGACCAUUUAUUCCUUACUAGACUAUCAGUAAGACCUUUUUCCUUGAGACUAACUUAGCUUGAGGUUUUCAAUUGGAAGGUUUUCUUAACUUGUGAAAUGUAGGUUUUACCAUUUUCCUUUUCAAAUAAGAAUAAAUGAGCUAGAGAUCAUAAAAUAGGUGUAUUAGAGAAGACUUAUUUGAACUUCAACUGAUCACUUACUUGGGUGAUAAGAUGUCCUUCCAUUUAGCUGAUAUGUAUGUGAGUUAACAUUGAGAUCAUUCUUGUGUUUUCUAAUACUUUUCACAGAGGUUGAGUAAGUUAGAUGACUGAUUACUACUUAAAAACAACACAUUUUAAAUAAUAAUUCUCAUGAAUUCCAUACCUUUUGAGUAGUAAUUAUGCAUAAUAUGCCCAAGUAAUACAUUGUUGCCCUUGCAAGAGAUACUAAUGGUUUUUAUGAAGUUUUGGAGAUAUUUCAAGGUGAAUUUUGAAGCAUUGAGUGACAAAAGAGAAAUGGAAUUGAGGAGGGCAAAUAAUAUGGAUGAUGAGGAAGACUCAAUGCACUUGGACCAAUAUUUAGAGUUGAUUUGGAGGUGGAUUCAAAAUAAAGAAAUGAAAAAAAAGAGUUUAAAAAUUAAAUAUUUCCAUUUCACAUGAUCAUGCAAAAAUUUCACAUGACUAUGCAAAAUGGACCAGAAGGUGGAUUUGGGUUGCAAGCCAAGGGGAAUUUCAAAGCUGAUUUCGCAUGAUCAUGCAAAAAUUUCACAUAGUCAUGCGAAAUGCUUCAAGAAGAUGUAAAUUGCUUUUGUUGCAUUUUUUAUUUCGCAUAAUCAUGCGAAAUUGCUUGAUCUCAUGCGAAAUGACCAUUUUAUUAUUACACUCCAGGUUUCUUGAUGAAGAAGCUUUCAGAAGACCUCUUAGAUGAUGCCAAGUGUCCACUUGACCUUGACCUAUAAAUAAAAACUUGAUUUUCUCAUAAAAGAAGAACUUUUUGGACAUUUCUAAUUGUAGAAUUUUCCAUAUUUUCUUUCUCAAUAGAAUUCUCUAUUUUCCUUCAUUUUCUCGCUAGUCAAACAUGCCUUGUGAAACCAAAUCUCCUAGCAUGAGUGGUUAAAUCUCAUUUUUCUCAGAUGAAUGAGGAUUUAGAGGCAAGAUCUAUGGUGAAUUAGAGAAAUGAGCUUGAAUUACACAGGUAAUUUGAUCCAAUUGAUUGAUUAAUUGAAUUUUGGGGAUUUUUCUCUUCAAAUUGUCUUGAAUGAUUACUACAAUGCAAACUAGAUAGAUUCAUUAAAUUCUUAAAGCUAGAUUUGAUGAGAUUGAAUAGUUGCAUUGUGUGAAUCAUUGGAAUAUAAUUUAAGAUGAAUUGAAUAUAUGAUUUGAAUUGAUCACUUAGAUUAAAUAACUUAAUUUGAAGAGAAAUUAGAUCUAGACUUAAAACUACAUUCAAAAUCGGUUUAGAUGAGAAUUUAGGUUUUCAAUCUAACUUGAUGAAAAUUAGAUCUCAACAUCUAUUCACCCUGGAAAUUGUUUUCUAGAAAAUCCUAACUUUGAGAGUUUCAUUUCCUAUUAAUUUUCUUCCAUUUUACAUUUCAUUUCUCCUCUCAAUUUGAGACCAUUGUUAAAUUGAUUUUUCACCAUAAAUUUUCAAAUUAAUUUCACUUGAUCAAAAUCAUUUAUUCUCAUCUCAUUCAAGCCUUAAUUAUGAAGAAUAAUUCAUUAUAGUGGACGACACCUAAAAACCACUAUAUUAUAGUAGUUUGUACUAAAACCAAUUUUUAUCGGGUACAAACUACUCUAGAAUAGUGAAUUAGGUUAUAAAUUUUGUUUUGAUCCAAUAAACGAUGAAAAAGCAAGUGAUCAGUGACCUUUUAAGGUGCAUCUUAUUUAUGAACACCUAAGGUGCUUGGAAGCAUGUUUGUCCACCAUAUGUUGUUAGCGACUUUUAUAGCCUCUUAAUUUCGUAUGAUUGCCUUUGAGUGAGCGUAAAACCAUAAGCAAGUUUAACGUGAUAAAAAAACUCUUAUACUCUUGAAUAGGUUGACUAAAAUGCAACAUGUCUUAAGUGAUCAUUUUGAUAGAGGUUUAGUCGUCAACUAUGAUUAGGAAGGAUGUCCUAGUGGUAAGUGUAGGUUGAGUUGAUUUUCUCAUCUUUGAGAAUGAGGUACCUAUGGUUACUUGAGAUAAAAAUUGUUUGGUUACCCUAGAUGGAGAUUGUCUUGUUUUUUGUACCAUGGGCUUGUAACUAGGUCACUAACCAUUUUCCAAUGUGUAGUCGUUUUUUAAUCGACAGGCUCCAAUUUUUAAACUUGCUUCUCUUACUUUACAAAUAUUAUUAGGUAUGUUUGGGAACAAUGAGGUCUAAGUCAUAGCAUGUAGGGCUUAGGUCAUGGAUCCCAAGGCUAUAGGUUUUAGGUAGACAUAUCUUCUCAUAACUAUUAUCGUAUUAAAGAAUUACUCUCUUGGCGUGAAACAAAGAAGAGUACUAUUCCGAUCCAUAUUUGCUUCUCUUCAAUCCCAUAUUUCUUAAACUUCAAAGCUAAUAUUCUUUUGAAUAUCACACAAGAUAAAAAUGAUUGAAGAAAAGAUUACAAAAAGAAAGGAAAUAAAAGAAAACUCCCUUGGAAUGAUUUAACUUCAUUUUUUAUCCUUCACGAUGAAUUGUUGUUCUAACUAAGUAGCGAAGGCUUAGACUUUCCCAUAGAUGGCACCAAUGAAGAUGCUCAAAAUCUUCAUGAAACAAUUUUUAUUCAUCAAAUUGGCAAACACAAAGAAGGAUUUUUGUCAUUUGGUAGAUGCAGAGAGUGAUUUUUUGUGGAGGAAGAAGUCCUCCAUUUGCCAUACAUUUUGGGGUUUAUAUAGUUAGGGUAUUCUAUCAUGAGUCAAACUUUUUCAUGGGUUGGCACAUGGGUUGACUACCUUUUUCACUAGAAGCCAAGAGUUGAUAAUAUCUUUUUUUUAAGGGUCGGGUCUAUUAGUUUAUCAGAGGUCAUUGCCAAGGUACCUAUUUUUGGGUGAGCUGAUUUUAGGUAGCUUCACUCCCUAUUAUUUAUGGUGUUAUGUAUAUUUGUAUGGUGGGUAGAUAGUCAAACUAGAUCUAGUUGAUGUCAAGAGUAAAGACAAUAUUUAACUCAUUAGAAUAAAUUAAAGAAACAAAUAUUAUGAGAUGAAUGUAAAAUACAAAACUAUUUUAACUUGUGUUACUCAUUGAUUUACUCUUUUAAUCACUCAAAAAAUUAUAUUUUUGUGCUCUUGGGUUGCAUACCUUUGGAUGUUAUUUUAAGGGUAUAUGGGGCUCUUCAUCAUGGGUAUGGAUGGAUAUGGCUAUUCAAUUGAGGUUAUAUAGUUUUAGGGACCUAUGGUCUUAUCCCAUUUUAUUUUUUUUUGUCUAAAAGGCAUUUUAUAUCUUUCGAUUUCAAAAAAGAGAAAUAUUGUAGUAAAGCAGUUAGUGGGGUGGGAAUGGGUGUGGGUGUGGGAAUGGGUCGGCUAGGAUGCAAGAUAAUGGUAGUAAUUAGAAUAUUAGAGGGCUGAAUUUCUAUUUAUAGUCAUUGGUUAAUGCCAAAAUUAUGAAGUUCCUUUCUCUUCUCCAAAAUUAGUUAUCAUAUAUAGUUAAUAUUUAAUUAUUUUAUAUAAAGGGUGUGUAACGCAUCUUCAAAGGCCAAAUGGGUUAAAAUUUUAAGAGGGAAAUGGAAAUAAAGAAAUAGGAGGUUUCCAUGGUGGUAUAAGUAAUAAGGUAUGGAACAAGGAACCAUUAAUUUGGGCAACAAGCAUGGCUAAAGAAUAUAGGCAAAGUCUAGACGAGUUUGAGAUGAGGACAAAAUCGCCUAUUGUGCUUUUAUAAUGGUUGAAUUUGGUUUGUUCAUGUUAUGCUAGCGAAAGCUUUGAUGCCAACAAUGUUAGUUCAAGAAUACAAAGAUAAAACAAUCACACAUACGGUACACGAGGUUUUAACGUGGUUCGGCCAACCAUGCCUACGUCCAUGGAUGUGAGAGAAUGAUUCUAUUAUACAAUAGAGAAUAUUACAGAGGACAGAACCAUAUAUAAUUAUUGGGUUCCCGAAACAUCUCAUGUUUCCUCACUCUUUGUAUCCAUACCUUACUACGAGCCCUCUCGCUCCACCGAGUACCUCCCGCUCUUCCUCACAUCUCUAUCCACCUCGUAUAGUCUCUAUAGACCAAUCUCCAUCUCAUAACUUUUUUCCCUCAUGACUUAGAAUAUUUAUAAAGAUAUUUCCAACAACCUUCCUUAUUCUAUAAGAAAAUAUAAUAUUACAAUAAUAUAUCAACCUAGAAAUAUUCUAUAUAAUAUUCUUUACAAAAAAGGAAUCUAUAUUAAUUAGGAAUUUGGGACACUUCCUAACAGUUCAAUGUACUUUUCAAAUGCUUUGAAGAUUCAGUUAGAGUUCUUUUACGAUUUGUGCAUGAAUUGUACUUAUCUGCAUCAUUAAUUUUCUUUCUUAUGCGAGAACAUCUAAUGGUUCAAUUUAUACGAGCAACAUCUAAUGAAUUAAUGGAUGUGGAUGAUACAACUUUAUGGAGUUCUACUAUGGAAAAAUUUUCAUACAUAGCAUGGUAGAGGAAAUAAAUGAGGGAAAUAUGAGAGGUGGAAUAUUUAUAUAUAAAAAAAAGGACUAAAAUCCAUGAAGAUGUGACAAAAAAAAAAAAAAAAAACAAUUGAAACUACUCCAUGGGACAAGUUAAGCAGAAAUUUAAUAGAUUUGACAUUUAACAUUGUAAGUUUAGUGAGUUAUUAAAAUAAACAAGAUUUAGUUGGGAUGUUGAAAGAAACACAAUGAAUGUUACAAAGGAAAUGUGAUAAAAUUAUUUAUAGGUAAAUAUUAACACUUAUAUAUAUAUACAUCAUAAUUUCAAAAGAGAUUAUGUGAACAUUACAAGUUUUUAAGACUUAUGUUUAAUAAGUCUACUGGCACUGGAGUGUUUUACCAUGCAUCCACUCAAGACGCACCACACACUGAUGAUGAAAUAAAAUUGGAGAAUCAACUUAUUCACUCAAACACUCCUGUAGAUUUUGAUGCCAAUAGUACUAGCUAUAGUAAUCCUAUCCAUAUAUUUGAUGGAUCAACAAGUCACCAUUGGAAACAAACAAUAAGAAGUGUAGAGCAUAUAUAGAAAGAAAAAAAAAAUCAUAAUAGGUAGGUGAUUACUUUAAGCAUGAGCUGAGGUGGCAAACGUAAAAAUUGAAGCCCUUUCAGCCAACCAAAAACUUAUAAAAAAUUGUUCAAUUAUAGGCAUUCAUUGGUUAAAAACAUGAUUAAUCAUAAUUUUUUUUUGUUGAAAGUAGUUUAUAAAUGUUUGAAAGUGGUUUUUUAUUAAGACAAAAUAAAGAUAUUUUGCAAAGUGUUGAGAUCCACUUCUAAAAAUUUAAAAGGCCCUUUGAAGUCUGUUUAGAACAAUCACUUAUUAAAUAGGGAAUUUCAAAUUCAAUUUUUAAAAAUUGUAUUCUCAAAGUAUUUUAUUUUAUUUUAUUUAUGUCAAACAUUAGUUAAAAAAUGUUGUACUUUCUAAUCAUCUCAAAGUCAUUUUCAAAUGGAUUUUAAAAACUUUCACAUUCAUAUUAUAUGUACAUCUUUGUGUGUUAUAGUUUUCUACCCAAGUUUUAUUCGUUUAUAAUAAUUUUAUUUAUUUAUAUCUUGAUUUUACUUUUAACAAAGGCUUAGAAUUCACACACAUUCAAAGGCAUACCGGUUUCAUAUUUGAAUGGAUUGAUACAAAAUUUGAGUCAGAGAGAAAGUGAAAGUACAAGGAAUUUAGUCAAAUCCAAUGGCUUUGGAUGAAAUCCCCAUUUUGUUCCGAUCUCUUCUUGCCACCCAUCAAGUACUCACCUAUUAAUAUAAUAUUGUGGGAGGAAGGCAUGCUUGUUUGAUUUAUACCUAGUCAAACAAUUUUUCAUUAAAAAUUGAAAAAAAAAAUUAUAUGAUUUAAUAAAUAAAACUCAUAUGUAUAUCAUAUGAAAAAGUUUCACCUAUAUUUUAUGAAUGGUAGUAAAACUCAUAUCUAUAUGACUCAUAUUUUCUUUUCAUAUAUCAUCCACAUAUUAAUUUUUGAAAUUAGGUUUUUGCCUAUUUUUAAUUUAUUUUUAAAAUUUGAUGAAAAUAAUUUUUACUUAUUCUUUAAAAAUUAGUCUUUAUUUUUCUUUGUUUUUAAAAAUUAGAAAUAAAAAACAUCAACCAAAUAAAAUACUAAAAUUUUGAAAAAAAAUUUCUAUUUGUAUAAAGACUGAAAACCGAUUUUUAACUUCUUUUAGGCAGUGCACAUGGUCAAGGAAUUGAAAUUACAUUAAGCAGGCUAACAACUCCCACACCCCACCAACCCUUUGACCGCACACCACAUUUGUCUUGGGUUUUGACCAGUAAGAAACACCCGGGCUCCAUCCCUAUAUCCACACGUGGAUUCCACGUCACGUUGCAGCAUCUGAGCCUUUUGCGUAGACAGAUUAAGGGUCUGGAUUGGUUUUCAACAAGCCACAUGAAGCCAGUUCGCCAUCCAGCCCACCUACCAGUGACCCUGUGGGAUUUCAAAGACUGCAGGGCUGAAAAGUUCUAUAUAAGUAGAAGCUUCAUUCACCAUACACCUUAGUAAGUUCAGAGCACUACUGUCUAGUUCCUCUCUCUCUCUCUCUCUCUUUCCUUCUUGGUUGUCGAGAAAAACCAACUUUUUGAAGUUGUUUCUUUGUGGGGAUUCUAAGAUAUGGAUGCAACGAACUGCCAUGGAAGCAACAAGGUGAAGAGCUUCUGCGUGAGUGAUCCGCUGAACUGGGGAAUGGCUGCGGAGACGUUGAAGGGAAGUCAUUUGGAUGAAGUGAAGCGCAUGGUGGCGGAGUACCGGAAGCCGGUUGUUCGGCUCGGUGGUGAGACGCUUACCAUAUCGCAGGUGGCGGCUAUCGCCGGGCGGGAGGGGGAUGUGAGUGUGGAGUUGUCGGAGACGGCAAGAGCAGGCGUGAACGCGAGCAGUGAGUGGGUGAUGGAGAGCAUGAGCAAAGGCACCGACAGCUAUGGUGUCACCACUGGGUUUGGUGCCACUUCACAUAGGAGAACCAAACAAGGUGGUGCCCUUCAGAAGGAGCUCAUCAGGUAAAAUUACUUUACAGUGGUUUUAGAAAAUACUUCAUAAAAUCACUUUUGGAAAAAUAUUAGUAGUUUGAAUCACUUUUGAAAAGUGAAAAAAUUACUUUUAAUAUUUCGCAAAGGAAUACUUGAUAGCCGAUGUUAAAAAAAAAAACUUAAAAGUGCUUUUAAAAGUCGGUGUUAGGAUACGUGAGUUAAUGGCCACCAGUCAACUUUGACGUGUUAACUUAUUCAUAUCUCUUAAUGAAUCCAGUCCUUUUUGGUUACUUUCUAUUAUCUAAAACAGUUGUUUUGAUUUGAAAACUUGAAUUGGUUGGUGAUGUGCUGGGUUGUUGAUGAUUGAUACAGGUUCUUGAAUGCUGGGAUAUUUGGGAACGGAAGAGAGUCAUGCCACACACUGCCUCACUCAGCAACAAGAGCCGCCAUGCUCGUGAGGAUCAACACCCUCCUCCAAGGCUACUCCGGCAUCAGAUUUGAGAUUCUGGAAGCAAUCACCAAGCUCCUCAAUCACAACAUCACUCCAUGCUUGCCUCUGCGUGGCACCGUCACUGCCUCCGGAGACCUGGUUCCUCUCUCCUACAUCGCUGGUCUUCUCACCGGCAGGCCUAAUUCCAAAGCUGUUGGACCUUCCGGUGAAGUUGUCAAUGCCGAAGAGGCCUUUAAAAUGGCUGGGAUCGAGUCGGGAUUUUUUGAGUUGCAGCCUAAGGAAGGCCUGGCUCUUGUUAAUGGCACUGCAGUUGGCUCUGGCUUGGCCUCUAUGGUGCUUUUUGAGACCAAUGUGCUGGCAGUUUUGUCAGAAGUUUUAUCGGCUGUUUUUGCUGAAGUGAUGCAGGGGAAGCCCGAAUUCACUGACCACUUGACUCACAAAUUGAAGCACCACCCUGGCCAAAUCGAGGCUGCAGCCAUUAUGGAGCACAUUCUAGAUGGAAGCUCUUAUGUGAAAGAAGCUAAGAAGCUACAUGAGAUGGAUCCUCUGCAGAAGCCGAAGCAAGAUCGAUAUGCUCUCAGGACUUCACCUCAAUGGCUUGGCCCACAGAUUGAAGUCAUCCGAGCAUCAACUAAAUCCAUCGAACGGGAGAUCAACUCUGUGAAUGAUAACCCCUUGAUCGAUGUUUCCAGGAACAAGGCUGUACAUGGUGGCAACUUCCAGGGGACCCCAAUUGGAGUCUCCAUGGACAACACCCGCUUGGCCAUUGCAGCCAUUGGGAAGCUUAUGUUUGCCCAGUUCUCAGAGCUUGUCAAUGACUUCUACAACAAUGGACUGCCAUCAAAUCUCUCUGGAAGCCGAAACCCAAGUCUGGACUAUGGUUUCAAGGGAGCAGAAAUUGCCAUGGCUUCCUACUGUUCAGAGCUCCAGUUCUUGGCCAAUCCUGUCACCAACCAUGUCGAAAGUGCUGAGCAACACAACCAAGAUGUGAACUCCUUGGGCUUAAUCUCCUCCCGGAAAACAGCUGAAGCGGUGGAUAUCUUGAAGCUCAUGUCUACCACAUACCUAGUGGCACUCUGCCAGGCCAUUGAUUUGAGGCAUUUGGAGGAGAAUUUGAAGAGCACGGUGAAGAAGACUGUAAGCCACGUAGCUAAGAAAACUUUAACCACUGGAGCCAAUGGAGAACUCCACCCAUCGAGAUUCUGCGAGAAGGACUUGCUAAAAGUGGUGGAUAGGGAACAUGUAUUUGCCUACAUCGAUGACCCCUGCAGCGCCACAUAUCCACUGAUGCAGAAGGUAAGGCAAGUUCUGGUGGAACAUGCGCUGAACAAUGGCGAAAAUGAGAAGAAUGGCAGCACCUCAAUCUUCCAAAAAAUAGGGGCAUUCGAGGAGGAGUUGAAGGCCGUUUUGCCCAAAGAGGUUGAGAGCGCAAGAGAUGGGGUGGAGAGUGGAAACCCAUCAAUUCCGAACCGAAUCAAGGAGUGCAGGUCAUACCCGUUGUACAAGUUUGUGAGGGAGGAGCUGGGAACAGGGCUGCUGACUGGUGAAACGGUGAGGUCACCAGGGGAGGAUUUUGACAAGGUGUUUACUGCAAUGUGUGAGGGGAAGAUCAUCGACCCUCUUCUGGAUUGUCUCAGUGCUUGGAACGGUGCUCCUCUCCCAAUCUGCUAGGGGAUUUCACCCUUGCACAUACUCUUUUACUUUUCACUUCCAACUUUCUUUCAUCUCUGUUUGUAAAACUUGAGAUUGUCUGCCCGCUUUCAAUUUUGUGAUACAAAAUUUUUUUGUAUUAAUUCUUGGCUAUGCAAAAUAUUUGAUACCAAUUUAUUGGAGUAAUAGGAUUGUGGUAAAAAUAAAUACAAUUUGAGCUCUGAUACCAAUUGUUGAAAUGAUAGGAUUGUAGUACAAAUAUCAACAAUUCGAUUUUGAGAUUUUACAAAUUUUAAUUGUACUUCUUUAUAUAUAUAUAUAUAUAUAUAUAUAAUGUGCUCUCUAAUAAAAUGAUAUCUUGUAUUAAUGUGCUUGCAAUGAUAAGGAAAAACUGAAUUUUUUUUAAUGUAAUUGAUAAUGGUUUGUCCAUGCAUUAACCUUCCUAGGUGAGGUUCUUGGAUGUGUCUCUCUUAGAGUCAAUCUCUUUGCUAGCUAGACUCUCCAACCUAUUGGUUUUGAUUAAUAGGUUGUCAUUAUCGACUAGGCUAAUAUUCUCUAUAUGUUAUUUGAAUGAUUUUAUCAUGAGGUGGACUCAUUCCAUAUCCUGUCUUCUCUUGCAAUAGUUUCUACAUCGUAAAUCAACAGACAAGUUCAAUUGUUUGGUUCACAUGCAAUAAUUGGAAUUUGUAAUGUUUCCAAGGUGGAUGAUAGGAAAGAUUCAAGUUGAGCUCUCUACAUCCUAGAAUGGUUAGAAAUCACCAUUAUGGUUUUAAAAACAAUUCUACUUUUUUAUUGGAACGCACAUCUUAGGACCUUUUGGUUAAAGGCAGGGAUGAAAAUGUCGAGAUAUAUCGACAAAAGAUCACCGAUAUAUCAGUGUAUCGAUGGUUACCGACACGAUACAUGCACAUACUCUUUUACUUUUCAAUUCCAACUUUCUUUCAUCUUUGUUUGUAAAACUUGAGAUUGUCUACACGCUUUCAAUUUUGUUAUACAAAUUUUUUUUGUAUUAAUUCUUGGCUAUGCGAAAUAUUUGAUGCCAAUUUGUUGGAGUUAUAGGAUUGUGGUAAAUAUAACAACAAUUUGAGCUCUGAUACCAAUUGUUGAAAUGAUAGGAUUGUAGUACAAAUAUCAACAAUUCGGUCUUGAUAUUUUACAAAUUUUAAUUGUACUUCUUUCCUUAUAACACACUCUCUAAUAGAAUGAUAUCUUGUAUCAAUGUGCUUGCUUCAAUCAUGAAAAACUAAAUUUUUUUAUAAUGUAAUUGAUAAUGGUCUGCCCUUGCAUUAACCUUCACAAGUGAGGUUCUUGGAUGUGUCUCUAUUCAGCUAAUAUCUUUGCUAUGUUGUCCAACUUGUUGAUUUUGAUUAGAGUUUGUCACAAUCGGCUAGCCUAGGAUUCUCAACAUAUUAUUUAAAUGAUCUUAUCAUGAGGUAGACUCAUUUCAUAGCUUGUCUUGUCUUAUAAUAGUUCCUACAUCAUAAGUCAACAUGCAAGUUAUUGUUUAGUUUGCAUGCAAUCAGUGGAAUUUGAUAUGAUUCCAAGGUGGAUAGCAGAAAAGAUUUAGGUUGAGCUCUAUACAUACUAGAAUGGUUAGAAAUGACCAUUAUGGUUUUGACAACGGUUCAAAUUUUUUAUGAAAUGCAUAUGUAAGGACCUUUUGGUUAAAGGUUUUACCAUAGGGAUGAUCCAUUCUCAUAGAUAAAAGUUGAUCUGGUGCAAAGUUGACCCAUACCCAAAGGUAGAGUUUGACUUAAUACAUACAAGUAUGACCUAUACCCGAAGAUGUAGAAGUCAACUUAGCACAAAGAUGAUUCGUUUACAAAAUAGUGAGGAGUCAGUUUUGCACGAAGAUAACUUUCACAUACAACCAUAAAGGGUAGUUUAACAAAGGGAUCGAUGUCUUGAAUUAGAAUCAUUAAUGCUAGUUUUCUUUAGGGUUCUUAACAGAGAUACCUUUAGAUUUUAUUUAUUUCUUUGGUUGUUCACCUUGACCAUUUAUUCCUAACUAGAUUAUCGGUAAGGUCUUUUGUCUUGAGACUAACUUGGCCUUAGGUUGUCAAUUGUAAGGUUUUCUUAACUCAUGAGUUGUAUUUUUUCACCAUUUUUCUUUUCAAAAUAAAAUAUGAGCUAGAUAUUAUAAAAUAGAUGUGUUAGAGAAGAUUUAUUUGAACUUCAACUGAUCACUUGCUUUAGUGAUAAGAUUUGCUUCCAUUUAGCUAAUGUGUAUGGGAGUUAAUAUCAAGAUCAUUCUUGUGCUUUUUGAUGACUUAGGUGAUCUCUUACGGUGCAUCUUAUUUAUGAACACCCAAGGUGCUAUGAAGCAUGUUUGUCCACCAUAUGUUGUUGGCGACUUUUAUAGCCUCUUAAUUUCAUACGAGUGCCUUUGACUAAGUGUAAAAGCAUAAGCAAGUUUCACCUGAUAAAAAGAGUCUUAAACUCCCAAACAAGUUGAGUGAGAUGCAACAUGUCUUAAGUGGUCUUUUUGAUAGAGAUUUAAUUAUCAACUGUAAGGAUGGGGGUCCUAACUGGUAGGUGUGGGUUGGAUUGCUUUUCUGGUCUUUGAGAAUGAGGUACCUUUGGUUACUUGAGAUGAAGAUUGUCUAGUUUUUUGUACCAUGGGCUUGUAACUAUGUCACUAACCAUUUUCCAAUAUGUAGUAGUUGUUGAAUUGGUAGGCUCCAAUUUUCAAACUUGCUUAUCUUGCUAUACAAAUAUUAUUAGGUAUGUCCAUGUACAAGGGGGCUAAGUCAUAACACUUGGGGCUUAGGUCAUGGACCCUAAGGCUAUAGGUUUUAGCUAUACAUAUCUUCUCAGAAUUCUUAUCAUAUUCAAGAAUUACUCUCUUAGCGUGAAACAAAGAAGGGUACUAUUGUGAUCCAUACUUGCUUUUCUUCAAUCCCAUAUUUUUGAAACUUCAAAGCUAACAUUCUUUUGAAUAUCACACAAUAUAAAAAUGAUUGAAGAAAGAUUACAAAAGGAAAAUAAAUAAAGAAAACUCCAUUGGAAUGAUUCAACUUCAUUUUCGACCUUCCAUGACAACUUUUUGUUCUAACUAAGGAAUGCUUAGACUUUCACACAAAUAGUGCCACUGAAGAUGCUCAAAAUCUUUGUGAAUGAAUUUUUAUUCAUCAGUUUGGUAAACACAGAGAAGGAUUUUUUUCAUUUAGUAGAUGUAGAGAGUGAUUUUUUUAUGAAGGAGGAGGACCUCCUUUUGCCAUGCAUUUUAGGAUUUAUAUAGUUAAGGCAUUCUGUCAUGAGUAAAACUUUUUCACGAGUUGGCACAUGGGUUAAUAACCUUUUUCACUAGAAGCCAAGAGUUGAUAAUAUCUUCUUUUAAAGGUCAGGUUUGUUAGUUUAUUAGACCUUGAGUUAGGUCAUUGCCAAGGUACCUAUUAUUAGGUAAGUUGACUUUAGGUAGCUUCACUCCCCAUUAUUUUUGGUGUUAUGUAUGUGUACGGUGGGUAGAUAGUCAAACUGGAUCUAGUUGAUAUCAAGACUAAAGACAAUAUUUAACCCAUUAGAAUAAAUUAAAGAGACAAAUAUUAUGAGAUGAAAGUAAAGUACAAAACUAUUUUUAACUUGUAUUACUAAUUGGUUUACUCUUUUAAUCCCUUCAAAAAUUAUGUUUUUAUGCUCUUGAGUUCCAUACCUUUGGAUGUUAUUUUAAGGGUUCAUGAUUCUCCAUCAUGGGUAUGGAUGAAUAUGGCUAUUCAAUUGAGGUUGUAUAGUUUCAAGGACCUAUGGUUCUUUUCCCAAAUUUUUGUCUAAAAGGCAUUUUAUAGCUUUAGAAUUCAAAAAAGAGAAAUAUUGUAGUUAAGUAGUUAGUGCGGUAGAAGUGGGUGUGGGGAUGGGUCCAACUAGGAUGCAAGACAAUGGUAGUAAUUAGAAUAUUGGAGGGUUGAAUUUCUAUCUAUAGUCAUUGGUCAAUGCCAAAAUCAUGAACUUCCUUUCUCUUCUCGAAAAUUAGUUACCAUAUAUAGUUGAUGUUUAAUUAUUUUGUAUAAAGGGAGUGCCAUUUCUUCAAAGGCCAAAUGGAUUAAAAUUUUAAAAGGGAAAUGGAAAUAAAGAAAUAAGAGUUUUCAAUGGUGGUAUAAGUAAGACGGUAUAGAACAAGGAAUCAUUAAUUUGAGCAGCAAGCAUGGCUAAAGAAUUUAGGCAUAGUCCAUAUAAGUAUGGGAUAAGGACAAAGUCUCCUAUUGUGCUUUUAUAACGGUUGAAUUUGGUUUGUUCAAUUUACUUUUCAAAUGCUUUAAAGAUGCAAUUAGAAUUCUUGUAUAGUUUGUGCAUGAAUUGUACUUAUAUGUAUCAUUGGAUUUCUUUGUUAAGUGACAACAUCUAAUGGCUCAAUUUAUACAAGCAACAUCUAAUGAAUUAAUGGAUAUGGAUUUUACAAUUUUAUGGAGUUCUACCAUAGAAAAAUUCUCAUUGAUAUAUAUCAUGGUAGAGGAAAUAAAUGAAGGAAACAUGAGAGGUGAAAUAUUUAUACAAAAAAAUAUAGAUUAAAAUUCAUGAAGAUAUGAAAAGAAAAAACAAUCGAAACUAACCUAUAAAACAAGUUAAAUAGAAAUUUAAUAGGUUUGGCAUUAAACAUUGUAAGUUUAGUAAGCUAUUAAAACAAACAAGAUUUAAUUGGGGUGUUGAAAGAAACACUAUGAAUGUUACAAAGGAAGUGUGAUAAAACUAUUUACAAGUAUAUAUAUAUAUAUAUAUAUAUAUAUAUAUAUAUAUAUAUAUAUAUUUAGAUAUAUCCAAAGACAUCCCAAUUUCAAAAGAGAGGAUACGAGCAUAACAAGUUUUUAGGACUUACCUUUAAUAAAACUACUAAUAUUGGAGUGCUUCACCAUGCAUCCACUUAAAAACCACCUGAAACUAAUGAUGAGAUAGAAUUGGAGAGUCAACUUAUUCACUUAAACACUCAUAUGAAUUUUGAUGCCAAUAGCACUAGCUAUAGUAAUCCUACUCAUAUCUUUGAUGGAUCAACAAGUCACCAUUGAUAACAAACUGCUACAAGUGUAAAGAAUAGAAAAACAAAAAAGAGAAUAAAUCAAAAUACGUUGGUUAUGCCCUUCAAGCAUGAGUUGAGGCAACAAAGGCAAAAAUAGAUGCCUCUUUAAACAACCAAAAACUCAUAAAAAAAUAUUCAAUUAUAGACAUUCCUUAGUUAGAAACAUAAUUAAGCUUUAUUUUUAUGUGUUGAAAGUACUUUGUAAAUGUUUUAAAGUUUUUUUUUUAUUAAAACAAAAUAAAGAUAUUUGGCAAAGUUUUGAGAUUCACUUCUAAAAAUUUAGAAAGCCUUUUGAUGUCAGUUUAGAACAAUCACUUAUUAAAUAGGGAAUUUGAAAUUCAGUUUUUAAAAAUUAUAUUCUCAAAGUGUUUUCUUUUAUUUACAUCAAAACAUUAAUUAAAAAAAGGUUGUAAUUUCUAAUCAUCUCAAAAUCAUUUUCAAAUGGAUUUUAAAAACUUUCAUAUUCAUAUUAUAUGUACAUCUUUAUGUGCUAUAAGUUUCUAUCCAAGUUUUAUUCGUUUAUAAUAAUUUUAUUUAUUUAUAUCUUGAUUUUACUCUUAUCAAAGGCCUAGAAUUCACACACAUUCAACUUGGUAUUUUCCAAACACGUUUCUGUUUGCAGAAUAUAUUUUCAUAUUUGAAAGGAUCGAUACAAAAGUUGAGUUGGAAAGAAGGUGAAAGUACAAGGAAUUUAGUCAAAUCCAAUGGCUUUUGACGACUAAAUGAAAUCCCCAUUUUGUCUCAAAUUGAACAAGAGAUGGAUUAAGACUAGUUCCCAUCUCUUCUUCCCAAAAUAUUUUUGCAACAGGUCUUGCCACCCACCAAGUACUCACCUAUUAAUAUGAUGUUGUUCUUUCGUCCAAAUUCAAUCAAUCAAAAUUGUGGGAGGAAGGCAUGCUUGAUUGAUCGGUUACAAAAACCAAUCUUGCAUUUAUACUUAGUCAAAUAAUUUUUCAUUAAAAAUCGAUGAAAAAAAUCAUAUGAUUUAAUAAAUAAAACUCAUAUUCAUAUCAUAUGAAAAAGUCUCAUUUAUAUUUUAUGAACGGUAAAGAUUAUAUGAUUUAAUAAAUAAAACUUAUAUCUAUAUCAUAUGAAAAAGUCUCAUCUAUAUUUUAUGAAUGAUAAAUAUCAUAUGAUUUAAUAAAUAAAACUCAUAUCCAUAUCAUAUGAAAAAGUCUCGGCUAUAUUUUAUGAAUGGUAAUAAAACUCAUAUCUAUGUGACGCAUAUUUACAUUACAUAUAUCAUCUACAUAUUAAUUUUUGAAAUUAUGUUUUUAUCUAUUUUUUAAUUUAUUUUUAAAAUUUGGUGAAAAUAAUUUUUAUUUAUUCUUUAAAAAUUGUUCUUCAUUUUUCUUUGUUUUUAAAAAUUAGAAAUAAAAAACAACUACCAAAUAAUAUGCUAAAAUUUUGAAAAGAAUUUUCUAUUUCUAUAAAGACUGAAAACCGUUUUUUAACUUCUUUUAGGUAGUGCACAUGGUCAAAUGAAAUUACAUUAAGGAGGCUAACAACUCCCACAUCCCACCAACCCUUUGACCGCACACCACACUUGUCUUGGGUUUUGGCUGGUAAGAAACAUCCGGGCUCCAUCCCUAUAUCCACGUGGAUUCCACGUCACGUUGCAGCAUCUGAGCCUUUGGCGUAGACAGAUUAAGGGUCUGGAUUGGUUUUCAACAAACCACAUGAAGCCAGUUCGCCAUCCAGCCCACCUACCAGUGACCCUGUGGGAUUUCAAAGACUGCAGGGCUGAAAAGUUCUAUAUAAGUAGAAGCUUCAUUCACCAUACACCUUAGUAAGUUCAGAGCACUACUGUCUAGUUCCUCUCUCUCUCUCUCUCUUUCCUUCUUGGUUGUCGAGAGAAACCAGCUUUUUGAAGUUGUUUCUUUGUGGGGAUUCUAAGAUAUGGAUGCAACGAACUGCCAUGGAAGCAACAAGGUGGAGAGUUUCUGCGUGAGUGAUCCGCUGAACUGGGGAAUGGCUGCGGAGACGUUGAAGGGAAGCCAUUUGGAUGAAGUGAAGCGCAUGGUGGCGGAGUACCGGAAGCCGGUUGUUCGGCUCGGUGGUGAGACGCUUACCAUAUCGCAGGUGGCGGCUAUCGCCGGGCGGGAGGGGGAUGUGAGUGUGGAGUUGUCGGAGACGGCGAGAGCGGGCGUGAACGCGAGCAGCGAGUGGGUGAUGGAGAGCAUGAGCAAAGGCACCGACAGCUAUGGUGUCACCACUGGGUUUGGUGCUACUUCACAUAGGAGAACCAAACAAGGUGGUGCCCUUCAGAAGGAGCUCAUCAGGUAAAAAUACUUCGUGUUUUUUGAAAAUAUUUAUAGGCAUUAAAAUCAUUUUUGAAGAAAAAUGACGAGUGUGUUUGAAAAUGAUUUUAAGGAAGUGUUUCUAACAUUUAUAAUACUUGAAAAUUUAAAUUUUCAUCCUGUAUUAAAAAUAUUAGAAAUACUUCUUAUAAUCAUUGUCAAAUACAUUCUAAGUCUUUUGUAAAAUUUAAAAAUCAUUUUUAAAAUAUUGAAAACUUAAUACUUGAUAGACUAUAAGCUUAAAAAUAUUUUCAUUAAAAACACUUUUAUUAAAAGUAUUUUGAUUAAGAGCUAGUUUGAUAGUGAUGUUAGGAAGCAUUUUUAAUAUUUCUAAUAUGUUAAAAUUUUUAUCAUUUAAAUGUUAGAAAUGUUAGAAACACUUUCUAAAAUAACUUUCAAGCGUACUCUUAGAGUGUGUUUGAUAAUGAUUUUAGGAAAUAUUUUUAAUAUCUUUAAUAAUUUAAGAGUGCGUUUGAUACUAAUUUUAAAAAAUGUUUAUGAUUUUCUAAUGUUUGAAAAAUAAAAAAUUUUAAAUAUUAAAAAUGUCAAAAAUGCAUUUUAAAAUCUGUAUCAAACUCACUCUAAAAAUCAUGGCUAAUACAUUCUAAUAAACCCAUUUUAGGAGUGUUUUUUUAACGUACAAAAUAUUUUAGAAAAAAAAUAAUUAACAAAAUUUAAAAAACACUUUUAAAAUUGGAUAAGUAAGUGUAAUAGUGUCAAACCAAUCAACUUUGACUUGUUAAGUUAUUCGGAUUUCUUAAUGAAUAUGGUCAACACGUCCGAGCCCUUUUCGGUUACUUUCUAUUAUCUAAAACAGUUGUGUUCUGAUUUGAAAACAUGAAAUGGUUGGUGAUGUGCUGGGUUGUUGAUGAUUGAUACAGGUUCUUGAAUGCUGGGAUAUUUGGGAACGGAAGAGAGUCAUGCCACACACUGCCUCACUCAACAACAAGAGCCGCCAUGCUCGUGAGGAUCAACACCCUCCUCCAAGGCUACUCCGGCAUCAGAUUUGAGAUUCUGGAAGCAAUCACCAAGCUCCUCAAUCACAACAUCACUCCAUGCUUGCCUCUGCGUGGCACCGUCACUGCCUCCGGAGACCUGGUUCCUCUCUCCUACAUCGCUGGUCUUCUCACCGGCAGGCCUAAUUCCAAAGCUGUUGGACCUUCCGGUGAAGUUGUCAAUGCCGAAGAGGCCUUUAAAAUGGCUGGGAUCGAGUCGGGAUUUUUUGAGUUGCAGCCUAAGGAAGGCCUGGCUCUUGUUAAUGGCACCGCAGUUGGCUCUGGCUUGGCCUCUAUGGUGCUUUUUGAGACCAAUGUGCUGGCAGUUUUGUCUGAAGUUUUAUCGGCUGUUUUUGCUGAAGUGAUGCAGGGGAAGCCCGAAUUCACUGACCACUUGACUCACAAAUUGAAGCACCACCCUGGCCAAAUCGAGGCUGCAGCCAUUAUGGAGCACAUUCUAGAUGGAAGCUCUUAUGUGAAAGAAGCUAAGAAGCUACAUGAGAUGGAUCCUCUGCAGAAGCCGAAGCAAGAUCGAUAUGCUCUCAGGACUUCACCUCAAUGGCUUGGCCCACAUAUUGAAGUCAUCCGAGCAUCAACUAAAUCCAUCGAACGGGAGAUCAACUCUGUGAAUGAUAACCCCUUGAUCGAUGUUUCCAGGAACAAGGCUCUACAUGGUGGCAACUUCCAGGGGACCCCAAUUGGAGUCUCCAUGGACAACACCCGCUUGGCCAUUGCAGCCAUUGGGAAGCUUAUGUUUGCCCAGUUCUCAGAGCUUGUCAAUGACUUCUACAACAAUGGACUGCCAUCAAAUCUCUCUGGAAGCCGAAACCCGAGUCUGGACUAUGGUUUCAAGGGAGCAGAAAUUGCCAUGGCUUCCUACUGUUCAGAGCUCCAGUUCUUGGCCAAUCCUGUCACCAACCAUGUCGAAAGUGCUGAGCAACACAACCAAGAUGUGAACUCCUUGGGCUUAAUCUCCUCCCGGAAAACAGCUGAAGCGGUGGAUAUCUUGAAGCUCAUGUCUACCACAUACCUAGUGGCACUCUGCCAGGCCAUUGAUUUGAGGCAUUUGGAGGAGAAUUUGAAGAGCACGGUGAAGAAGACUGUAAGCCACGUAGCUAAGAAAACUCUAACCACUGGAGCCAAUGGAGAACUCCACCCAUCGAGAUUCUGCGAGAAGGACUUGCUAAAAGUGGUGGAUAGGGAACAUGUAUUUGCCUACAUCGAUGACCCCUGCAGCGCCACAUAUCCACUGAUGCAGAAGGUAAGGCAAGUUCUUGUGGAACAUGCGCUGAACAAUGGCGAAAAUGAGAAGAAUGGCAGCACCUCAAUCUUCCAAAAAAUAGUGGCAUUCGAGGAGGAGUUGAAGGCCGUUUUGCCCAAAGAGGUUGAGAGCGCAAGAGGUGGGGUGGAGAGUGGAAACCCAUCAAUUCCGAACCGAAUCAAGGAGUGCAGGUCAUACCCAUUGUACAAGUUUGUGAGGGAGGAGCUGGGAACAGGGCUGCUGACUGGUGAAAAGGUGAGGUCACCAGGGGAGGAUUUUGACAAGGUGUUUACUGCAAUGUGUGAGGGGAAGAUCAUCGACCCUCUUCUGGAUUGUCUCAGUGCUUGGAACGGUGCUCCUCUCCCAAUCUGCUAGGGGAUUUCACCCUUGCACAUACUCUUUUACUUUACACUUCCAACUUUCUUUCAUCUCUGUUCGUAAAACUUGAGAUUGUCUGCACGCUUUCAAUUUUGUGAUACAAAAUUUUUUGUAUUAAUGGAUGCUUCUUUCUUACAAUCUGUUUUCUAGGUUUGAUUGGUAAGUAAAGAUACCAAAAAUCACCCCACUUGUGAGUAAGGUCUUCUACAAGAGACGACCUUCAGAACCAACCUCCUUUCCUAUUUUUUGCUGAAAAGAAAUCUCCAACCACCUUUAGCAGCUUGUGGUAGACGUAAAAUGAAACAGAAAAAGCUAGAGGGGAAGAAUGACUAUAAAAAGCCCAUGGCAGCAAAUAGAAGGGCAUGAGACUUCCCCUAUACAGUCGAAGUUGUGAAGCAGCUAAAAACUAAUUCCAUCUAGGCAAAAAGGAAGCCCCUCCAAACAAAACCGCCUUAAGGCAACUCGGGGAAAACCCCUCACAUGACCAAAAUUGACUCUUCCUUUCAAGAAAUUCUUAUUUGUUUUUAUUAGAAUAUCGCUUCUGCCUUUUAACUUACAAUCUUUUUUCGUUUCUUUUCCAAGCACUAUAAAAGUACCAAAUACAUUUUGUAAUAUCUACUUAAAUAUUACAAUAGGUGUACCCUUCAUCAAUCCUUUCUUCCUUAUUCAGAAGGAUUGAGAAUUUGAAUGUGACCAAAACAUUUGCAAUUGUAGCAUUAGAUAGCAAAAAAGCUAGAAUACUCCCUGAUUCUUGCCAUGCUUCUUCCUCAUCCUUUGUUUGGAGAAGUAUAAGAAUUUGCUUUCUUUUCAUCAUUAGAACUCCAAAAAUAAUGAAGUAUCAGAAUCUUCUUUCUUUUCAUGUUCAAAUCUCCUAAAAUUAUUAUUUUUUUCAUGGCUAUAUUCACCUUCUUUCUUUGAAACAUCCUUUAGAAGAAGAUAGAGUUUGCAAAGCUUGUCAUGAGAUUGGAGUGAUCCCAUCAAGCUUGAUUCUUCACCCCAGCUACAACAAUAUGUUCAAUUUUCUAGUCAUGUUUCUCGAAAUCAUUUCAAUAACUUUCUGCAUCUGCAAUAAUAAUAAUAUAAUAAACACUUUCUACAUCUGCAAAAAAAAUUUGUAUCCUAGUCCAUGUGAAAAAUAAGGAAUGGAACUCUACACUUAAUUUCAGCCCCACAGCUGGACUGACCUGCCAUUUCUUCAAUUCCAUCCAUUUGCGGGUGGACUGACCUGCCAUUUCUUGAAUCCCAUGUGUUUGUACAUUCAUAUGGUUGUAACUUGUUUCUUCUAACACGGCUCUUUACAAAUAAAUUACAGCCUCUUGGCCUUUCAAAGUAGUGAAAGAAAAGGGUUAAUUCCUUGCAAAGUCAAGUAAAGGUAACAUUAUAUCAUGGGGGAAACUACUUCCCCAUUUGAUAUUUGUUUCUUAAAAUAUUCUUUUAUUUUUUAAAACAAAAAAAAAUAGAAAAAAAAACUAAAAAAAUAUAAAACAAUUUUUUAUUUUUAAAAGUAGAAAAUAUUUUAUUUUUGAAGAAUAUAUUUUAGUCCUUUUUUAUUUAUGUCCUAAAAAUUGGUUUAAAAAAUAAUUAUACAAAUAUAGAGAAUAAUUAAAAAUUAAAAAUUACAUAUAAAAAUUAAUUUUAAAUCAUAUUUGAAAACAUAAAAAAAACUAAACAAUAAUAUUUUAGGUUUUCAAACAAAUAUUUGUAAUAAUAAAAUAUCAUAUAACAAUUCUAAAAAAUUGUUCUCAAACACUAGUUGUUCAAAAUUAUUUUUAAAAACCUUCUUCAAAUCAAAUAUAUUUUAUAUAUAUUUUUAUCAAUCAUUACUCUUCCCAUCAAUUAUGUUUUCCUCAUCUACCAAUUUCUCUACACCCUAUUAUUCCCAUCAUCAAUUACAUUUAUCAUUCUUUCAACUUUCUCCAUUCAAAAUCUUUCUUAUCAUUCAUUAUUUCUAGUGCUCCUUUCAGAGUCAUUUUUAUGAAUCAUUAUUCUUCCCAUCAAUUAGGCUUGUCCUCAUCUAUCAAUUUCUCUACACCCUACAAACUCUAACCUCAAAAUCUAUGGCCAUCCACAAAACCAAUGUCAUCAUCCUAGAAAAUAUUAAUGCACCUUAGCCCACUCUUAUCACUAUUCAUGAUGUCGCACAACUUUCCCCCACGAUAAUUAUAAUUUCAAUCUCUUUUCAUUAGCUAUGUUGACGGCACCAAACCUUGCCCACUUUUCACCUUCAUUGCCAACAUUGUUACCUCCCCAAACUCGACCAUUCAUAGAGAGCUACUUGAGAAAUAAUUUUGAUUAACUUAUCCACUCUUCAUCAUCUUUUUUAGCUUGAAAAAAAAAUAUAAAGCUACUUGAAAAGGCCUUAGCGAAAUUCUUAAGUCUCUCUCUUUUUCUUCUUAUCUUCUUUCUUUAUUUUUUAUUUAUUUAUGAGACUCUUAGGUUUCUCUCAUUUUUUUUCUUCUCAUAUGCUUUUUCUAUUUUUUAAUUUUGUUUUUUUUCAUUGUUAUAAACUUUAUCCUUGUUCCUCUUCUUAAACUCCAAAAGUAAAAAUCUUAAACCACAUAUUUGAUUGUAGAUAACUAUAGUAGGGUUAUCCUAGAUUAGUAGUACUUGGCUAUUAAGUUAUUCUCCUUUUACCUCCAUGCAUUUCCUUUUUAAAAAAUCUAUUUCAUGUCUUUUUUCCACCUUCAACUUGGAUCAAGUCAGUUCAUUAUACUAGCUCAAUUUUAGGUCUUCACUUUAUAUUAGUAGACCAUGUUAAACAAUUUUCUCUCAUUGUAUCCUAAAUUGGAGCCUUAUUUACUGUUUCUGAAUGCAUUAUACCUUAUUACAUCUCGCCUUGCAAUGACACUCAUCCAUGUUGACUUUAGCUACCUUAUUAUACCUUAUUAAUUCUUUAAAAUUUUUAUUUUUAAAAAUUUGUUUCUUAACUUGAUAACAUUCUAAAUGUAAGCAUUAAUUGUCCUUGUAACAUUCUUUAAAAUUUUGCCUUCAAAUUGAUAGUUGUAAUGAAGAUCCCCAUUCUACUCUAGAUGCCCUUCUUGGUUAAUUUAUCUGACAUGGUAAUAUGGCCAACAUUCUUCCCGUAUUUCCGUUGUUCAUGGGUAAUCGGCCCACUACAUGUUUGGAUUCCUCAGCCACCUACGAUUUUUUGUGACAAUAUAGACAUCACGCAACUGUGCUCCAACCUAGUAUUUCACUCUUGCAUAAAGCAUGUGACCAUUGAUUUUCAUUCCAUUUGUGAUAAAGUUCAAAAUGGUGCUCUUGUAUCACUCAUGUGUUGCGAAAAGAUAAACUAUUGGAUGCUUUGACAAAAUCGCAACAUUGUGAUGGCUUUCUUUCUCUCAAGAUUAAGAUUGAAAUCUUCAAUUGAAGCUUCAUCUUGAGAGGGCAUGUUAGUGAAAGUUAAUGUUUAUCCUUAAUUUAAAUAUUAGUAUUUAUCUAUUAUUAGUUUAAUUUAAAAUAGAAGAUAAUUAUUAUUAGUUUGAAUUAAAGCACAAGAUAUACUUGUUAUUGUGACUUUAGUUAGUUGAGGUUUAUCUCAACAUUAUUUAUAUGUAAAUAUUCAUCAAUCAUCAAUGAGAAAACAAUACUAUAUUUUCUCAAUCAUAUAUAUAUUUGAAGAUAUAAAAUGAUUAAUAUUUACCGAAAAUUAAUAUUUUCUCAAUCCUAGAAAAUACUAAUGCACCUUACCCCACUCUUAUCACUAUUCAUGAUGUCGCACAACUUCCCCCCACGAAAACUAUAUUUCAAUCUCUUUUUAUUGGCUAUGUUGACGGCACCAAACCUUGCCCACUUCUCACUAUCAUUGCCAACAUUGUUGCCUCACCAAACACUCCCAUUCAUAGAGAGCUACUUGAGAAAUAAUUUUGAUUAAUUUAUCCACUCUUCAACAUCUUUUUUUAGGUUGAAAAAAAAGAUAUAAAGCUACUUGAGAAGGCCUUAGUAAAAUUCUUAAGUUACUUUCCCUUUUUCUUCUCAUCUUCAUUUUUUAUUUUUUAUUUAUUUAUGAAACUCUUAGGUUUCUCUCAUUUUUUCUUCUCAUAUUCUUUCUCUAUUUUUUUAUUUUGCUUUUUUUCCAUUGCCAUAAACUUUAUCAUUGUUCCUCUUCUUAAACUCUAAAAGUAAAAACCCUAGACCACCUAUUUGAUUGUAGGUAACUAUCCUAGGGUUAUCCUACAUUAGUAGUACUUGGCUAUUAAGUUAUUCUCCUUGCCUCCAUGCAUUUCCCUUUUUAAAAAACCAAGAGAAUUCAAUUAGCCAUGGUAGAGAAAUCUAAAAAAACCAAGAGAUUGAUUUUAUCUAUUUUAAGAGUCAUGCAAAGUAAGAUUUAUAAUAUAUAAUGUAGCACCCCAAAAUAAACUUUAAGGACAAAAUAAUAAAUUACAAAUUAAUUAAUUAAUUAAACUCAUUAAAGGUAAAAGAGUCAUUUUACAAUUAAUAAUCAUUGGUAUAAAUUAGAUUUUCCUCUUCUCUUCUUUAUUUAGAAAACUCUAUUAAUAAAAAAAUUAGAGAAUUUGAUAACUUAGGGUUAAAGGUUUGGAGGUCUAGAGUUUGAAGUUCAGAUUUUUUUUAGGUAAAAUUCUAAUCCUAGAUUAAUAUAUUAUAUUCAUUAGUUAGUUUUGAACACAUUAGAUAUUCUUUAGAAAAUUUUAAUUUAGAUUAGGGUUAGUUUAUUUAAUUUAUUUAUUUUAAGAUCAAAAAAUUGAAAUUAUGAAUAUAGGUUGUUUCAUUGAUGAAAAUAGGGAAAUUAAAAAAAAUUUAGAUGAAUAGAUCUAAACAAUGAAAUUUUAAAAAUUAAAUGAGUAAAUAAAUAUAUGAUCAUAUGUGGCUUAAGGGAUUGGAAAAUAAUAAAAAGAAGAAUUGCAUGUUUUUGGAUUUUAGAUUUGAGGCUUUGUGUUGGGGUGAAAAAAAAUAUUAAUAUGUAAUGGUGAGAGGCAAAGAGGACACUAGGAUUAAUAAUAAUUAAGUUAAAGUAUACAAAAGAAAUAAAUACUUAGAAUACCGAAAGUAUCAGUUUGAACUAUUUUAUAUUCGCUUUCUAAGGUUAAAUGUAAGGUUGGGAGAUGCUUCACAAGUUCUUUUAUUUUUUGAACAAGUUUAAUAUCUUUUUUAUUAAAAUAUCUAUGUCCUGUGUUUUUUGUUUUACUAUAAAGGGGUCCAACUAAUCUAUUAAGGUUUUUAAUAUAUGGUCUAACAUAAUUUAAUAAUCCUAAAAAACUUUGAAGGGUUUUUAAUUCUUCGAGUUUAUCUGGAAAAUUAUUUAUUUUUUGUACUAUAUGAUCUUGUAGUUUUAUUUGUCCAUCCUCUAAUUCUAAUCCUAAAAAUUCUAUUUGGGUUUUAAAUAAUUUUAGUUUCUUUUUACUUACUAUUAAUCCACGACUAAUUAGCUUUUUAAAAAUAAGUUCCAAAUGCUUUAUAUGUUCUUGAAGAGUAUAAGAAAAAACAAGAAUAUUAUCAAUAUAUACAAGAACAAAAUAAUAUUUACCAAAAAUAUUAUCCAUCAUUCGUUGGAAUAUCUGAGGAGUAUUUUUUAGUCCAAUUGACAUUACAUUCCAUUCAUAUAAUCCACAAGGACAUGAAAACCCUGUCCAUGGUUUACUAUCUUCUUCUAAUCUAAUUUGCCAAAAUCCACUUUUACAAUCUAGUUGAGAAAAGUAUUUACAUCCUUGAAUAGAAUUAAUUAAAGAAUCUUUAUUUGGAAUUUUAUAGGCAUCAUCAUAUGUAUUGUCAUUCAGUAUUUUAUAAUUAAUAAUCAUUCUAGUUUUUCCUCGUUUUUCUUCAUUAUGGUUCCUAACUAAAAAGGUUGAGGAUCUAUAGGGACUGAAACUUGGUUUUAUGAGGUUAUUCUGCAACAGUUCUUCUGUUUAAAUUUUAAACUCCUUUGUAUCUAUAAGGUUACAUGGCAUAUCUGCCGUUUUUAUUGUUAAAUCUGGAUUUUUAAUUGGUAUUUUAAAGGUUGUUUUGUUUUUAUUCCAAUGUUUUUGUGGAUCUUCUUCUAUAAUUUCUAUUUUUUUUCUACUUCUAAUAUAAGGUUUUUUAAUUUAUCUGUAUUUUUUAAUUGUUCUGAGUAAUCAUUAAUUAUACUACCCUUUUGUGCUUCUACUUUGUUAAUUUGAUGAGAAGUUACAUUAUGAUUUUUAUUUAAGACAUUUUCCAUGUUUGUAUAAACAAUUGUUGUGGUUUUAGGAUGAAAACUUACUUGGUUAUUUUGUAUUGUUAUUCCUCCUUGUAAAAAAUGUACAAAAUUUAAACCUAAAAUGAAAGGAUAUAAACUUAUAGUAGGUACAAGAUAAGUUUGGGGUAACACUAAGGUUAUGUUAUUAAUUAUUAUUGGUACAUUUGAAAUAUACUUAGUUAGUAUUAGUUUUUGUUGAUUAUAUUGAACUAACUCUAUCGGUUGAACUAAUGUUUGCUGGUCUUCUUGAGGCACUAAGGUUUCAAAUAAAAGGUUUUUACUAGCUCCAGUAUCUAAUAUUGCAUGUACUUUAAUUUUAUAGUUUUUAACUUAAUUAUUGUUGGAAAAAUAAUAGAUUUAACUUUAUUUGUCAUAUUCACUUGUUCUAUUGUUUGCACGGUUGUAUUUUCAGGAUUUAUUGGUUCUUCUAUUUCUUUAGGCUUUGAACAACUGCCUUCCUCUUCUUCCGAGAUUUUUCCUUUAAUUAUUAUUUGUAGGUCUUUAAUAUAAUGACUCAAAAUGAAACUAGGAUACAAAUAAUAUAUAUAUAUAAAAGCUCCUGUUUAUUACAUAUCAUAGUAGGCAUUGAAAAGUACCUUUCAAUACUGUGGUAACACCUGUUGAUAAAUAAGUUUCAAAGUAGCUAGUUGAUGAAUUUUACUUCCUUUUAACUAGAAUUUAUAAGAGAAAUUGACAUAUUGAGUGACUUUCACCUAACUUGCUUACAUCAUAAGAUAGAUUGGAGGAGUUUUAUUUGAGUCAAUUACUGUUUGUCACUUAACAAGAAAAUGAGCCUUUCUUAGUAAAUCUCUCUGAUAUCCCCAUCUUUCACAAAAAGGCCAUGGAAGCCAUAAGGCACUCUUCUAGGAAGCUUCACUGUUGCGACAACAUCAAGGGUUUGUGACUUGGCAUCCAUCACCACAAACCUUGAGGCUCCACUCUUCUCAUCAUGCACGUAUGACACUAUGUACCCGUCAUCCUCCUCACUUGCACCAUCCUUCGCCACAAACAAGGGUUCUCCUCCAAAGCACCCAGCUCCAUAUAGCCUUCUUGACACUUCACACACCAACUCCAAGUCAAUUUUCACAACCCCACUCAUUUUUGGUAUCAUUUCCCCUAUACCCAUAUAAGCAUACCUGUUUCUCUUCCCCACGUAGCUAGGGUUUAUUGAGCCCAACUCCAAAUUCUUCUGUGAAAGGGUGGUUCUUGUGACUGAGCUAUUCCUCAAGUUGAUUCUCACCUUUUCUAAUGAGAAAUGGACCUUUUCUAUGUUGUGAACGAGGUUCUCUAUGGAUAUGGCAUUGGGUGCAACCAGGAUGAUCUCUUCAUCCCCUUCUUCCCAUGCAUUGAUGGCAUGCAUUGCAUUAAAGCCAGGCGCCUCGAACCACCGGAUUUUGGAGUCAGUUGAUGCAGACCGUGGAAGCACUCCAAUUCUCGGAACCUUGUCUAUCUCAGCACUCACUGGCAUUCCUUUAAACAUCAUGAGAUUCACUAAGAAAGGCUCAUUCAAAGAAAGGCUGUGAAUUAAAGGAGAUGGGUUGGAUCCCAAAGACUAGGCAAGAUCCAAUGGCGUUCAAGGCUGAGAGGUUCAUGAACAGAAAAGGCAAUGGGGUUGAAGCAUUUGGUGUAACGUUCUGCAACACCACUCCUAUGGAUCUACAUAAUCAGGACUUAAAAUUAAUAAGAUAAUUACACAAGUAAAAUUUUACUUUGAGAAGUCUACUAGUAAAUGCAUGCAUGCAAUUAAAUUCUGUCCUCUCUCAUUGUGGUUUCUAUAAUUCAUUUGCUGUAUUAUUUUUUAUAAUUGUAAAUGAAAAUUAAACGAAAUAAAAUCCUCAUAAAUAAUAUGGCAUCAACACUCUCCACAUCAGAGAGAAUUCCAGUUCUUCCAAAGCCUCCCAACACAGAAGUCCAGUAGAGAUGGUGACAGUAAGGAACCAGGAGCUUCUUCCCACCCACCGCUCCAUGGUGGAGGGAGAGCUUGCCCUUAAUGCAUGGCACCUAUAUUCGAAAUGGUCUCAACCCCCAUCACCAACCUCAUGGCCCUCAUCACUUGUUUGAAAGUGAUGGCAUGCUACAUUCGAUUCCGUUAUCAGAUACUGGUCAAGCUACCUUCUGUAGUCUCUAUGUGAAAACUUAUAAAUAUCUUCCCCAUUGUGUUAACAGGCUUCUACACCAUUGGAAGAGUAAUAAAUGGCCAGAUUGAUCCUAUGAAAGGUUUUGGUUAAGCCAAAAGUAGCCUUGCUCCCUUUUCAAAUAGGGCUUUUUGUUAUUGAAGAAUCCAUUGCAUGUGACGAGAACUUUGAAUGUGAAAAUGACCAAAUCACUACAAUUAAUGUAAGGAUUUUGGACAUCUUGAUCUAGGUACGUAUUAAUUCUUAGUAAAUGAAGAGCUUAGUCUUGAGGUCAUUAUCUCCAUACCAAUCUCUUUCAUCCUCACCCCUUUAUGAUUUAUUUUUUGUGUCAUUUUCAGGCUUUAUGAUUUACAUCUUGGCUUAGUGUUCCUUAAUGGGAAUUUUAUAAAUUAAUAAUUGCAAAAACAAACAAGAAGCAAAUUAACCUUCCUAUAUAAGACAUAUAACAAGUGAAGAAAGGAUAUAUAUUCAAACAAUCUGAUCACUUUAUAUUUUUACCAAUAGUCUUUUCUAUCAUGAGUCAAUGAUGUAGGUAUUUUUUUCUACAAAUAUUUUCCUUGUAUAAGAAAUUAAGAUCAACUUGCAGGAGAAAUAAGAUGUGACAACAAAUAACCUAUAAGGGUAAAGACAAAGUUAAACUAAUGGGACUUCAAGGGCAAGACAAACAUUAACUUCCUAUAAGGGUGAAAACAAAGUUAAAACAAUAUUAAGGAUCCAAGGGCAAGACAAGCAACUUAUAAAGGUGAAUUUGAUACCUUCAUAAUGAAGGAUUCCAAAAAUGUUCUUAAAGAAUAUUUCAAUCAAGUUCAUUUUCUUUUCAAUCAAAUCCAAUCAAGUGGACCAAAUUGAUAAUAAAAAAAAAUAUUGAAAUGAUUUUGAGAAGCAUGACUAGAAAAUUGAACAUAUUGUUAACAUUUUGAUCAUAUUCAUUUAUUGUCAAACAAAAUAUUUUGAAUUUGCUCCAUUUGAUCACGAUUAUUUGUUGUCAAUGAAAUGUGAUCAAAUGGAGCUCAGUGGUUAUCGAAAUAUUAUUGAAAUGAUUUCGAGAAGCAUGACAAGAAAAUUGAACAUAUUGUUGUAGCUGGGGUGAAGAAUCAAGCUUGAUGGGAUCACUCCAAUCUCACGACUUAGGGCAAAGUAAGUAAUUGAAUCAUGUUCAUCUAUGACAAUCUUUGCAAACUUCAUCUUCUUCUAAAGGAUGUUUCAAAGAAAGAAGGUGAAUAUAGCCAUGAAAGAAAUAAUAAUUUUAGGAGACGCUAUGUUGUAGUGACACCCUAUGUUUAUAGUGACUCAUUAUAAAUGUCACCAUUUUUUUUUUCCCUUGUAGUGAAAUUUGAAAAUGAAAAGAAAGAAAAUUCUUAUACUUCAUUAUUUUUGGAGUUCUAAUGAUGAAAAGAAAGCAAAUUCUUAUACUUCUCCAAACAAAGGAUGAGGAAGAAGCAUGGCAAGAAGUAGGAAGUAUUCUAGCUUUUUCGCUAUCUAAUGCUACAAUUGCAAAUGUUUUGGUCACAUUCAAAUUCUCAAUCCUUCUGAAUAAGGAAGAAGGAUUGAUGAAGGGUAGACCUAUUUUAAUAUUUAAGUAGAUAUACAAAUUUNUUUGGUGCUUUUAUAGUGCUNNNNNNNNNNNNNNNNNNNNNNNNNNNNNNNNNNNNNNNNNNNNNNNNNNNNNNNNNNNNNNNNNNNNNNNNNNNNNNNNNNNNNNNNNNNNNNNNNNNNNNNNNNNNNNNNNNNNNNNNNNNNNNNNNNNNNNNNNNNNNNNNNNNNNNNNNNNNNNNNNNNNNNNNNNNNNNNNNNNNNNNNNNNNNNNNNNNNNNNNNNNNNNNNNNNNNNNNNNNNNNNNNNNNNNNNNNNNNNNNNNNNNNNNNNNNNNNNNNNNNNNNNNNNNNNNNNNNNNNNNNNNNNNNNNNNNNNNNNNNNNNNNNNNNNNNNNNNNNNNNNNNNNNNNNNNNNNNNNNNNNNNNNNNNNNNNNNNNNNNNNNNNNNNNNNNNNNNNNNNNNNNNNNNNNNNNNNNNNNNNNNNNNNNNNNNNNNNNNNNNNNNNNNNNNNNNNNNNNNNNNNNNNNNNNNNNNNNNNNNNNNNNNNNNNNNNNNNNNNNNNNNNNNNNNNNNNNNNNNNNNNNNNNNNNNNNNNNNNNNNNNNNNNNNNNNNNNNNNNNNNNNNNNNNNNNNNNNNNNNNNNNNNNNNNNNNNNNNNNNNNNNNNNNNNNNNNNNNNNNNNNNNNNNNNNNNNNNNNNNNNNNNNNNNNNNNNNNNNNNNNNNNNNNNNNNNNNNNNNNNNNNNNNNNNNNNNNNNNNNNNNNNNNNNNNNNNNNNNNNNNNNNNNNNNNNNNNNNNNNNNNNNNNNNNNNNNNNNNNNNNNNNNNNNNNNNNNNNNNNNNNNNNNNNNNNNNNNNNNNNNNNNNNNNNNNNNNNNNNNNNNNNNNNNNNNNNNNNNNNNNNNNNNNNNNNNNNNNNNNNNNNNNNNNNNNNNNNNNNNNNNNNNNNNNNNNNNNNNNNNNNNNNNNNNNNNNNNNNNNNNNNNNNNNNNNNNNNNNNNNNNNNNNNNNNNNNNNNNNNNNNNNNNNNNNNNNNNNNNNNNNNNNNNNNNNNNNNNNNNNNNNNNNNNNNNNNNNNNNNNNNNNNNNNNNNNNNNNNNNNNNNNNNNNNNNNNNNNNNNNNNNNNNNNNNNNNNNNNNNNNNNNNNNNNNNNNNNNNNNNNNNNNNNNNNNNNNNNNNNNNNNNNNNNNNNNNNNNNNNNNNNNNNNNNNNNNNNNNNNNNNNNNNNNNNNNNNNNNNNNNNNNNNNNNNNNNNNNNNNNNNNNNNNNNNNNNNNNNNNNNNNNNNNNNNNNNNNNNNNNNNNNNNNNNNNNNNNNNNNNNNNNNNNNNNNNNNNNNNNNNNNNNNNNNNNNNNNNNNNNNNNNNNNNNNNNNNNNNNNNNNNNNNNNNNNNNNNNNNNNNNNNNNNNNNNNNNNNNNNNNNNNNNNNNNNNNNNNNNNNNNNNNNNNNNNNNNNNNNNNNNNNNNNNNNNNNNNNNNNNNNNNNNNNNNNNNNNNNNNNNNNNNNNNNNNNNNNNNNNNNNNNNNNNNNNNNNNNNNNNNNNNNNNNNNNNNNNNNNNNNNNNNNNNNNNNNNNNNNNNNNNNNNNNNNNNNNNNNNNNNNNNNNNNNNNNNNNNNNNNNNNNNNNNNNNNNNNNNNNNNNNNNNNNNNNNNNNNNNNNNNNNNNNNNNNNNNAAAUUUUCAAGUAUUAUAAAUGUUAGAAACACUUCCUUAAAAAUCAUUUUUCAAACACACUCGUCAUUUUCCUUCAAAAAUGCUUUUAAUGCCUAUAAAUAUUUUCAAAAAACACGAAGUAUUUUUACCUGAUGAGCUCCUUCUGAAGGGCACCACCUUGUUUGGUUCUCCUAUGUGAAGUAGCACCAAACCCAGUGGUGACACCAUAGCUGUCGGUGCCUUUGCUCAUGCUCUCCAUCACCCACUCGCUGCUCGCGUUCACGCCCGCUCUCGCCGUCUCCGACAACUCCACAUUCACAUCCCCCUCCCGCCCGGCGAUAGCCGCCACCUGCGAUAUGGUAAGCGUCUCACCACCGAGCCGAACAACCGGCUUCCGGUACUCCGCCACCAUGCGCUUCACUUCAUCCAAAUGGCUUCCCUUCAACGUCUCCGCAGCCAUUCCCCAGUUCAGCGGAUCACUCACGCAGAAACUCUCCACCUUGUUGCUUCCAUGGCA
This 124151-nucleotide long non-coding RNA is filed under the name Vitis vinifera (wine grape). Its description in RNAcentral is "long non-coding RNA (VVIN_LNC005270)". Lineage: Eukaryota; Viridiplantae; Streptophyta; Magnoliopsida; Vitales; Vitaceae. The record is from RNAcentral.